AUCACACAUAUUAUUGAGACCAACUAGCAACAUAGAAAGCACAAUAGUGUACCAACAAUGGCAGCCAAAAUAUUUUGCUUCCUUAUGCUCCUUGGUCUUUCUGCAAGUGCUGCUACCGCAACCAUUUUCCCACAAUGCUCACAAGCUCCUAUAGCUUCCUUUCUUCCCCCAUACCUCUCACCAGCGGUGUCUUCAGUAUGUGAAAACCCAAUUCUUCAACCCUACAGGAUCCAACAGGCAAUCGCAGCAGGCAUCUUACCUUUAUCACCCUUGUUCCUCCAACAACCGUCAGCCCUAUUACAGCAGUUACCUUUGGUGCAUUUGUUGGCACAAAACAUCAAGGCACAACAACUACAACAACUUGUGCUAGGAAACCUUGCUGCCUACUCUCAGCAACAGCAGUUUCUUCCAUUCAACCAACUGGCUGCAUUGAACUCUGCUGCUUAUUUGCAACAACAACUACCAUUCAGUCAGCUAGCUGCUGCCUACCCCCAGCAAUUUCUUCCAUUCAACCAACUGGCAGCAUUGAACUCUGCUGCUUAUUUACAACAGCAACAGCUACCACCAUUCAGCCAGCUAGCUGAUGUGAGCCCUGUUGCCUUCUUGACACAACAACAGUUGUUGCCGUUCUACCUGCACGCUGCGCCUAACGCUGGCACCCUCUUACAACUGCAACAAUUGCUGCCAUUCAACCAACUUGCUUUGACAAACCCAACAACGUUCUACCAACAACCCAUCAUUGGCGGUGCCCUCUUUUAGAUUGCUUAUGAGUUAUAGUUCAAUAAUGAAGUUUUUUGGAUGAUGUUUGUGGCUUCCCAGAAAUAAGAAAGUACAUUUCUAGAUUCUUAUGUGCUUCUAGCCUCCAAAUGUGGUUGAUAGUUAUUUUGCUCUAAGAUCGGGAGUAAUGAGGUAUAAAUCAUCGUUGUGGUGUGCUACUCGGUUAAUUAAGCAUUAACACACACAAACAUGACGAGGAUGGUAUGACCUCCAGGGCCAGUAACACGCCGGCACCAGCAAGAUAUCGUGUGAUGGUUAUUGGCGCGUGUUGUUUGUUCGACCCAUUGCUGCAACGCAGACCGCCGCUAACUACCAUCUCCAAGAGACUCCUUCAAUUAAGUCCUAAAAAUCAAAAUAGGACAUGGUUUAAAUUAUUUAAAACCCACCAAUUCGUUUUACUCCAACCGUGAGUCUGAGAGCACCUAGAGGGGGGGGGUCGAAUAGGUGAUCCUGUAAAACUUGAAAUUUAACUCACAAAACUUGAUUAGGAGUUAGCACAAAUAAUGCCAAGUGGCUAGAGAGGAGUCUCAACAAAACACAAUAACCACAAGAGAUCAAUCACAGAGAUGGCACAGUGGUUUAUCCCGUGGUUCGGCCAAGACCAACGCUUGCCUACUCCACGUUGUGGCGUCCCAACGGACGAGGGUUGCAAUCAACCCCUCUCAAGCGGUCCAAAGACCCACUUGAAUACCACGGUGUUUUGCUUGCUUUACUAUAUCCCGUUUGCGAGGAAUCUCCACACUUUGGAGCCUCUCGCCCUUACACUUAGAUGAUCACAAAGAAGCACAGAGUAAGGGAGGGAUAAGCAACUCACUCAAGACAAGAAAUCACAGCAACACCACGCACACAAGUCGCAACAAGAGCUCACAACACAACUCAAUGAGUUCACAACUCAACUAGAGCUCUAACUGCUAUCGCAAGGAAUCAAAAGCGCGGAAUCGAUGUCUUAGUGCUUAGGAAUGCUUAGAGAAUGCUUGGUGUAGUCCUCCAUGCGCCUAGGGGUCCCUUUUAUAGCCCCAAGGCAGCUAGGAGCCGUUGAGAGCAAUCCGGGAAGGCAAUUCUUGCCUUCUGUCGCCUGGCGCACCGGACAGUCCGGUGCACCACCGGACACUGUCCGGUGCGGAUUUCCUUCCUUAUUUGGCGAAGCCGACCGUUGGCAGCCUUGGAGCCGUUGGCGCACCGGACACUGUCCGGUGCACACCGGACAGUCUGGUGCCCCCUCCCGACCGUUGGCUCGGCCACGUGUCUCGCGCAGCCGACCGUUGGCCCGGCCGACCGUUGGCUCACCGGACAGUCCGGUGCACACCGGACAGUCCGAUGAAUUAUAGUCGUACGUCGUUAAUUUAUUCCCGAGAGUGACAAGUUCGCCUGUGCCAGCCUGGCACACCGGACACUGUCCGGUGCACCACCGGACAGUCUGGUGCACCCAGACAGAGCUGGCUUUGGCUGAACAAGGCUAUCUCUUUUCCAAUUCGAUUUCUCCUGUUUCCAGCACUUAGACACAAUAAAUUAGUCACUAAAACAAUGUACUAAGUCUAAGAAACAUACCUUUAUACUUGAUUUGUACUUUGUCCACCAUUUGACACUUAGGCACUUGUGUUGGACACUAGAUCACCAAAACACUUAGAAAUGGCCCAAGGGCACAUUUCCCUUUCAAUCUCCCCCUUUUUGGUGAUUAAUGCCAACACAACAUAAGGCAAGUAGAACAAGUACGAAAUCAAUUCAAAUAAGAACUCAAAUUUGUUUUGAAUCAAAUUUGGCAUAUAUGGAUCAUUCUUUGCCACCACUUGGUUUGUUUUUGCAAAUCAACCUCAAAUUCCUAUCUCUAAGUCAAAAACACUUGUUGAGACAUAACAAGAGUUGUUCCAAGAGAAAUUGAUCAGAGAUUUCAAAAACUCCCCCUUUUUCCCAUAAUUAAGCCUUCUCCCCACAAGAGACCAACUUUUGACAAUAAGAGGCAAACAAGAGUAUUUUGACAAACAAAAACUCUAACUCUAUUUUUUUAAAAUUCUCAAGUGGUAGCUGAUCUAUUUAUUGCUUUGGCCUUAUUUUCUCCCCCUUUGGCAUCAAGCACCAAAACGAGAUCAAUCUUGGCCCUCGAACCCCAUUGCCUCACCAAAAUCUUCAACUAAGAGUUAAAAAAAGGCAAUAAGAGUACAAAGAUGAACUUGGAAUAAGUUACUCGUUCAUCGGAGUGCAGUGGAAGUCUUGCAUAGUCCAAGUCCACCUUUUCCCUUUCAAUCCUCCUUUGAGACUAAAAUAAGCAAACUCACGCACAUGGUUAGUCUCAAAGGGUCAAGUUGUAGCACAUCUCCCCCUAAAUUUGUGCAUCACUUGCAAAUGAACUUGUAAGGUCCGGGGAGUGCUUGUACAACUUGAGCACCAUAAGUAAACAACAAAAUGCAUAAGGAACAUGAUCAAAGGCAUAAACACAUGUAUGCUAUAAAUCAAUCCAAGUUCCGCGAAUCUAAGACAUUUAGCUCACUACGCAACUUGCAAAAUGUCUGCUCAUCUAAAGGCUUGGUAAAGAUAUCGGCUAGCUGGUUCUCAGAGCUAACAUGAAACACUUCGAUAUCUCCCUUUUGCUGGUGGUCUCUCAAAAAGUGAUGCCAGAUGUCUAUGUGCUUUGUGCGGCUGUGUUCAACAGGAUUAUCCGCCAUGCGGAUAGCACUCUCAUUAUCACAUAGGAGUGGGACUUUGCUCAGAUUGUAGCCAAAGUCCCUGAGGGUUUGCCUCAUCCAAAGUAGUUGUGCGCAGCACUGUCCUGCAGCAACGUACUCGGCCUCAGCGGUGGAUAGGGCAACAGAGGUUUGUUUCUUAGAACUCCAUGACACCAGGGACCUUCCUAAGAAUUGGCACAUCCCCGAUGUACUCUUCCUAUCGACCUUACAUCCAGCAUAGUCGGAGUCUGAAUAUCCAAUCAAGUCAAAGGUAGACCCCUUUGGAUACCAAAUCCUGAAACAAGGUGUAGCGACUAAAUAUCUAAGAAUUCGCUUCACAGCCACUAAGUGACACUCCUUAGGAUCGGAUUGAAAUCUAGCACACAUGCAUACACUAAGCAUAAUAUUCGGUCUACUAGCACAUAAAUAAAGUAAAGACCCUAUCAUAGACCGGUAUGCCUUUUGAUCAACGAACUCACCUCCUUUGUUGAGGUCGGUGUGUCCGUCGGUUCCCAUUGGAGUCUUUGCGGGCUUGGCGUCCUUCAUCCCAAACCGCUUGAUCAAGUCUUGCUUGUACUUGGUUUGAGAGAUGAAGGUUCCAUCCUUGAGUUGCCUCACUUGGAAGCCAAGGAAGUAGAUUAACUCGCCCAUCAUCGACAUCUCGAAUUUCUGAGUCAUCACCCUGCUAAACUCUUCACAAGACUUUUGGUUAGUAGAACCAAAUAAUAUGUCAUCGACAUAAAUUUGGCACACAAAGAGAUCACCAUCACAAGUCUUAGUAAAAAGAGUUGGAUCGGCUUUCCCAACCUUGAAAGCAUUAGCAAUUAAAAAGUCUCUAAGGCAUUCAUACCAUGCUCUUGGGGCUUGCUUAAGUCCAUAGAGCGCCUUAGAGAGCUUACACACGUGGUCGGGGUACCGUUCAUCCUCGAAGCCAGGGGGUUGCUCCACGUACACCUCCUCCUUGAUUGGCCCGUUGAGGAAAGCACUCUUCACAUCCAUUUGGAACAACCUGAAAGAAUGGUGAGCGGCAUAUACUAGCAAAAUGCGAAUGGACUCUAGCCUAGCCACAGGAGCAAAAGUCUCCUCAAAGUCCAAACCUGCGACUUGGGCAUAACCUUUUGCCACAAGUCGUGCCUUGUUCCUUGUCACCACCCCGUGCUCGUCUUGUUUGUUGCGGAACACCCACUUGGUUCCCACAACAUUUUUCUUGGGACGAGGCACCAGUGUCCAAACUUCAUUUCUUUUGAAGUUGUUGAGCUCCUCCUACAUGGCCAACACCCAGUCCGGAUCUAGCAAGGCCUCUUCUACCCUGAAAGGCUCAAUAGAAGAGACAAAGGAGUAAUGCUCACAAAAAAUUAACUAAUCGAGAUCGAGUAGUUACUCCCUUGCUAAUAUCACCCAAAAUUUGGUCGACGGGAUGAUCCCUUUGAAUCAUCGCUCGAACUUGGGUUGGAGGUGCCGGUUGCGCUUCUUCCUCCAUUGCAAGAUCAUCUUGUGCUCCCCCUUGAUCACACGCCUCCUGCUCAUCAUCUUGAGUUGGGGGAUGCACCAUUGUUGAGGAAGAAGGUUGAUCUCGUUCAUCUUGUUCCUGUGGCCGCACAUCUCCAAUCGCCAUGGUGCGUAUUGCGGCCGUUGGAACUUCUUCUUCAUCUACAUCAUCAAAAUCAACAACUUGCUCUCUUGGAGAGCCAUUAGUCUCAUCAAAUACAACGUCGCUAGAGACUUCAACCAAACCCGAUGAUUUGUUGAAGACUCUAUACGCCUUUGUAUUUGAGUCAUAACCUAACAAAAAUCCUUCUACAGCUUUGGGAGCAAAUUUGGAAUUCCUACCCUUCUUCACUAGAAUGUAGCAUUUACUCCCAAAAACUCGAAAAUACGAAACAUUGGGUUUGUUACCGGUUAGUAGCUCAUAUGACGUCUUCUUGAGGAGGCGAUGAAGGUAGACCCUGUUGAUGGCGUGGCAAGCCGUGUUCACAGCUUUCGACCAAAAGCGCUCGGGGGUCUUAAACUCUCCAAGCAUCGUCCUCACCAUGUCUAUAAGCGUCUUGUUCUUCCUCUCUACCACACCAUUUUGCUGUGGUGUGUAGGGAGCGGAGAACCCAUGCUUGAUCCCUUCCUCCUCAAGGUACUCCUCCACUUGAAGGUUCUUGAACUCGGACCCAUUGUCGCUCCUUAUCUUUUUCACCUUGAGCUUAAACUCGUUUUGAGCUCUCCUUAGGAAGCGCUUGAGGGUCCCUUGGGUUUCAGAUUUAUCCUGCAAAAAGAAUACCCAAGUGAAGCGGGAAAAGUCAUCAACUAUAACAAGACCAUACUUACUUCCUCCUAUACUUAGAUAAGCGACGGGUCCAAAGAGGUCCAUGUGAAGCAUCUCCAAAGGUCUUGAUGUGGUCAUCACAUUUUUGGUGUGAUGAGAGCUUCCCACCUGUUUGCCUGCUUGACAAGCUGCACAAGGUCUAUCUUUUUCGAAUUGUACAUUAGUUAAACCUAUCACGUGUUCUCCCUUUAGAAGCUUGUGAAGGUUCUUCAUCCCCACAUGUGCUAAGCGGCGAUGCCACAGCCAGCCCAUGCUAGUCUUAGCAAUUAAGCAUGCAUCUAGACCGGCCUCCUCUUUUGCAAAAUCAACUAAGUAAAGUUUGUCGUCUAAUACACCCUUAAAAGCUAGUGAACCAUCACUUCUUCUAAAGACAGACACAUCUACAUUUGUGAAUAGACAAUUAUAUCCCAUAUUGCAUAAUUGACUAACAGAUAACAAAUUAUAUCCAAGAGACUCAACUAAAAACACAUUAGAUAUAGAGUGCUCGGAUGAAAUAGCAAUUUUACCUAACCCUUUUACCUUGCCUUGAUUCCCAUCACCGAAUAUUAUUGAAUCUUGGGAAUCCUUGUUUUUGACGUAGGAGGUGAACAUCUUUUUCUCCCCCGUCAUAUGGUUUGUGCAUCCGUUGUCGAUAAUCCAGCUUGAACCCCCGGAUGCAUAAACCUGCAUGGCAAAUUUAGGCUUGGGUCUUAGGUACCCAACUCAUGUUGGGUCCUACAAGGUUAGCACAAAUAUCCUUAGGGACCCAAAUGCAAGUUUUGUCUCCCUUGCAUUUUGCCCCUAAUUUUCUAGCAACUAUCUUCCUAUCCUUUCUACAAAUAGCAAAGGAAGCAUUUAAAGCAUGAUAUAUUGUAGAGGGUUCAUUAACUUUCCUAGGAACAUUAACAACAUUUCUCCUAGACAUAUGAACAAAAUAUCUCCUAGACAUAUCUCUACCAUGCAUAUAGGAAGAACUAGAAGCAAACAUGGCAUGAGAGUUAAAAGCAUCAUAAGCAUUACAACUCCUAUAAGACUGUCUUCUAUCAUGGUACAUAAAAGCAUGGUUCGUUUUAGCACUAUUUGCCAUAGGGGCCUUCCCUUUCUCCAUGAUGGAGAUGGGUGCCUUAUGGCUCGUUAAGUCCUUGGCUUCCCUCUUGAAGCCAAGUCCAUCCUUAAUUGAGGGGUGUCUACCAAUCAUGUAGGCAUCCCUUGCAAAUUUUAGUUUAUCAAAAUCACUCUUGCUAGUCUUAAGUUGGGCAUUAAGACUAGCCAAUUCAUCAUUCAGUUUGGAAAUUGAAACUAGGUGUUCACUACAAGCAUCAAUGUCAAAAUCUUUACACCUAUUGCAAAUCAUAACAUGUUCUACACAAGAGUUAGAUUUACUAGCUAUUUCUAACUUAGCAUUCAAACCAUCAUUUAUGCUCCUUAAGCUAGAAAUUGUCUCAUGGCAAGAAGAUAGUUCACAAGAAAGCAUUUCAUUUCUUUUAACUUCUAAAGCAUGAGAUUUUUGUGCCUCUACAAAUUUGUCAUGCUCUUCAUAUAAAAGGUCCUCUUGUUUUUCUAAAAGUCUAUCCUUUUCAUUCAAGGCAUCAAUCAAUUCAUUAAUCUUAUCUACUUUAGUUCUAUCCAAUCCCUUGAACAAACUAGAGUAAUCUAUUUCUUCAUCACUAGACUCAUCAUCACUAGAAGAAUCAUAAGUGGCAUUGUUUCGAUUACAUACCUUCUUCUCCUUCGCCAUGAGGCAUGUAUGACGCUCGUUGGGGAAGAGGGAUGACUUGUUGAAGGCGGUGGCGGCGAGUCCUUCAUUGUCGGAGUCGAAUGACGAACAAUCCGAGUCCCACUCCUUGCCAAGGUGUGCCUCGCCCUUAGCCUUUUUAUAUGCCUUCUUCUUCUCCCUCUUAUUCCCCUGUUCCUGGUCAGUAUCAUUAUUGGGGCAGUUAGCGAUAAAAUGACCAAUCUUACCACACUUGAAGCAUGAGCGCUUCCCCUUUGUCUUGGUCUUGCUUGGCUGCCCCUUGUGACCCUUUAGCGCUGUCUUGAAGCGCUUGAUGAUGAGAGCCAUCUCUUCAUCAUUUAGCCCUGCCGCCUCAACUUGUGCCACCUUGAUAGGUAGCGCCUCUUUGCUUCUUGUUGCCUUGAGAGCAAAGGGUUGAUGCUCAUUGAUUGGACCAUUCAAUGCGUCGUCCACGUAUCUCGCCUCCUUGAUCAUCAUUCGCCCGCUCACGAAUUUCCCAAGAACUUCCUCGGGCGACAUCUUGGUGUACCUAGGAUUUUCACGAAUAUUGUUCACCAGAUGUGGAUCAAGUACAGUAAAGGACCUUAGCAUUAGGCGAACGACGUCGUGGUCCGUCCAUCGCGUGCUUCCGUAGCUCCUUAUUUUGUUGAUGAGGGUCUUGAGCCGGUUGUAUGUUUGGGUUGGCUCCUCGCCCCUUAUCAUUGCAAAUCUCCCGAGCUCGCCCUCUACCAACUCCAUCUUGGUGAGCAAGGUGACGUCAUUCCCCUCAUGAGAGAUCUUGAGGGUGUCCCAGAUCUGCUUGGCAUUGUCCAAGCCGCUCACCUUAUGGUACUCGUCCCUGCACAAAGAGGCUAACAACACAGUAGUAGCUUGUGCAUUCUUAUGAAUCUGUUCAUUAAUGAAUAUAGGACUAUCCGAGCUAUCAAAUUUCAUUCCAUUCUCAACAAUCUCCCAUAUACUUGGAUGGAGAGAGAACAGAUGACUACGCAUUUUGUGACUCCAAAAUCCGUAGUCCUCCACAUCAAAGUGUGGAGGUUUGCCAAGAGGGAUGGAAAGCAAAUGUGCAUUUGAGCUAUGCGGAAUACGGGAGUAAUCGAAAGAAAAGUUCGAAUUAACCGUCUUUCGUUUGUCGUAGUCGUUGUCGUCGUUGUCCUUUUGGGAAGAAGUGGACUCAUCGCUGUCGUCGUAGUAGACAAUCUCCUUGAUGCGUCUUGUCUUCUUCUUCUUCCCAUCUUUGCAUUUGUGGCCCGAGCCCGAGUCGGUAGGCUUGUCAUCCUUGGGCUCAUUGACGAAGGACUCCUUCUCCUUAUCAUUGAUCACAAUCCCCUUGCCCUUAGGAUCCAUCUCUUCGGGCGGUUAGUCCUUUUCUUGAAGAGAACGGCUCCGAUACCAAUUGAGAGCACCUAGAGGGGGGUGAAUAGGUGAUCCUAUAAAACUUGAAAUUUAACUCACAAAACUUGAUUAGGAGUUAGCACAAAUAAUGCCAAGUGGCUAGAGAGGAGUCUCAACAAAACAUAAUAACCACAAGAGAUCAAUCACAGAGAUGGCACAGUGGUUUAUCCCGUGGUUCGGCCAAGACCAACGCUUGCCUACUCCACAUUGUGGCGUCCCAACGGACGAGGGUUGCAAUCAACCCCUCUCAAGCGGUCCAAAGACCCACUUGAAUACCACGGUGUUUUGCUUGCUUUACUAUAUCCCGUUUGCGAGGAAUCUCCACACUUUGGAGCCUCUCGCCCUUACACUUAGAUGAUCACAAAGAAGCACGAAGUAAGGGAAGGAUAAGCAACACACUCAAGACAAGAAAUCACAGCAACACCACGCACACAAGUCGCAACAAGAGCUCACAACACAACUCAAUGAGUUCACAACUCAACUAGAGCUCUAACUGCUAUCGCAAGGAAUCAAAAGCGCGGAAUCGAUGUCUUAGUGCUUAGGAAUGCUUAGAGAAUGCUUGGUGUAGUCCUCCAUGUGCCUAGGGGUCCCUUUUAUAGCCCCAAGGCAGCUAGGAGCCAUUGAGAGCAAUCCGGGAAGGCAAUUCUUGCCUUCUGUCGCCUGGCGCACCGGACAGUCCGGUGCACCACCGGACACUGUCCGGUGCGGAUUUCCUUCCUUAUUUGGCGAAGCCGACCGUUGGCAGCCUUGGAGCCGUUGGCGCACCGGACACUGUCCGGUGCACACCGGACAGUCCGGUGCCCCCUCCCGACCGUUGGCUCAGCCACGUGUCUCGCGCAGAUCGCGCAGCCGACCGUUGGCCCGGUUGACCGUUGGCUCACCGAACAGUCCGAUGAAUUAUAGUCGUACGCCGUUAAUUUAUUCCCAAGAGCGGCAAGUUCGCCUGUGCCAGCCUGGCACACCGGACACAGUCGGGUGCACCCAGACAGAGCUGACUUUGGCUGAACAAGGCCAUCUCUUUUCCAAUUCGAUUUCUCCUGUUUCCAGCACUAAGACACAAUACAUUAGUCACUAAAACAAUGUACUAAGUCUGAGAAACAUACCUUUAUACUUGAUUUGUACUUUGUCCACCAUUUGACACUUAGGCACUUGUGUUGGACACUAGAUCACCAAAACACUUAGAAAUGGCCCAACAACACAUUUCCCUUUCAGAGUCAUAUAAUCAUGUUACUUAGUUAAUUCUUCGCUUCACCGCAACAAUGUCGUCGUCGCUCUAUCAUCGUCCAUGUUCGGUCAGGUGAGGUGAGGUGAGGUGUAGUCUCUAAUAUACUUAAAGCACCAGUUUCAACGGUCGUCCUACGCCAUCUUUUUACAAAAAGUCCCUACAUUUCUUUUAAAUCAAUUCAGCGUAAAAUGUUAAAAAGCGGCGCCAGAGACAAUCUUUCACAUGAUCAUGUUGUCCUGCAGAUGGAGUAGUAGGCCUUCACGUGAUCAUGUUGUCCGAUAGAUAGGGUAGCGGGCCAGCGGUUGUUGGUUACUCUCCACCAACAAGAGAGAUAGGAAUCUAUUAGAAGCCAGAGCUCCAGCUUGCUAGUUCGAUUUGAUGGCAGCAACUAACAAGACAAUGACGCUCAGCAUGAUAUGAAGAUUGCCAUCGAUAGGAAGGAUCAUCACCUGCUGUUCGCGGAGGCGAGAAAGGAUGUGGUCGACUUCUUCUCCCUACUCGUCCUACUCGUCGGCGCGACCGUCAAACUGCUGGGGAAUAAGGGCAUGGCCGACAACACCUGACCAUUGAUCUCACAUGCCAUUUUAGCUCUCUCAUUCUCUAGUCUCACCCUGACUAUUUAGGUCUCCUGACUCGCUAAUAUAAACACCAUCCUAUCAUUUGAUCUCGAAUACUUCUUUGUCACAACUCAACUGUCAGAUGAGUACUCCAUUACAACACUUACGUACAAGAGUUCUAUGAGAGCAGGCCUCCGAAAUGAAUGUCGACUAAGUGUUUAUCUACUCAGAUGAAGGACGACAAUCGUGUUCUUCGAAAAUAUCAGCGACAUAACUCCUUACUUCCUCCGCUUCUUUCUAGUGUUUUUUGUUGUGAUUGAGUCGACACAACAACAACAUUGCACUAUUACAACCAGUACGACUAUAUCAACUAACAAUGUCUUCCUUAUAUGUUACUAUUUAUUUUGCUCAUAUUCAUUAUGUUUAAAUCACAUGUGCACCUUUCUAUUGACAUCAAAAAAAUAGUAUCAACUUUCUAGAUUAAAAUGCAACUAAAAGUACCUAAAUUUCUAUCGGUGGGGAUUGAGUGAUUCUUUAAACCGAUUAUUACAUAAGUUAACCACACUAAAAUUAACAUUGGUGAAUUGUGCCAUGAUUUUUUUCUAGUGCAAAAUAGCCAAACCAAGCAACACAUAUGUGGCUAUCGUUACACAUGUGUAAAGGUAUUGCAUCACACCAUUGUCACCCAUGUAUUUGGACAAUACCGAGAGGAAAACCCACUUAUUUAUUGUAUUUUAUCAAGUUUGUCUUGCUUACGUAUAAAUUAUAACCCAACAAAGUAGUCACUAAAUGUCAAAACCAACUAGAUACCAUGUCAUCUCUACCUUAUCUUACUAAUGUUCUUUUUGCAAAAUCCAAAAUUAAUCUUGCACAAGCACAAGGACUGAUAUGUGUAUAAAUAUCUCUUAGAUUAGUAGUUAAUACAUCGCACAUAUUAUUGAGACCAACUAGCAACAUAGAAAGCACAAUAGUGUACCAACAAUGGCAGCCAAAAUAUUUUGCUUCCUUAUGCUCCUUGGUCUUUCUGCAAGUGUUGCUACCGCAACCAUUUUCCCACAAUGCUCACAAGCUCCUAUAGCUUCCCUUCUUCCCCCAUACCUCUCACCAGCGGUGUCUUCAAUGUGUGAAAACCCAAUUGUUCAACCCUACAGGAUCCAACAGGCAAUCGCAACAGGCAUCUUACCAUUAUCACCCUUGUUCCUCCAACAACCGUCAGCCCUAUUACAGCAGUUACCUUUGGUCCAUUUGGUGGCACAAAACAUCAGGGCACAACAACUACAACAACUUGUGCUAGCAAACCUUGCUGCAUACUCUCAGCAACAUCAGUUUCUUCCAUUCAACCAACUGGCUGCAUUGAACUCUGCUGCUUAUUUGCAACAACAAUUACCAUUCAGCCAGCUAGUUGCUGCCUACCCCCAGCAAUUUCUUCCAUUCAACCAACUAGCAGCAUUGAACUCUGCUGCUUAUUUACAGCAGCAACAACUACUACCAUUCAGCCAGCUAGCUGAUGUGAGCCCUGCUGCCUUCUUGACACAACAACAGUUGUUGCCGUUCUACCUGCACGCUAUGCCUAACGCUGGCACCCUCUUACAACUGCAACAAUUGCUGCCAUUCAACCAACUUGCUUUGACAAACUCAACAGUGUUCUACCAACAACCCAUCAUUGGUGGUGCCCUCUUUUAGAUUGCUUAUGAGUUAUAGUUCAAUAAUGAAGUUUUUUGGAUGAUGUUUGUGGCGUCCCAGAAAUAAGAAAGUACAUUUCUAGAUUCUUAUGUGCUUCUAGUCUCCAAAUGUGGUCGAUAGUUAUUUUGCUCUAAGAUCGGGAGUAAUGAGGUAUAAAUCAUCGUUGUGGUGUGCUACUCGGUUAAUUAAGCAUUAACACACACAAACAUGACGAGGAUGGUAUAAUCUCCAAAAAUAUGUACUUUGUUAGGUGGGACCCUAUAGCCAUGCAGAAUGUGCUAUGUUAGGCUUGCCGAUGGAAACGUGUGACGCAUACGUUUUGUGAACCUGUUGAUAUUAUAUGUGCUUUUAUAUUAUCAUAUUUUAUUAAAAUAUUAAUAUUUAUUACUAGUAAGAUAUAACAUUCUAUCUAACUUAAAACUUACCAUAAAUAUUCCAUCAUAACUAGAUUUACCAAACUAAUAAACUAAAUAUACAUAAUAAAUACAAAAUUAACAAGACAUUAAUCAAUAUUUACGAGCUUAAUAAAUUUAAACAUUAUGGUUUGUCGACGAUAAUCAUACUAACUUUCUGUAAUUGCUUGAUUGUAAAUAUGCUUAGACUAAUGCCUCUUUGUUCUACAUGGCAAAUAGGGACCGCUCUAGAAGACUAGGAUGUCCCUUGAGACGAAAAUGUUAUCAUUGGUGUAGACUAAUUUCUAUCGGUCGCUGACUUCACUAUUGUAACCAUUAUCUCUUGGGUAAAUCAUAUACGAUUAUCCAGCCAAAGGGCCCAGAUGAUAAAAAACAAUUUUAAUUGCUAUUUCAGGACAAAUGAAUUAGCAUGGUUCGAAGGAUUAUGACCUUCCCCCAUGACCUUUGUCAUACUGCUUUAGUCUAAUCGACAAAACCAAGAUUAGAUUUCAUCGAAGAAGUUGAUAAGCGAAGCUGUGACGAUGAAAGGAACAUGGUGGCAAUAGGACGAACGACAAUUCCUUUGUCUAAGAAUGACAUCUAGAAGAAAUCUCAGACAAAAUAGAACAUGAAUGGCUUGUCAGUACAACGAAAAUACUGAAACAUGCACCCUUGAAUAUGAAACAUUUAUAUGUAAGAGGAAGGGCUAAAAAACUAAUUUCUCGUGCCUAAUGAUUUUAUUGAGAAUUUUAAGGCGAGACUUAUGGAAAAGGGUUAUACCCAAAAAAAGGAGAGAUUAUUUCGAUACUUAUUAACUUGUUGCCCUUCUAAUGACCAUACAUGUGUUACUUUUUUGGUUGCCUCGCAUGGUCUUAUCGUUCAUCUGAUGAAUGUUAAGACUUCUUUCCUAAAUGGAGAGCUUAAGGAACAGAUCUACAUUGACUAGCUUGGUGGUUUUAUAUCAAAUGAUAAAGAGAAAAAGGUGUUUAAAAUAUUACAAUUGUUUGGUUUAAAACAAGCACUAAAGCACAUAAGAAAUUUGGUAAAGUUCUGACUUUGGCUAAAUUUGUUGUAAAUGAAACUGAUAAAUGUGUCCAUUACCGAUUUGACAGGGGCGAAGGUAUGACCCUUUUUAUAUGUGGACAAAAUAUUAACCUUUUGUAACGAUGUUAAUAUGAUCGAGGAAGUAAAGUACUUUUUGUCUAGUAACUUUGAAAUAAACAAUCUGGGAGAGGCUAAUGUUGUUCUUAACAAAGAGAUAUUGAGAGAAGAAGGAAAUACGGAGUUACUCUUGUGCAAUCCUAUUAGGUUGAAAAGUCGCCGAGUCACUUUGGAUAUAGUGAUUACACGUCUCGUCCAACAACUUAUGAUCCAAGCGUGCUAUUAUGGAAAAAUCAUAUUAUCGCAUAUGAUCAAUUGAGAUACUGUCAAAUCAUGGUCUUCUCAUAUAUUUGGCUAGCCCAGCGAUGUCUGAUAUCUCAUUUGUUAUGAGCAAACUCAGUCAGUUUGUAUCCAAUCUAGGGGAGGAUCAUGGUAUGCCCUAGAGAGGGUAUUGCACUUUCUCAAAGGGACUAUGAGUAAUGGCAUUUAUUACACUAGGCACCUAAGAGUACUAGAGUGUUAUAGUGAUGCAAAUAGGAUAUCUGAUGUUGAUUAGGUUUAAGCCACAAGUAGACUUGUGUGCUUUCUUGGAGGUGUGAUUGUUUCAUGGAAGUCUUGUAAGUAGACCAUCUUAACAAGGUCAACAAUAGAAGUAGAACUCACAAUAUUAGAUACUACCAAAGUUGAAGUUGAGUGGCUCCAUGAACUCCUUAUGGAUUUAGCAGUAGUUGAAAAAUCAAUACUGGUUAUCUCUAUGAGAUACAAUAAUCAAACAUUUGUAAUCAAAGUAAAUAGUCCUAAAGUUAACAUGAUGUCUACAAAGCACGUAAAAUGGUUGAAACUGUUAAAACACUAAGAAACUCUAGAUUAAUUAUGUUGGACUAUAUCCAUACAUCUAAGAAUUUGGUAUGCCACUUUAUAGAAGAUUUGUCACAUAAUAUGAUUCAAGGUGCAUCGAGGAAUAUAGGCUUGAGACCCACUUAAUGUCAAUCCAUAGUGGUAGCAUUUUCUAUGUGAUUGGAGAUCUCAUGAAGUAGAAUGGUGAAACAAGGUAGAGAAUGACUGAUGGAGAGACUCCUUAAAUAAAAUCUUGGUAAUUUGAGAUGCACAUUUCUCAUUUGAUGUAUUGUAGGCGAACUAAAAUCUUAAUAUAAUUUGAGUGACUUAUCUAAGUAGGGAUGUUAUCUUACAGAACAUCCUAGAAAGAACACACCUAUAUGAGUUUGAAUGUUAGUCAUAGUCUAUCAUGUGUGGGUAAUCUUUAUAUACUCAUGAAAGGCCUCGAAGUUUGACUUAUACAGUUCAAACCAAGGGGGUGCUUGUAACAGUCUAGUACCAGAUAAGAACUUUGGUGAUACUCACUUAACACAAAAAUGUCAAUUCAAGGCAUAGUUCAUUGUUUAGAUGUGAAUGUGUAAUCCCUAUUUUAGAUGGAUGGUCAACUUAACAGCCUCCACCAAAACCCUGAUAUCUCAAAGAGUAGUGGAUUUGAGUUUGUCUAAUAUGUGGCUUAGAAUUUGGUGGGGAUUGUUAAUAUUUUAUGGGCUUGGCCCAUUUAAAGUAUUUAAUACUUUUGAAAGCCAAGAUUAAACAAACUAUGUAUGAUCCUUUAUCACUGUAUAGAUGGUUGAUGGGAUGGUUACAUUGUUUAUAUAGAUGGACCUAUCUGUAUUCAUUGAGUGGUUGAGAAAAAGGUAAAGGCGCGUCACACCCACGUGUGUGCCACCUCCACCGAGACGAUGUGUGGCGUGGCAAGGUGAGGCAUGGCAUGGUGCAGCACGGUUGCAGUCAUGGUCGUGGCGCGGUGUAGCGUUGUUGUGGAUAGAUAGAUAAACUAUUGUUGUAGUUAGAGCACAUGAGUUUUUGAAUGUAACACUAGAAUCUUCGCAUGUUAACUUAAUUAAGAACUUAUAUCUUGAUGACAUAGAGUUACCUGACCAUUGAUCUCACAUGCCCGUUUAGCUCUCUCGUUCUCUGGUAUCACCCUGUCUAUUUAGGUCUCCUUACUCGCCAAUAUAAACAUCAUCCUAUCAUUUGCUCUCGAUUCACUUCUGUCACUACUCAACUGUCAGAUGUGUGGCAGAACCUCCCAAGUUAUUGGGCCCACAUGCACCUGCCCUUGUCUCAAAGACCUCAGACGACUAUGCAUGUGCACCAGAUAACUUAACAGGAUCCGUCUGAGUGUCCCAAGGACCCCGGAUAAACCACUUACAACCAGGACCACAAGAUUAAGUAAACACAAAUCACACACUAACGUUUAGCAGCGGAAUUUCUUUAUUACAAAAAACUUACAAGUUACACCAAAUUUACAUUAUGUUUAUCGGAGUGGUUACAAAAGUGUUUCAAAGGAAUAAACUUUGAAGUGUUAUAAAUUAUUUAUAAGUUUGAAAUAUAUGCUAGCUUAGUGACAAUCCUCAACAAGAAGUAUAAUAGAGGUACUUAGACUUAUAAGAAGGUCGUGCCCACCGGCGGUUAACACCAUCCAUAGCAGCACAAACCUAGUACCUGCAACAACAUGGGUUCGAAAACCCUUAGUACGAAGUGUACGUUCGCAAGUCUUACCCGUCUAAGGAAAAAGACUCUCAAGGAUAUGCUGGCUAUUGGGAAUCAAGGUAAAGCUUAUCAAGAAUCAAAGAUUGUUUGCAGAAAAGCUUACUAUAAGUGAAUCCUUAAAAAAUCAUUUUACUUGUCAGGUUAAGUAAAGUUACCUGCAUCUAGAGUUCUUUCUAUCCUAGUUCAAUCACUUGGCCUAUACUAGCUGUCUUUUUAUCAUCCCAUCAGUUCACUGGAUUGCUACGUGUAAGUCAGUGACCAAGUCUUCAUGUCCGAGAAGUAACGGCGAUCCGAAUCGAUUAAUACUCAGCUAAGGAUCUCUAAUCACACGACAUAUGUAGCACUUAACCCUUGCAUAUGUCAACUCGCCACUGGGUUUCUCAAGACCAGACCGGGUUCACGCUAACCGAGAGCACAGAUACACCACCGUCCAGCCUCUUGCCACGGAGGAUACACACUACUCUCGCCAUCUCUCCACUCCCAUUGCGUGUUGGCCUUUCUGGUAUUGGUCUGCCCGAGGCAAAGCUUACCCAUGACGAGGCAUGUGACUAGUUAAAGGGUCCUCGGUCAGCAGACCCACAUCGGUACGGUCCUUAAUCGACUCAGAUGGAGACACUACACCGAGACUCCCUUCUUGUGCAAGUCAACUGCCCGGUCUCAGCUUUAUUAUUUAAAACCCAAAGUUUGGUACUUGGCAGAAGUACAUCUUUUCAGAUGUUGAACCCAUCAAGGCCCUGAUGGAUCCACCAUCAUAAGUUUUUCUUUGUAAAAAUUCCCAUCCAAUCUGAAGCAUCACCUUUUUUUGUAAAACAAAACAUUUUGUUUCUCUAAAGCAAUGCUAAGCAUCAUAAAAUCCUUUUCAUAAAAGGGAUAUCAAGGGUAAUCAAUUUUUCAAGGAAGAAAAUGCAUCAAUUGUUUAGCACACAACUUCUAUCACCUAAUGCAUCAAACAAGGCGAUAAAGAUUUUAAAACAGCAAGGAGGUGGCAAAUGCACUGGGACUUGCCUAGAUAACACUAGGUUAGUGUUGUUAGGUGGCAACCAGCCUUUUGUGUUGGCACUUAUUCAGUCUGCCAUCUUCAGGUUGAUCCCCCAGCAUCACCUUGGGGAGAAGCCCACGCUUAACAUCAUCUUGUGGUCGACUCAGCUCUGGUCCUCCAUAUCACGUGAUCAACUAGCGUACCUCAUAAGAUGCACGAUGCACAUGUAUGAGUAUCAAGACGAAUAUCGCAAGAUAAUAUUACGAUUUUACAGAAUGAAGAAUUAAACACUUAAUGGUAAAGCAUCACGACAUUUCAUAGGCAACCCGCAUGGAUCUAACGAUAUCACACAACGUAAUAUAACUAAACAAUUCAAAUCCGCGAGGACGACGACGAAUCCAGUCCGAGCAAUCCACCGAAUACUCGAUGAACGUCGCAUGGAUCUUACUUCAUCAAAGCAAAGGUCACCACAAAAACAUAACCUUAACAGUCUAACGUAUUUAUACAAUCUUAGUACAUAGUUUCUUAGAUUUCGAUUAAAAUCGGCUCACCGACACUACUCGUUUCCAAAUAAUUUUAAGCUACGACCCACAUUUAUCCCCCGAAUAUCGACUUAAGUGAUCAGCAUUCGUCUAUGACACCUAGCCGAUUAACAACAUAAUACGGCACUAUUAAAGCAAAUCACUACUUCACCACUACUAUUCAAGUAGAAACUAUUGGCUGGCUGAUUAAAAUCCCAAACCUAUUUUACAUGUUAUGAACUAGCCAAAAUAUAACAUAUAUAUCUAUCAAUAUCUUCAACAUAAUUAACACCCCAAGCCUAUGCUUCAUCACACAAAGACGAAGUGUCAACUCUACAUUUAUGAGCAUCGCCACAUACUACAUGUGAUACAUUUUAACAAUCAUUUAAUAUAACCACACGCACCUGUGCAACUAACAAAAGAAUUCGUCGUGACCAACAAACUAACUCAAUCUACUCCAUGAGUCGGCUAGCGGGAGUAGUGAAAUAGCUCACCACACCAUAAACGACUCGGAUCUGCGAAAUCGACGAUGAAUCCUAGCUCAAGCAUUUCAUUAGACAUUUGGCAAGUGUUGCGUUGAACUACGGUUUCUUUUCCGCACAAAACCCUGGGAUUGCUUUCCUUAAAUCAGGCGCCCAAACUCACGACAUCGACCAAUUCACGGGUACGCAUGGAACAGUGGCGACAACGAGUCAAUGAUAGUUGACCAAACUUUACAUUACCUCGAGCAGUUGGCGAAUGCUGCGGCACGGAAGCAGUAGCGUGCGCAUAAAGGCAGUGAAUGUGGCGAGGGCCCGGUUUGGACAUUUCGUUGAGCGCCUAGCUUGUACCGACGGCGCAGGUGCUGGGCCGAGAGACAACGACAAAAUCCGAUUAUCUAUACUACCUAUUAAGGCUCUAAGGGGUAGGCUGCCUCUGCUUGUUCUGCCUUCCGACGAUCUCAACCGUCCAAUACGCUCUAGAGUCUCUCAGCCGUCCGAUGCGCGCACUCUCACCCCCCACGCAUCGCCCCGCCCCCACCCGAUCGUCCAACCGUGCGCUACCCUAGCUUUGCCUCUACACUCCUCCCGCCGCCUCCUACCCUCCUCCGCGCGACGGCGCGAGCCGCAGCCGGCCCCCGCUCGAGUUGUCCACGAAUCCCACCGCUUGACGCCGUCCAUGCCGCGCCGCACGCCCGCAACCGCCCGCGAAUCCCGCCGCGACCCGCACGCCGUCCCUACGCCCGCCGCUAAACCCCCGUCGUGAAAUGCCCGCACGCACACCUGCUAGCCGCUGCGCACGCCCGCCGCGCGAUGCCGUCCAUGCCGCACCGCACGCCCGCAACGGCCGCCUCCCUACGCGCUUGGGAACCGCCCGCACAGCCCGCCGCGACCCGCACGCCCACGCGCCCAAAUCCCGUCAUGGUCUAGGGCUUCCCCACAACGCCCUCCUUCCCUGCGGCCGUAGAGGCUCCCGCGGCCCCCGUGGCGUGCGCCAGGUGCGGCGCGGACGGGUGCACGGCGGCCGGCUGCUGCGAGCUCGUCGCCGGGUCCAGCAGCGACAGCGACGACGCAGGGUGCUUCGGGACCCGCACCAACGGCGGCGGCCUAGGCCUAGGCCUAGGCGCGGGCAAGCGGAGAGGGAGGGGAGGGGGAGGAAGGUGAGCCAGUACAGGGGCGUGCGGUCCAAUUUUUGGGUAAAUUUCUGGGUCUUCAUCGUGUAUUUUAUGGUUCGUUGAUGGGUUUCCUGAUGGUUGAUGCACGCCUGCUUGGUGGAGGCGGGAAUGGUGAUCGAUGAUUCGUUGGGUGGGUGGGGGGACUGGCUGACAGCUGACAGCUGACUGUGUAUUGUGGUUUGGAUGGCAGGUUUAGCGUCAGUAAUAGCUAGGAUUAGGGUUCAGGCGAUGCUAAGAUUUUGGGGCGCCAAUUGCAGAAUCACUGGAUUGAUUCAUCUUUUAGGGGUUUCCUCGUACUCGGAGUACGAGGGCACCGUUUUAGUUGAAUGUUGCUCUGGUGUCUAAGCGCCAGGUAGUCAAUUUUGCAGUUUCAGUUGGGGAUUGUACGCUGGCAUCAGUUUUUACCUUCUACUCGUUUCAUCUCUUAACAACUUUGUGGUUUGCAGUGGGCACAACAAUUUGUUGCUGCAAACUCUUGUGCUCCGUGGGGCGUGGGCUGUGCAGCAGUUGUGCAGUUUAAUUGUUCUGUUUAUCAUAAUACACAAGGAGUUAGUGUUUGAGCAGAUGUCAAGAUGUUAAUUGUUUAGCAGAUCUCUAGAGGUAAGGGGUUUAUUUAUUUGUUUUUGUUGAACAUAGGGUUUAAGCAGGUCUAAGACUUCAGAUUUUGUGUGGUGACAGUCUUAGGGAUUGCUAAUUUGCUACUAAGAUCGGGAUGCCCACAAUUGUAAUUGUUUUUCGAUCAGAUACUGUUGGUUUUGCAUGGUCCUUGUAUGAGGAUUACUUCUCUAUGACAUUUUUUCUUCUGCAGAAUAAUCUGUCCUUGAAAUAGUGGUGAUAUGUAUUUCUUUUCAGUGCUGUUUUUGUAACUGUGUGAUGGUUAAUCCAUUGGAUUCAUAUGUUCUUGUGUGUCAUAUUUAGGUUGUGUUGGAGGAAUUUAAAACCCUAGCCUAUUGAGUGAGCUGAGUCCUGAGUGUUACAUGUAUUAGAAUUAGGCUCAUAACACUUGUCAUGGCUAGAAAAUUUAGAUCCAGUCUAAAGUUUUUAUUACGGAUCUCACUACUCUAGCAUGGGAAUCGUUCUUCAUUACAUGCUUAGGCUCGAGCCAUUUACAUCUCUGUAUCUAAAUUUUCAGGUUGUCAUUUUGCUCAUAGCUAUCACUGUUUCCUUAAAAUUCGAGCACAUAGCUAUUAUUUUCAAAACAUUAUUCAUGAAUUUGUCAAAACAUAAUUUCUCUUGUUGUAUUUCACCACAGUUCAAAAUAAGGGAUCUUAUCAUAUUAUUUACAUUUAUGUCUGUCUGACACUUGUGCAGGGUGGCAAGUUUGACCAUGCAGAUCAUUUGUUCCAAAGCAUUGAGAGCGCUUACAUAAAUAGCUUAUCAAAUACAAGUGACGUCAAAGAGCUUAUUCCAGAAUUCUUUUACAUGCCCGAGUUUCUUGAAAAUUCAAAUUCAUAUCAUCUUGGUGUCAAGCAGGAUGGGGAACCUAUAGGCGAUGUUGCUCUCCCUCCAUGGGCAAAGGUAACAGUUCCUCUUGAUGUUAGUUAUAUUUGUAAUAAUAGUUUUCUUGAGGAUGGAUUGUUUGUCUACCAGGAUAGUUCUGUUGCUUUUCUAAUGACAGUUAAUUUAGCUUUACAACUGUGUUAGUAAAAACCUUACUAUUCUCAGAUACACAGGGUAUAUCUAGCUUUCACAUACAUGUUACAUUUCCUAUCCCAUCUAUCAACUACAGACGGCAAGAAGUUUGUUGACUGCUUGAAGGAUCAGAAUAUCAUGCCUGGCAUCAAGGUUGACAAGGUAUGCAUGCCAUGAUCUUAUAACAUCAUGUUAGCCCACAAUUUGCUUCUAUCAUUAUGAUUCUCACUGCCUGAUUGCUUUGGUUUCAUGAAUCAGGGUUUGGUUCCAUUGCCUGGAUCCAACAAUGAAUCAUGGUGCCAAGGUCUUGAUGGUUUGGCUUCAAGGUGUGCUGAGUACUAUAAGCAGGGGGCGCGCUUCGCAAAGUGGUCUGUUCAUACUUCCCUUAUUCAUGUGUCAACUAAUCUUAUUUGUGCUUCCUUUCUAAAGUUGCUAUGAUUAUCGAUCUUCUCUAGGAGGACUGUUGCUAGCAUCCCUUGUGGUCCAUCUUCAUUAGCAGUCAAGGAAGCAGCAUGGGGACUUGCUCGAUAUGCUGCUAUUGCUCAGGUAACAAAAUAAACUGCAACUGUGGAAACAUCUUGCAAUAAUUUUUUGAUGACUCAUGGAGCUUUGGUGAAGAACCUAUCUGCAUUCGUAUGGGCACGCAUUAGUCGUGCUGCAGUUACUGUGGAUAGAAAGACGUAUUUUAAUGGGGCUCAGGAUUUGUUUGUUGUUCAACCUGAGGUGUUUAUAAACAUCUAAUACCCCCUGUUCCAAACUAUACUAUGUUUUGACUUUUAUAGAUUCAUAGCUUUGUUGUGUUCUUAGAUAUACACUAUGUCUAUAAUAGUAUAAUCUAUAUAUAUAUCUAUACUACCUAUUAAGGCUCUAAGGGGUAGGCUGCCUCUGUUUGGUUCUGCCUUCCGACGAUCUCAACCGUCCAAUACACUUUAGAGUCUCUCAGCCGUCCGAUGCGCACGCUCUCACCCCCACGCAUCGCCCCGCCCCCAGAUCCCGCAUCCCCCACGGAUCCCGCAGCCGCGCCGCUGUCGCUCCCUCCCGUGCUCCCUUCGCGCCCGCCCAUGGAUCUCCGACAUCGAGCGCUGCCGCCGCUGCCUCGCCUCGGCAAACCCGGCUCCAGGGCGACAGCUCCCGCCGGUGGGACCUCGUGUUCAGCGUCGUGAAGCCGUCCGUGAUCCAGCUGCGGGGGCCCACCAAGGUCAGUGUCUUCAUCGCCAGCAACGACGGCAGCGCUCGCUCCCUCCGUACCAUCCAAUGGCCCGCGUUCGUCCCCUGCCCCGGCAACCCAGCUUAACCCUAGCUCGCUCCCUCCGUAGCCGCCUCUUCCUGCUUCGCUCCUCUCGCGUAGCAACCGCUCCCUCCACUCCCGAGAUCGUGGCCCGACGCCAUGCCGCUCCCGAGACCGCGCCACAAAGCCGCGGAACGUCCUCACCGAUGCACCGACGCGCCCCCGAGCCUGCUUCCCGACGCCACCCUCACACAACCUGCCCCCUGUCACCCUCUGGACGGGACGACACAGGUCUGGAGAAGGGUCCAGAAACCGGCGCGAGUCCACCGCGAAUCCACACGAUCGAUGUCGUCCUCCCGCUCGUUUCGCCGUCGACCUUUCUCCAGUGGUUGAGUGCGACAGGGUUGGUGGCUAGGUCGUGCGAUGGCGAAAUCGAGUCCAGAGUAGCAGAGCAAGGCUGGUCCCAGCGGGCUGCCGGUGUUGUGACCUGCGUGCGUGGUCGUACGCCUGGCCGUUGUGCCGCUAGCUGCGGCGGGCGGGUGGCUGGCGGCGUCGCAUGGCGGACCCAACGCCCAUACAACCUCCAGGGAUUGCUUCCUCCCCAUGGCGUGGAUCUAGAUGGUCUUCACGGCAGAGGAGGAAGAGGUGUCACAGCAGCUUCCGAAGACAUCGUCGACGUCCCUUACCACCUCGAUUGGCGAUGGCAUCGACAGCCCCCAGCCACUGCCCGCGCUAACGGUGGCGUGGACCUCACUGUCUUCAAGCAGUUCGAGCGGAUGGUGUGUUGGCUUCUGCAUGCUUCGUGUUUUCGAAUACGUUGCUAAGCUCAGCAUUGGUUGGUGAUGGUUUUGGUUUGCCAUCUUAAAGAAUCCUGAGCCUGCCAAUGGCGACGACGAUGGAGCUUUGUCACUGCCAGAGACAGGAUUGGGGCUUAGCUUGAAUACUGACGGGGUGCUCAAGGCGUGGUGUGCAGAGGCUCUGCGUUUGCUGAUGGCAAUGGGCCUGACUUGCCAUUGUCCCCUGCUCAUGUGGUAGUAAGUAUUUCCAGCUUAUCUAAAAAUUAUAAAAGAUCUUACAUUUCCAGUUAACAAUUAAAGAUGGCUAGAGCUCUUGGAACCCUGAGUUAUACCUGCUAUUAGUUCAUAUCGUCUGGUAAGUAGAAUCUAUUUCACUUCAGUAGAAGUACAGAUCGUCUGUUGUUUUCUAUCAGCAGUGAUCAGAAAAACUUGGCAUGCAUUACUUUGUUUCGGUCCCUUCGCAUUUCUUGUCAAUGGCAGAUUUCUCCCAGAAGAAAAUCUGUGUCUGAAAUUUGCUAAUAUGAAAUAGUACAGUAUGCCCACCAGUACUUGACUUUACUGACUCAAUGGGCCAGGCAGAAGGAAAUUCCAAUUGGUUGUUUUCUUUGAGUUGAAUCAUUAUAACAAACUUAGCCCUCAUUAUGAUGUAUCUGCAGUUUUUGAAUUCAAUUGAAGUAAAAGGAAAUAUCAUAGUUUGGUCCUUUCGUGAAAUUUUUUUGUCCAAUUUUUUGUCCUUGUAGGUUUUUACGUUGCAUUAGAAAACAUUGUAGGCAACUGAUUUUCUAACAUGUCCCUAUCAGAACUUCCUCCGAGACCAUUUCUUGAGAUCUUGGCACGAGAACUACGACGACGACGACUGGUAAUGUGAUUCUUGCGCCUUCGUUUUUCCCCUGUUUAGACUUUAGAGUGAAUUAGUAUCAUUUUGCUUUUUCCUUUCACCUGAUUGGCAGGGUCUUAGAUUAUUCAACAUUGAUAUGAUUAGGGAGCACCCCCCUUGUCAAGCAACUCACACCAUUACAAGAUCUACACGACAUGGCAUCUGCAUCGCCAAGGCCUCGCUCAACUCAGCGCGGUGAGUAGCACAUGAACAAAAGUGCCCUUUUACCAGUUUUUUAUCAGGGUGCAAUUCUGGAAGCUCAUUGUUUCUAUAAAGAAUUCAAGCUCACUGCAGUUUACUUUGUGUAACAGGAAAGGUGCAUCGAUGACAACCCGGUUCUAUUGUAACAAGAUCAGUGUGGUCCUGGUUGCUUGAUGCUUGUUUGGUUUAAUUGUAUAGCAAAAUUAGGUGUUGACUGCCGAUACCUGGAGAUGUGACACCGCCAGAUGUGUCGCUCAGGCCAGUCACACUGCUCUGCUGUUUUUCAAAGAACAACCUCUUGCUGCGUCAUCAAGGGGUAGACCAGUCUCUGAUGAUUCGUGUAAGAAUCCUUGGGAGAAAGCAAGUGGUCCUGGAAAUGUUACCAGGACAUCUCUGGCCCCACAAGGGCUGCAAGCACAAGUAGGUAUUUAUGUGUUUCACUGAGGAGUGCUACUCAUACCCACGAUGGGAUUUUUUAACCUUAGUCUAAAAUUCGCUCCCAUGGGCAGUCGAACUCAGGACACUGAGGAGUGCUACUCAUACCACAACCAAAACCAAGUCAGCCCUUUCGCUAUACUCUUAAAGGGUUUCUUCAUUUUUUGUUUUCAAUGUUGAUUAUCAUACCUAAAAUGAAAAGAAUGUAGAUUAUGGUCGUAUGGCUGAAAUACUCGUUCGGAGGGCAGGCUCUACUGAUGAAUUCACUCGGUUGACAUCUAUCACAUGGGUAAUUUGUCUUUCAUGUUUUCCUGUGAUCUUAAAACCUAGAAUCUAGACUGCAGAAGCUGGUUUAGUAUUUGUAAGAAUGCUUGACUUAUGACUUAUCCUUUGAAGUGUAGAUCAACGAGUUUGUGAAGCUUGGUGGGGAACAACUUGUUCCCUACUAUGCAGAUAUAUUGGGCGCUGUCUUACCAUGCAUAUCUGACGAGGAGGAGAAAAUCCGAGUGGUACUUUCCCAUCAUGAUUCAUACACUUACUGCAAUGUGAACUGCGUGGUGUGUGCAUGUUCAGGAAUAGCAUUUACUUUAGUUACUGAUUUGUUUGCAAGGUUGCACGCGAAACAAAUGAGGAACUCCGUGCUAUAAAAGCUGAUCCAGCUGAGGGAUUUGAUAUCGGAGCAAUUCUUUCAAUCGCAAAAAGGUUCUCUAUAAAGUCCCUUGGAAAUGAAACUAUGUAGAACUGUUAGGCAUCUAUCUGUAUGCUCUGCCUAUGCUGGUAUUUGAUAAUUAUAUCAACAUGAAAUUUGUGACAAGGCAUUGACCUUUUGUCCUUCAUUUCCAGAGAAUUGAACAGUGAACAUGAGGCCACUCGAAUCGAAGCAUUGCAUUGGUUCUUCACUUUGCUGGAUCGAUAUUGUGCUGAGGUACUAAAAGAGCGAUGGUUUUUGGGCUGCAUUUUGAUAAAUUUCAACAUGUAUCUAAAUGUUUUUAAGCUUUUACAUUGCUGUGAUUUUAUUUUGUCAACUUAGAGUUGGACAUAUGAGAGUUGCAAUUCAUUUAGAUUAACACAAGUCUAUUUGGACCUAUGGUUUAUUUACAUAUUUUCUGGAACAGUUCUUGGCUUACCUGAACGAUAUUUUUGAUCCACUCCUAAAUGCACUUUCUGAUCCUUCGGACGCGGUGAGUUUUCUUUGAAAAGCCUUCCAAACUGCUCUGCUUGUUUCUAGAAUUUGAAACUACAUCCUGUUGUGGGCUGUGAUUAGCUGAUAUUAUAUUGUGCUAUUUGUAUGCGAUGACUUAUAAAGUUAUAGUUUAGUACCAUUUCACAACUCAAUCAAGGUUUGGAUCUAUUUGGAGGGCACAAGCUGCAACUGUUGGGCCUGGUACUGUAGAACCACACCCCAGCACCAUUGGAGUAAUAAUCUUAGAUGAUAAGUUAGAUUCACAUAAUCUCUACUAUAUUUAAAUGGGAAUAAUCUCUCUUCGUGCGUCGCCACGCGUCUCCGCUCCUCCCGCCUGCCUAGCUGAAUUAAUCAAAAAAGGAGAAAAGGAAGAUGGCUCCAGGAUUCAAACCUGGACUGCAAGGACCAAAGCCACGCCCCUUAACCACUGCAUAUAAUGUUCCUUUGUGUUACAGAAGGAUAGAUAUUAUAAUUAAAAGGUAGAUAUUAUCACUACACCUUUAAAGCUUGUGCAAAAAAGAUGCGGGAUGAAAGAUUCGAACCCUGGUCUCUCAAGAAGGGUACAAAGACUUCGCCUGCUAACCAAUACACCUCAUGUUCUGUUAUGUUUUACAAAGGAUCAAUAAUUUUAAUAUAAUAAUACGUAUAAACAGCGCCUGCCCAGGGUGGGUGGUUGCCAUGCUCGUAGCGAUCGGCAGACUGGAUGUUCGCUGUACGUGCAAGGAACAACCUCCAACCUGACCAGUCACAGCAUUGAAGAGAACUGUGACUAUUUCUGCUGGCCCUUGAUGACAGUUCCCCCCCCAGUUAUUUGCUACAAGAAAACCUUUUUUCAGCAGAGUAGCUUUUGGACACCUUGUAUAUGCCUUCAAUUAAAGCGUUUGAAACUCUUUGCAGCCUGCUCACGAGAAAAUCGGUGUCGUUGAUUCCCAAUGGAUUGUACACCAAGUGAUUCCUUCUCUCGGGAACCAGGUAAGGAAGAAAAAAAAGAAACAAAUGUGUACAAUCAGAUUCUACUGUAGCGCCUGAAUAGCAUCUUCCAAAUGCACAGGGGCAGUCGGAGAAUGGGAGGGCGCCAUGGGAAGGGGUAUGAAUCUGACGACUUUGAUAGAUAAUCUCAUGAUGUUUUGUGAGUGUGUGAGGUGCUGUGAAUGAUCUUUAUCUUGGUUGCUGUGUAUGCAGUUAAGAGAGCGUUGCCGGAAAGAGUGGGGGCUUUUCCAGACAAGAAUGGCAGAAGCUGAGAAAGCAUAUUACGAGAUGAUGGGGAUUACACCUCCGAAUGUAAUAUUUGUCUCCUAGGAUAAAAGUUUCAACCCACAUUUUUUUCCUUUGUGUCCAGCAGUGGCUCUUCGAAUAGAGUUAGAUAUUGAUGAAUGGUACAAGUAGAUCAUACGUGACGAUAUAUAUAUAUAUAUAUAUAUAUAGAUCCUUUGAUCCUUCUUCCUGUGUAUUUAUCGUGGGCUGUUCUCACUAGGGUUCUGGUGAAAUGAGAAUGAUAUGUCUGUUCAGUUUAGAGCUUAUAUUCUCUGAACAUGAACAUUCAGAAUCGACAGCAUUGUGCGCACACGAAAAUUCUGCAGAAAACAUUUCAGACGGACAAGGAUGGCCAAAGUAUGACACUUCAUUGUAUACUAGGUGAAUGCCCGUGCGUUGCUACAGAGCGAACAUGUUACAAUAAGAUACAUUAAAAUUCAAAAUACUAAUUACUAUUUUAUGUUCUUAUUAACAUAUUUUAAAAGUUAAGAUAUUUUACAUACCUUAAAAUUCCUACACAUCAAACAAAUCCAUCAUGUGCAGUAAAAUGCAAUAGAGAAGCAUGCAGAUACUGAUGAGGGACGCAGAUUUUUUGGGGACAAAAUGAGGGAGCUGUUGGAGCAUAGAUAAUCACUAGGUAGGGGCUCGUGCGAUGCCACGGAACAUAAAUCUCGAUUUGUAUAUCAGCUAUGCUUCCUGUGAAGCAAGGAAGCGAACGCAAGCCAGCCUUUUGUAUUAGUGCAUUAUGUUCAGUUCUUACUUGAUCAUCCCGUGUUCUCGUGUGUGCCAUUGCCGAGUGGCAAGCUCAACACUGGUAUUGUUGUCUUGUCUCAAAUGAAGUCCGCUUCCACAAGUUAAUCGGAAAUCUUCAUGGGUGAUAGCUGUGUCAGAUUCUUCCGCGCAUAGGGCAAGUAAUGCAAGUGAUAGCUGUGUCAGUUUACCCCCAUUUUUUGGGCAUCUCAAAUGAAGUCCAUUGGAGGUUCGCAAUUUAUGUUCCGUGGCAUCGCACGGGCACCUACCUAGUUAUUGUAGACGAGGAGGACAUGGAAAAUCCUGAGCGAGCACCAGCGUGGAGCUGGGGACCGAGCAGAGGAGGUCUAGGCUAGAGUGGCGCCCAAACACACGACCAUGCAAUCGGUAAGGACUGGGAGCUCAUUUUCGGAUCUGGGCGACAGCGCAGUCCAAGACGGCUAUGACCAGGAACCGAGCUGCAGGACGAGGUCAAACGGAGACCAGAGCUGGCUCACAACGAAGUUGGAGUCGACGACCGGCGACAAAGGAAAUAGGGGGGCGCUCCUCCGACAACUAAAGCCCACGCCGGACCGAGCAGAGAGCGCAGGACCACGGCAAAGUGAGCGCUCCCACGAAAGAACACAACCACACAGACGCGGCCACCGGUGAGGAACCUCGACGUUGAAGCUGGAGUAAGCGAGGGCGUCCGAUCUGCAGAAACUGAGAAGGGGAAAAAUGGAGAAGGGUCGACGGCGUCCUGCGCAGGGAGAAAGCGCGCGCGACCAGGGACUCGGGCAACGCAGUGACUGCGAUCUGUAGACCGGCCCAACAGCGAGGACAAGCAGAGAGGGGCGAGCUGGAGCAGAGGGCAGGGCCGAGCUCGGCGUUGGGGGCGAGUGCCGGCCAUGGAAGAUGAGCAGUCGGCGCUGGGGAGCAGGGAGAUGGGAACUCGAGCUGGGGAAAGGGACUCGGCGACCUCAAUCACCAGGAGGCGCGGCCAAGUGAAAUACGAGCAGGGGCCAGGAGCGCGCGGAGGGAGAGGAAGAAAGCUGAGCGCCAUGGAGACGGGCACGGCAGGGAGGAGCGCCGGCAGAGGAGGAGCUCGGCGCGCAGAGGGGCGAGCCAGGGAGCUCCGGCCGGGCGCAGUCCGAGCAGGGUCUAGGGGCGUGUGGAGGAGAAGCCGGGGAGGAGCGCCGGCGAGCUCGCGGCACCAGGGAGCAGGGCGCGCGGCGAGCAGCAGAUGAUGGAAGUUGCCGCAGGGAGAAGCCAAGGUGAGGGCGCGUGAGGAAGAAGGAAAUUGUGGCUGGGCGUCGAUGGUGAGAAGGGAGGAUAAGGACGGCUGAAGCCCAAGCGGUGGAGAGAUAUUUUUCCUUUUCUCCCUUUUCUUUCUUUUAAUUAGGGAAUACACUGCUAACCGAAUUUAAGAAUUAAACGAGACUAAAAUGGAUCAAUUUAUGAUUUUAGGAUUAAGAUUUUAGGGGGUCUAAAAGAUGUAUAAAAGGAUCAGCCAAAAACGAGAUCGACAACAAUAUUUAGACAGGUUUUGAUGUGGUGAAUACUCCCGGUGUCAAUGAAUUCUUACCCUUUAUUUAUAUUUGAAGAUUUAUAUCGAGACAAGAAACAAAUGGACCAAUCCAAAAUGAUAUGGACGACGAUAUUUGAGACUAUUUGAGACUGCAUUAAUUUAGUUGAAAUCGGAUAAAAAUUUAUCCGAUAUCUAAACAUGGUUGAUUUUAUUAUCUUACAGAGUGUGCUGAAUAAUAAAUUAGAUCAUAACCUCGCGCACGAUUUUUCUCGGACAAUGUGUGAUUCAGAUUAUUUUGCCCCGAACAUUUUUUUGUCGUCGAGUUCUACUUAAUCUGUUUGAGAGGAAAUCGGAGGACUGAACUAAAUUUCCAAAUUCGUAUUCGCUUACUGAUGAAUUUUAAAUAGGCACAUGACUCGCAAACUUUCAGAACAAUUACGUUCCGAAAUUCGCGAAAACUUUAGGAAGAGUCUAAAUAGACAGAAACAUAUACGAUAUUAAAGUCGCGAUAGACAAAAAUGAUUAAAAUUUAGCAUCUAUUUUAUCCAACGCUAUCACGUGUUAAAGUCCGCACUCGUGGUCGAGCAGACAAUAAACACCUGGGGUGUUACAAGAUGAGUACUCCUUUACAACACUUACGUACAUGAGUUCUAUGACAGCAGACCUCUGAAAUGAAUGCCAGCUACAUGUUUAUCUACUUAGAUGAAGGAAGACAAUCACUUUUUGUGAUGUCUCGGCGACAUUACUCCUUACUUCCUCCACUUCUUCCUAGUGUUUCUUUAUUGUGAUUGAGUCGACACAGCGACUACACUGCACUACAACAACCAGUACGACUAUAUCAAUUGGCAAUGUCUCCAUUAGGUUUGAGUCUUAUGAGGGGCUUAAAACUAUGUCACAAUUUAUUUUGUUCAUUUUUAUUAUGUUUAAAUUACAUGUGCACCUUUCUACUGACAUAAAAAAAUUAUCAACUUUCUAGAUUAAAAUGCAACUAAAAGUACCUAAAUUUCUGUCGAUGGGGAUCGAGUGACUCUUUAAACCGAUUAUUACACAAGUUAACCAAACUAAAAUUAACAUUGGUGAAUAGUGCCAUGAUUUUUUUUAGUGCAAAAUAGCACAACAAAGCAACACAUAUGUGGCUAUCGUUACACAUGUGUAAAGGUAAUGCAUCACACCAUUGUCACCCAUGUAUUUGGAAAAUACCAAGAAGAAAAAACAACUUGUUUAUUGUAUUUUAUGGAGAUUGUCUUACUUACAUACAAUUAUUACCCAACAAAGUGGUCACUAAAUGUCAAAACCAACUAGAUACCAGGUGACUUUAUACCUGAUCAAGGUCGGAGGUGACCAAGCGACGGGGAGAGACACCGAAACCGUGGAGACUUCGACUCGAUCUCCGAACGACCGCAGAAUCACAACCGGAGCUAAUUCACACAAUGCGAGGCAGCCGUACUGCAACUCACAAGGCACGAACUAGUGGAUCCCAGAGGAAUCUCUUCACAAGUCCAGGAGAACAAGGAAGAACAGGGGUAGAGUAAACACUCAGCAACUUGGCUGCGGUACUCACUUGGAUUAUCAAAUCAUCAAAUGUUAUCAAAAGUUGUUUUACAUCAUAGACAUAGGGGGUAUUUAUACUAGUGAAAGGGAAAUGUGCCCUUGGGCCAUUUCUAAGUAUUUUGGUGAUUGAGUGCCAACACAAGUGCUUAAAUGUGAAUCUAUGCUCUUGGAUGGACAAAGUGCAAAUCAAGAGUAAAGGUAUGUUUCUAAGCUUUAGUACAUUGGUUUUGUGUACUAAUAUACUUGUCUAAGUGUUAGAAACAGAAAGAAGAAGAAAAGAAAAGAGGUGAAAAAGGCUUGGCUGUGUACAGCCAAGACUGAGCUCAGUCUGGCACACCGGACUGUCCGGUGGUGCACCGGACAGUGUCCGGUGCGCCAGGCUGACUCGGCGUGAAGUGGCCGCUCUCGGGAAUUCGCCGACGGCGUACGGCUAAAAUUCACCGGACUGUCCGGUGUGCACCGGACUGUCCGGUGAACCAACGGUCGGCCGGGCCAACGGUCGGCAGCAGAAUCUGCGCGCGACACGUGGCCAGGCCAACGAUCGGAAGGGGGCACCGGACUGUCCGGUGUGCACCGGACAUGUCCGGUGCACCAACGGCUCCCAGAUCUGCAACGGUCGGCCGCGCCAUUUUAGGAAGGAAAUCGGGCACCGGACAGUGUCCGGUGUGCACCGGACUGUCCGGUGCACCCGACGACAGAAGGCAAGAUUGGCCUUGCAGAUUUUCUCUCAACGGCUCCUAGCUGCCUUGGGGCUAUAAAAGGGACCCCUAGGCGCAUGGAGGAGAGAACCAAGCAACCUUAGAGCAUUCUUGAUCAUCCACACUCAGUCUUUGCGCAUUCGUUUGUCAUUCUCAGUGAUUCGAGCUCCGUUCUAGUGAGAACUUUGAGAUAGUCUUUUGAGCUCGACUCUUGGCCGUGUGUGUGCGCAUUUUGCUGUGGAUUUGUGUGUGUUGCUUCCCCCCUUACUCCGUAUUUCUUUGUGAAUCUCAAGUGUAAGGGCGAGAGGCUCCAAGUUGUGGAGAUUCCUCGCAAACGGGAUAUUGAAAGGCAAAGCAAAACACCGUGGUAUUCAUGUUGGUCUUUGGACCACUUGAGAGGGGUUGAUUGCAACCCUCGUCCGUUGGGACGCCACAACGUGGAGUAGGCAAGCGUUGGUCUUGGCCGAACCACGGGAUAAACCACUGUGUCAUCUCUGUGUUUGAUCUCUUGUGGUAUUGUGUUUUGUUGAGACUCCACUCUAGCCACUUGGCGAUUAUUGUGCUAACACUUAACAAGUUUUUGUGGCUAUAAGUUUAAGUUUCACAGAAUCACCUAUUCACCCCCCCUCUAGGUGCUCUCAAUUGGUAUCGGAGUCGUUCUCUUCACAAAGGGACUAACCGCCCGAAGAGAUGGAUCCUAAAGGGAAGGGAAUCGUGAUCAACGACAAGGAGAAGGAGUCCUUCGUCAACGAGCCAAGGGAUGACAAGUCCAACGACUCGGGCUCGGGCCACAGACGCAAAGAUGGGAAGAAGAAGAAGACAAGACGCAUCAAGGAGAUCGUCUACUACGACAGCGAUGAGUCUACUUCCUCCCAUAAGGACGACGACCACAACGAAUACGAGAGAAAGAAACCGGUCAAUUCGAACUUUUCUUUUGAUUACUCUCGUAUUCCUCAAAGUACUAAUGCUCAUUUAUUAUCUAUUCCACUUGGUAAACCUCCCCAUUUUGAUGGAGAGGACUACGGAUUUUGGAGUCAUAAAAUGCGUAGUCACUUGUUCUCUCUCCAUCCUAGCAUAUGGGAGAUUGUAGAAAGUGGAAUGCACUUUGAUAGUACGGAUAGUCCCAUGUUUAUUAAUGAACAGAUUCAUAAAAAUGCACAAGCUACUACUGUGUUGCUAGCCUCUUUGUGCAGGGACGAGUACCAUAAGGUGAGCGGCUUGGACAAUGCCAAGCAGAUCUGGGACACCCUCAAGAUCUCUCAUGAGGGGAAUGAUGUCACCUUGCUCACCAAGAUGGAGUUGGUGGAGGGCGAGCUUGGACGGUUCGCAAUGAUAAGGGGCGAGGAGCCAACUCAAACAUACAACCGGCUCAAGACCCUUAUCAACAAAAUAAGGAGCUACGGAAGCACGCGAUGGACGGAUCACGACGUCGUCCGCCUAAUGCUAAGGUCCUUUACCGUUCUUGAUCCUCAUUUGGUGAACAAUAUUCGUGAAAAUCCUAGGUACACCAAGAUGUCGCCCGAAGAAGUUCUGGGGAAUUUCGUAAGCGGGCGAAUGAUGAUCAAGGAGGCAAGAUAUGUGGACGAUGCGUUGAACGGUCCUAUUCAUGAGCCUCAACCCAUUGCUCUCAAGGCAACGAGGAACAAGGAGGCGCUACCGAGCAAGGUUGCGCAAGUUGAGGCGACCGGGCUAAAUAAUGAGGAGAUGGCCCUCAUCAUUAAGCGCUUCAAGACGGCGCUUAAAGGUCGCAAGGGACAGCCAAGCAAGACCAAGACAAAGGAGAAGCGCUCGUGCUUCAAAUGUGGUAAGAUCGGUCAUUUCAUUGCUAACUGUCCCGAUAAUGAAAGUGACCAGGAAAAGGGGAACAAAAGGGAGAAGAAGCAUUACAAGAAGGCCAAGGGCGAGGCACAUAUCGGAAAGGAGUGGGAUUCGGAUUGCUCCUCAUCCGACUCCGACAAUGAAGGACUAGCCGCCACUGCCUUCAACAAGUCAUCCCUCUUCCCCAACGAGCGUCACACUUGCCUCAUGGCAAGGGAGAAGAAAGUAAGCACUCAUGAUACUAGUACUUAUGCUUCUUCAAGUGAGGAUGAGUCUAGUGAUGAUGAUGAGACAGAUUACUCAUGCUUAUUCAAGGGAUUAGAUAGAUCUAAAUUAAUAAGAUUAAUGAGUUGAUUGAUGCUUUGAAUGACAAGAAUAGAUUACUAGAAAAACAAGAAGAUCUUUUAUAUGAGGAGCAUGAUAAAUUUGUCAGUGCACAAAAUUCUCUUGCUCUAGAAAUUAAAAGGAAUGAAAUGCUCUCUGGUGAAUUAUCUACUUGUCAUGAAACCAUUUCUACUUUACAAGGUGUUAACAAUGAUUUAAAUGCUAAAUUAGAAGUAGCAAAUAAAUCUAAUUCUUGUGUAGAACAUGUUAUAAUUUGUACUAGGUGUAAAGAUUUUGACAUUGAUGCUUGUAGUGAACACCUAGUUUCAAUUUCCAAAAUUAAUGAUGAAUUAGCUAGUCUUAAUGCUCAACUUAAGACUAGCAAGAAUGAUUUCGAUAAGCUAAAAUUUGCAAGGGAUGCCUACACGAUUGGUAGACACCCCUCAAUUAAGGAUGGACUUGGCUUCAAGAGGGAAGCCAAGAACUUAACAAGCCAUAAGGCUCCCAUCUCCGCCAAGGAGAAAGGGAAGGCCCCUAUGGCAAGUAGUGCUAAAAAGAACCAUGCUUUUAUGUACCAUGAUAAGAGACAAACUAGAAAUGCUUACAGGAGUUACAAUGCUUAUGAUGAUUUUGAUUCUCAUGACAUGUUUGCUUCUAGUUCUUUCUAUGUGCAUGAUAGAAAUGUUGGUAGAAGAAAUGUUGUUCACAAUAUGCCUAGGAGAAAUCUUGUUAAUGUUCCUAGGAGAGUUAAUGAACCUUCUACAAUAUAUCAUGCUUUGAGUGCCUCCUUUGCAAUUUGUAGAAAGGAUAGAAAGGUGAUUGCUAGGAAAUUAGGGGCAAAAUGCAAGGGAGAUAAAACUUGCAUUUGGGUCCCUAAGACAAUUGUGACUAACCUUGUAGGACCCAACAAGAGUUGGGUACCUAAGUCCCAAGCCUAAAUUUGCCUUGCAGGUUUAUGCAUCCGGGGGUUCAAGCUGGAUUAUCGACAGCGGAUGCACAAACCAUAUGACGGGGGAGAAGAAGAUGUUCACCUCCUACGUCAAGAAUAAGGAUUCCCAAGAUUCAAUUAUAUUCGGUGAUGGGAAUCAAGGCAAGGUAAAAGGGUUAGGUAAAAUUGCAAUUUCUAAUGAGCACUCUAUCUCUAAUGUGUUUUUAGUAGAGUCUCUUGGAUAUAAUUUGCUAUCGGUUAGUCAAUUAUGCAAUAUGGGAUAUAACUGUCUAUUUACAAAUGUAGAUGUGUCUGUCUUUAGAAGAAGUGAUGGUUCACUAGCUUUUAAGGGUGUAUUAGACGACAAACUUUAUUUAGUUGAUUUUGCAAAAGAAGAGGCCGGUCUAGAUGCAUGCUUAAUAGCUAAGACUAGCAUGGGCUGGCUGUGGCAUCGCCACUUAGCACAUGUGGAGAUGAAGAACCUUCACAAGCUUCUAAAGGGAGAACACGUGAUAGGUUUGACUAACGUGCAAUUCGAAAAAAGAUAGACCUUGUGCAGCUUGUCAAGCAGGUAAACAAGUGGGAGGAGCACAUCACAGCAAGAAUGUGAUGACCACCUCAAGACCUCUGGAGCUGCUGCAUAUGGACCUGUUCGGACCCGUCGCCUAUCUGAGCAUAGGAGGAAGUAAGUAUGGUCUAGUUAUUGUUGAUGACUUUUCCCGCUUCACUUGGGUGUUCUUUUUGCAGGAUAAGUCUAAAACCCAAGGGACCCUCAAGCGCUUCCUAAAGAGAGCUCAAAAUGAGUUUGAGCUCAAAGUGAAGAAGAUAAGGAGCGACAACGGGUCCGAGUUCAAGAACCUUCAAGUGGAGGAGUUCCUUGAGGAGGAAGGGAUCAAGCACGAGUUCUCCGCUCCCUAUACACCACAACAAAAUGGUGUGGUAGAGAGGAAGAACAAGACGCUAAUCGAUAUGGCGAGGACGAUGCUUGGAGAAUUCAAGACCCCCGAGCGUUUUUGGUCGGAAGCCGUGAACACGGCUUGUCACGCCAUCAACAGGGUCUAUCUUCACCGCCUCCUCAAGAAGACUUCGUAUGAGCUACUAACCGGUAACAAACCCAAUGUAUCUUACUUUCGUGUAUUUGGGAGCAAGUGCUACAUUCUAGUGAAGAAGGGUAGAAAUUCUAAGUUUGCUCCCAAAGCUGUAGAAGGGUUUUUGUUAGGUUAUGACUCAAAUACAAAGGCGUAUAGAGUCUUCAACAAAUCAUCGGGUUUGGUUGAUGUCUCUAGCGACGUUGUAUUUGAUGAGACUAAUGGCUCUCCAAGAGAGCAAGUUGUUGAUCUUGAUGAUGUAGAUGAAGAAGAUGUUCCUACGGCCGCGAUACGCACCAUGACGAUUGGAGAUGUACGGCCUCGGGAACAAUUGGAGCAAGAUCAACCUUCUUCCUCAACAACGGUGCAUCCCCUAACUCAAGACGAUGAACAGGUUCAUCAACAGGAGGCAUGUGAUCAAGGGGGAGCACAAGAUGAUCAUGUGAUGGAGGAAGAAGCGGAACCGGCACCUCCAACCCAAGUUCGAGCAGUAAUUCAAAGGGAUCAUCCCGUCGACCAAAUUUUGGGUGACAUUAGCAAGGGAGUAACUACUCGAUCUCGAUUAGUUAAUUUUUGUGAGCAUUACUCCUUUGUCUCUUCUAUUGAGCCUUUCAGGGUAGAGGAGGCCUUGCUAGAUCCGGACUGGGUGUUGGCCAUGCAAGAGGAGCUCAACAACUUCAAGCGCAAUGAAGUUUGGACACUGGUGCCUCGUCCCAAGCAAAAUGUUGUGGGAACCAAGUGGGUGUUCCGCAACAAACAGGACGAGCACGGGGUGGUGACGAGGAACAAGGCUCGACUUGUGGCAAAAGGUUAUGCCCAAGUCGCAGGUUUGGACUUUGAGGAGACGUUCGCUCCUGUGGCUAGGCUAGAAUCAAUUCGUAUCUUGCUAGCAUAUGCCGCUCACCAUUCUUUCAGGUUGUACCAAAUGGAUGUGAAGAGCGCUUUCCUCAAUGGUCCAAUCAAGGAGGAGGUGUACGUGGAGCAACCCCCUGGCUUCGAGGAUGAACAGUACCCCGACCACGUGUGUAAGCUCUCUAAGGCACUCUAUGGACUUAAGCAAGCCCCAAGAGCAUGGUAUGAAUGCCUUAGAGACUUCUUAAUUGCUAAUGCUUUCAAGGUUGGGAAAGCCGAUCCAACUCUUUUUACUAAGACUUGCGACAGUGAUCUUUUUGUAUGCCAAAUUUAUGUCGAUGACAUAAUAUUUGGUUCUACUAAUAAAAAGUCUUGUGAAGAGUUUAGCAGGGUGAUGACGCAGAAAUUCGAGAUGUCAAUGAUGGGCGAGUUGAACUACUUCCUUGGGUUCCAAGUGAAGCAACUCAAGGACGGCACCUUCAUCUCCCAAACGAAGUACACGCAAGACUUGCUAAAGCGGUUUGGGAUGAAGGACGCCAAGCCCGCAAAGACUCCGAUGGGAACCGACGGACACACCGACCUCAACAAAGGAGGUAAGUCCGUUGAUCAAAAGGCAUACCGGUCAAUGAUAGGGUCAUUACUUUACUUAUGUGCUAGUAGACCGGAUAUUAUGCUUAGCGUAUGUAUGUGUGCUAGAUUUCAAUCCGAUCCUAAGGAGUGUCACUUAGUGGCAGUGAAGCGAAUUCUUAGAUAUUUAGUUGCUACGCCUUGCUUCGGGCUCUGGUAUCCAAAGGGGUCUACCUUUGACUUAAUUGGAUAUUCAGACUCCGACUAUGCUGGAUGUAAGGUCGAUAGGAAGAGUACAUCAGGGACGUGCCAAUUCUUAGGAAGGUCCCUGGUGUCAUGGAACUCUAAGAAACAAACCUCCGUUGCCCUAUCCACCGCUGAGGCAGAGUAUGUUGCCGCAGGACAGUGUUGCGCGCAACUACUUUGGAUGAGGCAAACCCUCCGGGACUUUGGCUACAAUCUGAGCAAAGUCCCACUCCUAUGUGACAAUGAGAGUGCUAUCCGCAUGGCAGAAAAUCCUGUUGAGCACAGCCGCACAAAGCACAUAGACAUCCGGCAUCACUUUCUGAGAGACCACCAGCAAAAGGGUGAUAUCGAAGUGUUUCAUGUUAGCACCGAGAACCAGCUAGCCGAUAUCUUUACCAAGCCUCUAGAUGAGAAGACCUUUUGCAGGCUGCGUAGUGAGCUAAAUGUCUUAGAUUCGCGGAACUUGGAUUGAAUUGUAGCAUACAUGUGCUUAUGCCUUUGAUCAUGUUCAUUCUGCAUUUUGUUGCUUAUUGUGGUGCUCAAGUUGUACAAACAUUCCCUGGACCUCACAAGUCCUUGUGUAAGUGAUGCACAUAUUUAGGGGGAGUUGUGUUACAACUUGACCCUUUGAGACUAACCAUAUGCUUGAGUUUGCUUGAUUUAGUCUCGAAGGAGAAUUGAAAGGGAAAAGGUGGACCUGGACCAUGAAAGACUUCCACUACACUCCGAUGAGAGGGUAACUUAUUCCAAGUUCAUCUCAUGAACUCUUAUUGCCAUUUGCUCUUAAUUGAAGAUUUUGGUGAGGCAAUGGGGUUAUAGGGCCAAGAUUGAUCCCGUUUUGGUGCUUGAUGCCAAAGGGGGAGAAAAUAAAGGCCAAAGCAAUAAAUGGAUCAGCUACCACUUGAGAAAUUUUGAAAAUAGUAAAAUAGAGCUUUUUGUUUUGUCAAAACUCUUGCAUUGUCUCUGUUGUCAAAAGUUGGCCUCUUGUGGGGAGAAGUGUUAAUUAUGGGAAAUAGGGGGAGUUUUUGAAAUCCUUGAUCAAUCUCUUUUGGAAUGACUCUCUUUAUGCUUCAACAUGUGUGUUUGACUUAGAGAUAGAGAUUUGAGUUUGGUUUGCAAAAACAAACCAAGUGGUGGCAAAGGAUGAUCCAUAUAUGCCAAAAUUGAAUCAAAAUAAAUUUGAGUUUUAUUUGAAGUGAUAUUGCACUUGUUCUAGUUGCUUUAUGUUGUGUUGGCAUAAAUCACCAAAAAGGGGGAGAUUGAAAGGGAAAUGUGCCCUUGGGCCAUUUCUAAGUAUUUUGGUGAUUGAGUGCCAACACAAGUGCUUAAAUGUGAAUCUAUGCUCUUGGAUGGACAAAGUGCAAAUCAAGAGUAAAGGUAUGUUUCUAAGCCUUAGUACAUUGGUUUUGUGUACUAAUAUACUUGUCUAAGUGUUAGAAACAGAAAGAAGAAGAAAAGAAAAGAGGUGAAAAAGGCUUGGCUGUGUACAGCCAAGACUGAGCUCAGUCUGGCACACCGGACUGUCCGGUGGUGCACCGGACAGUGUCCGGUGCGCCAGGCUGACUCGGCGUGAAGUGGCCGCUCUCGGGAAUUCGCCGACGGCGUACGGCUAAAAUUCACCGGACUGUCCGGUGUGCAACGGACUGUCCGGUGAACCAACGGUCGGCCGGGCCAACGGUCGGCAGCGGAAUCUGCGCGCGACACGUGGCCAGGCCAACGGUCGGAAGGGGGCACCGGACUGUCCGGUGUGCACCGGACAUGUCCGGUGCACCAACGGCUCCCAGAUCUGCAACGGUCGGCCGCGCCAUUUUAGGAAGGAAAUCGGGCACCGGACAGUGUCCGGUGUGCACCGGACUGUCCGGUGCACCCGACGACAGAAGGCAAGAUUGGCCUUCCAGAUUUGCUCUCAACGGCUCCUAGCUGCCUUGGGGCUAUAAAAGGGACCCCUAGGCGCAUGGAGGAGAGAACCAAGCAACCUUAGAGCAUUCUUGAUCAUCCACACUCAGUCUUUGCACAUUCGUUUGUCAUUCUCAGUGAUUCGAGCUCCGUUCUAGUGAGAACUUUGAGAUAGUCUUUUGAGCUCGACUCUUGGCCGUGUGUGUGCGCAUUUUGCUGUGGAUUUGUGUGUGUUGCUUCCCCCCUUACUCCGUAUUUCUUUGUGAAUCUCAAGUGUAAGGGCGAGAGGCUCCAAGUUGUGGAGAUUCCUCGCAAACGGGAUAUUGAAAGGCAAAGCAAAACACCGUGGUAUUCAAGUUGGUCUUUGGACCACUUGAGAGGGGUUGAUUGCAACCCUCGUCCGUUGGGACGCCACAACGUGGAGUAGGCAAGCGUUGGUCUUGGCCGAACCACGGGAUAAACCACUGUGUCAUCUCUGUGUUUGAUCUCUUGUGGUAUUGUGUUUUGUUGAGACUCCACUCUAGCCACUUGGCGAUUAUUGUGCUAACACUUAACAAGUUUUUGUGGCUAUAAGUUUAAGUUUCACAGGAUCACCUAUUCACCCCCCUCUAGGUGCUCUCAACUAGCUACAACCAGCCUUAGAUAGGUAUAAACACAAAAAUAAGUAUUUUAACGUGCUAAUGUGAAGGGGCCUCUUCGGAAGAUCUCCAGAGCUGAAUUCCGCGUGGCUGUUUGACUUCUUCACAACCUUUAGGGCAUGUACAACCUAGACACUGCUGCACGGUACUCCAAGUAUAAGACACAACUAAAACACAACAUAAUACAGUGGUCAUGUAUAAAACAUGUGUCUUACUAUAUUCAUUGUACCAAUCAGAGCAUUCAAUAAGUUAAAGUGACCAACCAGAUAGUCUCAUGUCUUGAAUAUAGAGCUAAGACACUGUGUCUUCGUUAAGAUACAUGUCUUGAGAUUUUUUACAUUCACCCCCCUAGACACACUCUAAGACACAACUUAAGACACCCAUUGUACAUGCCCUUAGUAUUUUGAUAAUAACUCCUCCUAGGAAUCUCCAAAUGGCGUGGGGCUGGAUGCGUUGGAAAGCUAACUUGAUUUGCUUUCUCACCAUGUAUAGCAUGCUUAAUGAAACUUUGUAGAAUGAUGCAGUUUAAUACUAAAACUUGGUCAUCAAGCAGACUGUUGACCUUAUGACAGUCAGAACUAAAGUAGGUCGGUUACCGUGUUGGGUGAUCCGAUUAAGUCGGUCCUAGAAGCAUUGGAAACUAGACUUCAAUAGCUUUCCAAAAUGUACUUAUUGGCCUUCAUAGCUUUUGGGAAUCAAAAGAUAUGAUUGUUUCUUCUGGAUGGUUCUAUCACGCUAGACUGACUCGAACAUAGUUCUCUCUGAUUCGCCCUUGAUAUGUUUUGUCCUUCCUCUUUGGUGGACCUAAGAAAAAUCAACAUACACAACUUAGGUAGAAUAAAGUUGUCAUUAGUGUUUAAUUUAAAUUCAUAAAGUAGCGCGUGCACCUCUUGUUGUAUCUGUUUCACCCGGCUUCGAGUGAUAGGUCCAGUAAGAAUGGUCGGCAAGGUUGACGAUGCUGGUAUGGUCACAUCACACUCCCCCCUUGAAAAAUGAGUCGUCCUCAACUCUUCCAAUCCAAAGCAAGGAGAGAGGUCGGCCACAUUAAAACUAGAACUCACACCAUAAGUAUCUGACAGAUUAAUUUCAUAAGCAUUUUCGUUGAUCUUGCAAAGCACUUUGAAUGGACCAUCAACUCGUUGUUGUAAUUUGCUUUUGCGUUGUUCAGGAAAUCUUUCUUUGCAUAGAUGUACCCAAACCAUGUCUCCUGGUUCGAACAACAUCUUUCUUCAACCCUUGUUGGCACACUAUUCAUAUUUCUUGGUCAUUUUCUCAAUAUUUGCUCGAGCUUUUUCAUGAAGGUUCUUGAUUAACUCGACUCGCUUGCUAGCGUCAAAGUUUACUCGUUCCUGCACAGGCAAUGACAAAAUAUCUAUGGGAGUUGUGGGUUUGAAGCCAUAUACAAUUUCAAAUGGACAAAAUUUAGUAGUCGAGUCUACAGCUCUGUUGUAUGCAAACUCGACAUGUGGUAGACUUUCUUCAGAGAGUUUUAAAUUUUUCUUGAGGAUAGCUCGCAGCAGCAUUGAUAAUGUUCGGUUUACAACUUCAGUCUAUCAAUCUUUUUGUGGAUGGCACGUUGUAGAGAAUAGUAGUCGUGUUCCAAGUUUUCCCCACAAAGUUUUCCAAAAGUAACUCAAAAAAUUAGUGUCACGAUCAGAAACAAUGGUUCGUGGAAUCCCAUGUAAACGAACAACUUCUUUGAAAAAUAAUUCAGCAAUAUGUGAAGCAUCAUCACUCUUGUGGCUUGGAAUAAAAUGUGCCAUUUUGCUAAAUCAAUCAACCACAACAAAAAUGGAAUCCCUUCCCUACUUUGUUCAUGGUAAACCAAGAACAAAAUCCAUGGAUAUGUCUUCUCAAGGCACACUAGGAAUAGGUAGUGGAGUGUAUAAGCCUAUGAGGGUUUAAACGAGACUUAGCUUUAUGACAUGAUUCACAUCGAAGGACAUGUCGCUCCACAUCCCUUUUCAUUUUAGGCCAAAAGAAAUGAUCGGCAAGCACUUGCUCCGUCUUCUUGGCGCCAAAAUGGCCCAUAAGUCCUCCUGCAUGAGCUUCCUGCAAUAUUAAAAUUCGAACAGAACAUUCUGGAAUGCACAUUUUGUUAGCUCGGAAUAAAAAACCAUCAUUAACAUGAAAUUUUACCCAUCCUCUGCCAUCACAACACUUAGAAUAUGGUUCAACAAAGUUUAAGUCAGUCGGUUAUAAUUCCUUUAUACUUUCUAAUCCAAGAAUUUUAGCAUCGAGUUGUGUUAGCAAAGCAUGUCGUCGAGACAAAGCAUCUGCUACAACAUUAUCUUUUCCUUUCUUAUAUUUGACAAUAUAAGGAAAUGAUUCAAUAAAUUCACACCAUUUUGCAUGCCUUCUAUUUAGUUUUAGAUGUCCUUUAAGAUGUUUUAAUGAUUCAUGGUCUGAAUGUAUCACAAAUUCCUUAGGAAAAAGAUAGUGUCGCCAAGUUUCCAAACUCCGAACAAGAGCAUAUAAUUCUUUAUCAUAAACUGAAUAAUUUAGAGUAAGACCACUUAGCUUUUCACUGAAGUAGCCAAUUGGUCUUUGUUCUUGCAUGAGCAUGCCUCUAAUCCCAAUUCCACUGGCAUCACAUUCUAUUUUAAAUGUCUUACCGAAGUCUGGGAGUGCAAGAACUUGGGCUGUUGUUAACUUCGUCUUUAAUUCUUCAAAUGCCUUCUGUUGUGAUUCUCCCCAUUUGAAAGGUACUUCUUUUUUGGUCAAUUCAUUGAUGGGAGCAGCAACAGUACUGAAGUCUUUUUCAAACCGCUGGUAGAACCCAGCGAGCCCAAGGAAACUUCUCACUUGGCUCACAUUCUGUGGAGGCAUCCAGUCGCGUACAACUUUGAUAUUUUCUUCAUCUACCUCCACACCUUGUCCUGAUACAACAAAUCCAAGAAACACUACCUUGUCGGUGCAAAAGGUGCACUUCUCAAGGUUAGCAUACAAGUUUUGUUCUCGAAGGACAACAAGUACAUAUCAGAUAUGUUCAACAUGUUCAUCAAGGCAUUUACUAUAAAUUAGUAUGUCAUCAAAAUAGACAACAACAAAUUUGCCAAUGAAAGUUCUAAGAACAUGAUUCAUUAUCUCAUAAAUGUACUUGGUGCAUGUUAACUCGAAGGGCAUCACCAACCAUUCAUACAACUCAAAUUUUGUUUUAAAGGUUGUUUUCCAUUCAUCUCCCUCUUUCAUACGAAUAUGAUGAUAGCCACUUCUUAAGUCAAUUUUAGUGAAAAUUAAAGCUGUUGGGUCUAUGCUUCGUCGCCGAAGGUCUUCAAGGGAGAAGCGGCUUUAUAAUGAGUGAGCAGGUAUCUUCGGACUUGUAUCAGAAAGGGAGAAGCUCAAAAGAUACAAAGGUUGACACAGCGCCGAAGCUGUGAAGCAGGAAAGCUUCGGCAUGUUCGCAGAAAAGGGAACCGACUUAAAGAUGAAAAGGCCAUUUAGACCUCGAUAGAGUGCUAUAGAAUUAUCACCAAAUGUAAAGGGCAUGUAUGUAAUUUUGUAUGGGUUGUACCCCGUGCCUAUAAAUAGGUGAACAGUACCCCCGUACUGUUCACGCUGACUUGGCAUUUGCUUUUGCGUCACACUUGUAUUUUCAUCUCCUUCCAAGCCGAAGGUACAUUUAUAAUUCAAUAUUGUUUCUAUUUUUCUAUGAUGAUAUAAUAAAGUGAAAUAAAUGAUGUUAUAUGAUUAUUUGUGUUAUCCUUUAACUUUCAUAUACUUCGUCUUUCAUUAAUGUAUACUGUAAUGAUGAAGGUUUGUCCUUCAUAACCUUCGUCCGGAGAUCGUUAUAUCCUAAGGGAAAUAAUGCCUCAAAGGACGAAGGACUUUAUCGUUUAACAUUUUCUAUGUUGCCUUGUUCUUAACUCAUAGCACUUGAGAACAAGUCCCCAACAUUGGCGCCCACCUCCGGUGAACUCACUUCCACUUUUUUGAGCUGAUGGCUUCGUUCAACGAUCAAGCUGGAGCUGCUUCGGACCCGAAGCUGGUGCUCCCGAUCACAGGUGGCUCGUCCUCAGAGCCAGCUAACAAGAAACAGAAGAAGGAAGCACAGAGAAGGGUACAGCAUGUUGGGGUGCAAGGACCCUUCAUCAAGACAAGAUGGUCUCACAUUCCUAUUACCUUCUCCCAAGAGGACCUUCAGCUCAAAGAUUACCCACACAACGAUGCCAUGGUUAUCUCUUGUGUUAUCAAAGGAUUUCUGGUCCACAAUGUCUUGGUUGACACAGGCAGUGCAGCUGACAUCAUAUUUGCUAAAGCCUUCAGACAAAUGCAAGAGCCAGAAGAUAAGAUUCAUGAUGCUACACAUCCUCUCUGUGGCUUCGGAGGAAGACAGAUUGUAGCACUGGGCAAGAUCACCAUGUUAGUGACCUUCGGAUUCAUCAACAACACUAGAACUGAGCAAGUUGUGUUUGACAUUGUUGACAUGGAAUAUCCUUACAAUGCAAUUAUUGGUCGUGGUACUCUUAAUGCCUUCGAAGCAAUCCUUCAUCCUGCUUAUCUUUGCAUGAAGAUACCUUCGGAUCAGGGACCCGUUGCUAUCCAUGGAAGUCAGGAAGCCGCAAGAAGGGCCGAAGGUAACUGGACUGACUCAAAAGCAAUCCAUAAUAUAGAUGGAGCCGAAGCUUGUGCACAGUACAAAUUCAGAAGGGAGAAAGCAGCUUCAGCAGAUCAGCCGAAGCCUAUGCUCUUAUGUGAGGACAUAGCAGAGCAGAAGGUGCUGUUAGGCUCUCAACUAUCCGAAGAGCAGGAAAAAACCUUGAUAAGAUUUUUGUUCAAUAACAAAGAUGUUUUUGCAUGGUCAGCCAAUGAUCUAUGCGGAGUUAAUAGGGAUGUUAUUGAGCACUCGCUCAAUGUCGAUCCAUCCUUCAGACCCAGAAAGCAAAGGCUUCGGAAAAUGUCAGAUGAUAAGGCCGAAGGUGCUCGCAACGAAGUCAAAAGACUCCUCAGUGCAGGAGUUAUUAGAGAAGUGAAGUACCCAGAAUGGCUGGCUAACACUGUUAUGGUAAAAAAGGCCAAUGGUAAGUGGCGAAUGUGCAUCGAUUUUACAGAUCUUAACAAGGCUUGUCCGAAGGAUGAAUUCCCACUACCAAGGAUAGACUCUUUAGUUGAUGCAGCAGCUUCGUCAGAGCUCAUGAGUCUGUUAGACUGCUAUUCAGGCUAUCACCAAAUUUGGAUGAAGAAGGAAGAUGAGCCGAAGACUAGCUUCAUUACUCCAAGUGGCACAUGUUGCUAUCUUCGGAUGCCUGAGGGGCUCAAAAACGCUGGAGGAAGUUUCAGCCGAAUGACUGUGAAGGUUCUUCAAUCUCAAAUAGGCAGAAAUGUGUUAACUUAUGUUGAUGACAUCAUUGUCAAAAGCACGAAGCAGGAGAAUCAUAUUGCUGAUCUGCAGGAGACCUUCGCCAGUUUCAGGCAAGCUGGCUUGAAGUUAAAUCCAGAAAAAUGUGUCUUCGGAGUGAAGAAGGGGAAAUUUCUUGGAUGCUUGGUUUCAACAAAGGGAAUUGAAGCCAAUCCAAGUAAAAUUGAAGCUAUACUUCGGAUGGAGCCACCAACUACAAAGAAGGGGGCUCAAAGAUUGACAGGAAGGUUGGCAUCUCUCAAUAGAUUCAUAUCCAGAUCAGCAGAGAGAAAUUUACCAUUCUUCGAAGUGCUGAAGUCGGCCGAAGUCUUUCAAUGGGGACCAAUCCAACAGAAGGCUUUCGAAGAACUGAAACAAUAUUUGAUAGAUCUAACAACAUUGACUCCACCAAUGCAAGGGGCUCCUUUAUUGUUAUAUGUGGCAGCUUCGCACUCAGCGGUAAGUGCAGCGCUUGUUCAGGAGAAGCUUGAUGGUCAAGUCAAAAGGCAGGCCCCAAUAUAUUUUGUUUCCGAGGUCCUUAGUUUAUCAAAGAAAAAUUAUACAGAGUUGGAGAAGAUACUGUAUGCUGUCUUGAUGGCCUCCAGGAAGCUUCGGCACUAUUUCCAAGCUUACAACAUAAUUGUUCCUUCGUCACAACCUCUGAAGGAUAUUAUGAGGAACAGAGAAGCUACUGGAAGGAUUGGAAAAUGGGCUGCAGAGCUCAAUGAAUUUUGUAUUGAAUAUGUUCAUAGAUCUUCGAUUCAGUCGCAGGCACUGGCAGACUUUAUUGCUGAUUGGACACCAGGGGCUCAGGAGGAGGAAACAAAUAAAGAUAACGAAGCCUGGAUAGUGUUUUGUGAUGGAUCUUGGGGAACCUUCGGAGCAGGAGCGGCUGCUGUGUUGGUUUCACCUUCCAAAGUCAAAACCUGUUAUGCGACAAAACUUGAUUUUAAUUGCACAAAUAACAUUGCUGAGUACGAAGCAUUGAUUUUAGGUCUUCGGAAAUUAAAAGCAAUGGGAAUCAGAAGGGCCAUACUUAAAACUGAUUCCCAGGUUGUUUCGGGUCAUAUUGACAAAAGUUGUAAGGCUAAGGAUCCGAAGCUUGAAAAAUAUCUGGAUAUGGUUCGAAGAGUCGAAGCCUCCUUCGAAGGGUUUUCUGUCAAGAAUAUCCCUCGAGGACAAAAUGAGCAUGCUGAUCUGCUAGCUAAGUCAGCAGCACAGGGGCUGCCUCUACCUUCGGAUGUAUUCUUUGAAACAAUAAAAGCACCUUCGGUGGAACUCCUUGAAAGAGCAGUUCUUAAUAUAUCUCCUGUUUUUAGUGAAGAUUGGAGAACUGAGAUCAUCUCUUACCUUCAGGGUAAAUUUCUUUCAGAUGACGAAGCUUAUAACAAGAGAAUAGAGGCAAGAGCUCGUCCAUAUGUCAUGAUAGAGGGGGAGUUGUACAAACAUGGAGUUUGUGCUCCGUUGCUCAAAUGCUUAUCCAGAACCGAAGGUAUAGAGUUAAUGAAAGAAAUACAUGCAGGCCUGUGUGGAUCUCACAUCGGAUCUAGGCCGUUACUUGGAAAAAUUUUCCGUCAAGGAUUUUAUUGGCCGAAGGCAGCUUCGGAUGCAGCAGAAUUGGUUCAAAAGUGCGAAGGUUGUCAGAAAUGUGCAAGAGAUCAAAAACGACCUUCGUCCUUGACACAGCUCAUACAACCCACUUGGCCAUUGCAAAGGUGGGGCCUUGACUUGUUAGGUCCGUUACCACCGGCCCAAGGGAACUUGAGAUAUGUUGUGGUAGCUGUGGAAUAUUUUUCUAAAUGGAUUGAGGCGAAGCCUUUAGCCACAAUAACUUCGGCUACCGUCCAAAAGUUUUUCUGGCAGAAUAUUGUUUGUCGUUUCGGGGUGCCAAAGGUUAUCACUGUGGACAAUGGAACACAGUUUGACUCCGAAGCUUUCAGGGAUUUCUGUGACCAAAUUGGUACGAAGAUCCAUUUUGCAUCAGUCAGGCACCCGGAGUCAAAUGGACUCGUUGAAAGAGCCAACGGCAUUAUAAUGACAGGAAUAAUGAAGCUAAUCUUCAAUCAGCCUAGAGGAAAAUGGCCAGAUCAGCUAACCAAAGUGGUGUGGAGCCACAACACGACAACAUCAAGGUCCACAGGCUUCACUCCAUUUAAGUUAUUAUUCGGUGACGAAGCAAUAACUCCAGAGGAAGCUAAAGCCGGAUCAAUAAGGAUAGUAGCUUCGGCAGAAUCAGAUUCCGAAGCUGCUUAUUCUAUAGAAAAAGAUGCUUUAGAAGGGAUCAGACUGCAAGCCGUGGAGAAUAUUAAUAAAUAUCAAGCUGAAACAGUCAAAUGGCGGGAUAGAAAGGUUCGGCUAAAAAAUAUUGAGCCAGGGCACUUGGUACUUCGGAGGGUGGCCAACCCGGAAACAGUGGGCAAAUUGCAGUUGAAAUGGGACGGGCCUUUCUUAGUAGCAUCUUCGUCAAGGCCCGGGUCAUACAGAUUGAAAGAUAUGGACGGCAAUGACAUUCCUAGGUCCUGGAAUGCGGAUGAGCUUCGGCGAUAUUAUGUAUAAUUCGAUGUAAUUUUUCACAUUUUUAUUUUUUCUUUCAUGGCACCCUUUUCCUUUCCAAAGGGGGAGAAAGGUUUUUAAUGGGGCCAGCAUAUGUAAUUUCCUUUUUUAGUCUUAUAAGAGCAAAAUCCCCCAAAGAAUGUAAAUGUAAAAGCUGAGAGUGCACCAUCGAGUGCCGAAAAGUAAAAACGACGAAGCUCCAAAGACGUUCCUAAGGGAAUGCAGAGCUUAUACCGCCUAAGUAAAAGGCGAAGAAGCUCCAAAGACGUUCCUAAGGGAAUGCAGAGCUUAUACCGCCUAAGUAAAAGGCGAAGAAGCUCCAAAGUCGUUCCUAAGGGAAUGCAGAGCUUACAGCGAAAAGUCAACGCUGAUUCCGCCAAAAGUAAAGGCGAAGAAGCUCCAAAGUCGUUCCUAAGGGAAUGCAGAGCUAAGGUGUGAUUGUUUUUAAGAGAAUAAUGGCUAUAAAUAUAGCUUCGGAUACGUGUUUGGCCAUUCAUUUGCACAACACAUUACAUCAUAGCAUUUGCAUUCAUAAACAUUCAUCUAGGCAUAUGUAGGAUAAUCAUCUUCAUCGCAUAAAAUGAUUGCUUCGGCAAGAAGAGAAAAAAGAAAGGGAAAAGAGCUUCGUGCACAAAAAAGAGGGGAAACUGUUGUUUUUAUGAAGGAGAGCUUCGGGAAAAAGGAAAAUGUUGUUUUCUAUGCUUCGUUGCGUACGAAAAGAAGGGAAGGUGUUUUUUUUUGCCUUCGGCUCAAAAAAAAGAAAUUUCGUCCACAUCAAAGCAUUUCUCAUAAAUCAGUGAAAGGUUAAGGAUAUAUUACAAGGUAUGAACAGUAUACAUGGAAGUUUUGUUUACAUUUACAAGAGUUAUCUCAAAAGUUUUUCAAGUACUGUCUGCAGUCUACUAUCUAAAUCUCCAAGGAGCUUCGGCUUCGGUAUUAUUUUGGAUCAUCAGCUUCGGCUUCGUCAUCCUACAUGAAUAAGGUCAUUGGAAGUCAGAAUCAAGUUUAUAGAAAAAGGUAAGCACAAGGUAUGAUUUCUUACUGGAUCAAGGUGGCUACGAGCUUCGUCUCCAGCUUUUUCUCGACCACCUUUUGUCCAUAUCAUUUUUACAAAUCGAUUCGAGAUGCUUCGGGCGAGAUCAGGGAUGUCAUCCAGGAUUGAUGGUGACAAAGUAAAAUUUGGCCUAUUGACAAUUUUCCCAUGAUCACAGCCAGCCUUCAUGAAGGCUGCAGCGGUCCCUCGAGAAGCCACCCAGGCACAGAAGUCACCAUGCCCAGCUAUGACUUCGUCGAGCUCGUCAAUCUCCCCCUCAAUGUGUUCGAAGGUUUUUGGUAGAUCUUCAGCUGAGGGGGUAAAUUUUUCGCUGCUAGCUCCAACCGAGUAAAAAAUCUUUCUUAAUCGUUGAAUGCACUUGUUGCUAAAUUCCAGGCAUUUUUCUUGAAGAUUUGUCAGUAGUUUUCUCAAAUCCGAAUUCUGCUGAGCUUCGGCUUCAAGUUUUUCAUUGAGAUCUUGUUUUUCUCGUUCGAACUGCUCAGACUGGCGGAGAAGCUUCGAGUUUAGUUCUGAUAUUUUUGCUUCAGCUUCCGCCAGUAAGCCUUCGGCUGCCUGGAGCUCAAAGUUCUUUUUCUCAAAAGCAUCUGAUUGCUCUUUUAUUUUGUUUUCCAAAUUUCCGAUUAUAAUUUCAUGCUUUUUAUCUUCAAGAUCUUGCUGCAUUUGCAAGGCUUUGCUCAAUAGCAUGCUCUACAUAAACACAACCUUCGUCAGACAUGUUUUAUUAGAAACAAUAAAAGUUAAGGGACAAGUCAUUUACCUUGAAGUUGGAGUAAAACAAACUACCAACGACAUGUUGUCGUCGAUAGCGGCUGAUAUCUGCUUCUAGCUUCGGGAAUCCAAUACUUUUGGACAGAGUACUAAUAACUUUGGCCCCUGUUUGGUCCCGGAUACACUCUAAUUUCUCGUCAUCAACGCCUCCGAAGAGGAGUGCCCCAGGUUUAUAUCCACAGGAUUGGGCAUACUCUUUAAGCUCUUCUAUUUCAGCUUUUGUUAGAUGUUCUCCAACUAAGUUUUGGAAUGCGAAAGCUUCGUCUUCUGAAGCUUCAUCAGCAAUUUCUUUUCCUUUCUUUGACGCUGCGGUCACAGUCUCUUCGGCAGCAGCGGCAGCUUCUUCUGCAGCCAUGUCUAGCAGCAUUUGGUCAAUAUGUUCAAUUGUGCUCUCUAAAUUCAAAUCUUCAGCUGAGGUAACUUCGGCGACUGCGGCCUCCGAAGGUGCAAUUUCAAUAUCUGCUUCCUCUAAAGCUGCUCGUGUCUUUUGGGCCGAAGCUCUUGGCGGCGUUUUGUCAAUUACCUCUGUCACGGUAAUGAUUCUUUGUUUCCUUGCCUUGAUUGUUUUCUUCGAUUUCUCGGGCUCCUUGUCCUUCUGAAAAAACUUUGUCAGUUGUGGACCCAGUGGACUUAGCUUCGCAGGUAAGGAUUCAGUCAUUACCUUCAGAAUUUCCUCAACAACGGCAGCAGAAGGCGAUGCGGGGGUUUCUUCUGCUUCGGAUAUUUGUUGCUUCGGAGAAGAAGUUUUCCUUUUCUUUGGAAUUUUCUUCUUUAUUGGCUCUUUUUCACCUUCAUCUAAGGCUUCAGUCCCCCUUUUCCUUUUUUGGCCUCCGGCACCUUUGUUCAGAUCUUCGUAGUCUGGGUACUCGAAACCCAAGGCGUCCAAUACUCGAUUUAGCCUUCGUUUCGGUCGAGUGCCGAAGGCUGCGGUCAUCAAUUGAUCUUCUUUUUUCGAAUAAUUGCCAAGUAUCUCGUUGCACAUCACUUCGAUCAUAUCCAGCCACUCUUGGCAAGGAGCUUUAAAGUAUUUCUUAAAUUUGAAGCAGUAAGGCAAACGUACAAGUUCACCUUUUUUCUUUUCCCCCUCCAGUUUCGGCAUUUCCCACUCUUUUACACUAGGGAAAACCUUGAAAGCCAAGAAUUCCUGGACUAGGUCCCUUGUACUGAUAUUCUCUGCAAUUAUUUUGAAUUCAUACAUUGCUUUUUGGGUCGGACCCUCUGGUAACAUGUGGCACUGGGGGCGGGUUUCUCCGAAGGUCAAUUCAAGUGGACUCUGUACAAGCUUUUCCUUAUCGUCAUCAACCUUGACAUAGAACCAUUCCGAUUUCCAUCCUGCUGCCCAUUUGCUUCGGUAGCUGAUCACAGGAUACUUCGUAGUUUUCCGAUAAGCAAAAUUAUAGCAACCAAAAUUCUCAUGUAAUCCAUCUUUUCUAGCCUUUGUCUGAUAGUGCAAUUCGUGAACCCGGCAAAAGCUGUCCGCAAACGGUUCCACCGCCUGGCUUCAAAGUGCCCAGAUAUAAACAUUAAGCCUAACGAUAGCGUUGGGGGUCAGCUGGUGAAAAUAGAUUCCAAAAUUCUUUAAUAUCUCUGCAAUAAUCCCAUGAAGGGGAAUCUUAAUCCAGCCUUUAGGAAACUCUUAAAAAUAACAAUUUCAUCUUUUUCCGGCUUUGGGGUAGUCUCUUCUCCCCCGAAGCGUAAUAGCUUCUUUUGAUUUUCAGUAAAAUAUCCUGACUUUACCAUCUUGGACAAAUCAGCCUUCGAAACAGUAGAUUUCCCGAAGUCCAAAUGACUGGGUUUGCUUGGUGUGGCAAGGUGAUAAUCAUCUUCGGAGUCAGUUUCCUCAGCAUCUUCUCCUUCUGCUUCAGCGAUUGCUUGUUCUGCAUCAUCAAUAGGAGCCUUCUCCGAAGUCACUAGCCCGGAUCAUCGCAUGGCUUCGGAGAUAGGGACAGUCUCCGAAGCAUCAGUUUCGUCCCCCUCACGUUCAACCCUAGCGGUAGAACGGACUCUGGCCAUUUAACUAUGAACUUGUGAAACUUUAAUACUUUUUUCUCCGAAGCAGGCUUCAAGAUGGAGCUUCGUUCAAUUCUGACAAACAAGCUUCGGCGAUGGUUAAGAAUUUUGGCAGCAAAACAGUGCAAAUAGCAGUAAAUGCUGUGGUAACUUCACACCUACUCGUCUGUUUAUAUAGUGCCGCAGGUAAGAAGGCGAAGCGCCAGAAGUUUUACACCAGGCGGGCACCCGCUCGCACUCGCUGAACGGUGGACCACAGAGACCGAACAGUAAUUCUGCAAGGUGGGGCCGCUACGCGCAGGGAGAGUGAAUCGUUUCUCGGCAACGAGCUCAGGGAAGGUGUUUUUUGGACCUUCGGCUCCCCGAAGCUUAAGAGACUUUUUUCACGGAUCAAGCUCGUUACGAAAAACGAUCUAGCACCGCGAAAGGGGCUACUGUUGGGUCUAUGCUUCGUCGCCGAAGGUCUUCAAGGGAGAAGCGGCUUUAUAAUGAGUGAGCAGGUAUCUUCGGACUUGUAUCAGAAAGGGAGAAGCUCAAAAGAUACAAAGGUUGACACAGCGCCGAAGCUGUGAAGCAGGAAAGCUUCGGCAUGUUCGCAGAAAAGGGAACCGACUUAAAGAUGAAAAGGCCAUUUAGACCUCGAUAGAGUGCUAUAGAAUUAUCACCAAAUGUAAAGGGCAUGUAUGUAAUUUUGUAUGGGUUGUACCCCGUGCCUAUAAAUAGGUGAACAGUACCCCCGUACUGUUCACGCUGACUUGGCAUUUGCUUUUGCGUCACACUUGUAUUUUCAUCUCCUUCCAAGCCGAAGGUACAUUUAUAAUUCAAUAUUGUUUCUAUUUUUCUAUGAUGAUAUAAUAAAGUGAAAUAAAUGAUGUUAUAUGAUUAUUUGUGUUAUCCUUUAACUUUCAUAUACUUCGUCUUUCAUUAAUGUAUACUGUAAUGAUGAAGGUUUGUCCUUCAUAACCUUCGUCCGGAGAUCGUUAUAUCCUAAGGGAAAUAAUGCCUCAAAGGACGAAUGACUUUAUCGUUUAACAUUUUCUAUGUUGCCUUGUUCUUAACUCAUAGCACUUGAGAACAAGUCCCCAACAAAAGCAACACUAAGUUCAUCAAGCAUAUCACCUAAUCUAGGAAUUGGAUGUCUAUACCUUACGGUGAUGUUAUUGAUAGCUCGACAAUCCACACACAUUCUCUAAGAUCCAUCUUUCUUAGGAACUAGAAGGACAUAGACAACACAAGGGGAAAGACUUUCUUGUACGUACGCUUUUUUAAUCAAUUCUUCCACUUGUUGCUGAAUCUCCUUUGUUUCUUCUGGGUUGGUGCUAUAGGCAGCACGAUUUGGGAGGGAAGCACCAGACACAAGGUCUAUUUGAUGUUCAAUCCCUCUCUUAGGUGGUAGCCCUAGUGGCACUUCAUCAGGAAGCACAUCCUCAUAUUCCUGUAAUGCAUCAAAGACAAUACUUGGCAAAGUAGAGGGUAAGUUGUUAGUAGAAAGAAGGUUGUCCUUGUACAGGAGCACAAAGAACAUGGCAUUAGGUUCACUCAAUUCUUUUAGAUCCCCCUUCCUAGUCAUCAUGACUAAUCCCUCUUUUCCCGGUGUCUUGGUUAUUGGAGGCUGUGGAGUUUUAUUUGGCUUUGAAAACUCUUCCUUACUAUUUUUGUGGAUCACUCUCAAGUGCUUCUCGCUCUCUCGCUGUUUCUUCUUUAGAUCAUCCUUCAUAAUUUCCUCCGGUGUCAAAGGAAGCAAAGAGAUUCGCUCUCCUUUGUACAAGAAAGACAACUUGUUGGUUCUUCCAAAAAUCUGGACAUCACGAUCAUAUAACCAAGGUCAACCUAGCAGCAAUUGACAUGCUUGCAUAGGGACCACAUCACAUUCCACAUGAUCAUUCUACUUCCCAACAGAAAAAGGAAUAUUCACCACAUGGCUAACACGCAACGCUCCACAAACAUUAAGCCGCUGCAUCUUAUAUGGACUAGGACGACACCUUGAUUUUAAUUCCAAUCUGUCCACCAAUUCUUGACUAGCAAUGUUGUUGCAGCUACCAUUAUCAACAAUGAUGCGACAUAGCUUAUCUUUGACCAUACCUUGGGUAUGGAAAACAUUAUGGCGCUGUCCAUUUUCUUCUCUUUCAGCAGUCACACUUACCACUCGAAGAGAGAUAAAACAGUUAUGAUCUACUUCUGGCUAGAUCUCAUUCUCUUCAUGUUGAAUUUCUUCAUCAAACUUCAGUCCAUCGUCUUCUGGAACACUAUCUGAUUUCCAUUCACCUUUUUAAUUCAACAACAUUGUUCUUCUACUUGGACAUCGAGCAGCAAUGUGCCCACGACCAUGACACUUAUGGCACACAAUUUCUCUUGUAUGGGUAGAAGAAGUAGCGACUAAAGCUUCAGUCGGGUCUGAUGUACUAGCAGCAGGCCGAUGCUUAUUUGCAGGGAAUGAACCUAUAGAAGCCACCAUCUUUGAUGUACUAUUGGAUGGAGAAGACCUAGCUACAUUUCCUUGGGAUGGUCCUCCACCAAAAGAAGCACUGGAUUGUUGUUUGUGCCAUUGGACAACAUUAUAAUGACUUGCAUAAGAUUUUCCACGUGACUCUUGUUGAAAUUUUCUCUCUGUACGCAUUGCUUGAUCAACUAGAUCUUGCAAGGUACGGUAUGGGAACAUCUCGACAAAUCCAGAAAUCUCUUCAUUGAUUCCGCCUAGAAAUCUUGCCAUGGUUGACUCAGGAUCUUCUCUAAUUCGAGUUCGUACUAACAACAACUACAUCUCCUUAAAAUAUUCAUCAACAGAUUUCUUUCCUUGCUUCAAUAAUUGCAAUCGAUUUCGAAGAUCGCGUUGAUAGUUGGAAGGAACAAAUCGCCUCUUCAUCACUCGCUUCAUCUCUUCCCAUGUAUUAAUAUGUCUUAGUCCCAAUCUAAGUUGAUGUUCUUGCAGUUGAUUCCACCAAGUAAGAGCAUAACCAAAAAACUCAACUGGGGACAUGUUCACUCGUUGUUGAUCUAAAAAAUUGUGAAUUCUGAAAAUUUGAUCACACUGCUCAGCCCAAUUAAGAUAUUCAUCUGCACUUUCUUUCCCAGUAAAUUUAGGAAUAUCCAACUUGACUCGGGCAAUAUGGUCUCGGUCAUUUCUAUGACGACGUCCAUGAUAAUGGUCUCUAUUUUCAAAAUUAGCAUGUCGGUGAUGAUGACGCCGACCAAACAUUCCAUCAUUUGCAAAAGGAUUUUCAUCAGAUCCUUCCUCACGAUCAUGGUCUUCAGACUCCUUGUCUUCAAAUCUUACUCGACGUUCGUGUGCAUGACGCCUUCCACACAAAUUAUCGAAAUUAGCGCGGCGACCAUCACCAACCUCUACGGCCAUCGCCGAAGGGAUCGAAUUCAUGGUCAAAACCAGAAUUCUCAUCUCCGGAUUCUUCACGGUUAAAUUCUUCUGGAUCAUGAUGAUGUAGCCUUUGACCUCCUGUCGCAGUCAGACGUUCUUUUGACAUCCUUUCCAUGGCUCCCACGAGUGAGUCGGCCAUCUGAUGCAAUUCAGCCCGAGAGACAGGGGGCUCUCCAUCUCCAUGGUUUCCACCAUGAACACUUGAAUUGGAUCCUACCAUGUUAGAGGGAAGCAAGAGAAAGUAGAAUAUGAAAGUAUUUGUGGAACACUCGAUCUCACCUCUUACUUACUGUUGGGGACUUGUUCUCAAAUGCUAUGAAUUAAGAACAAGGCAACAUAAAAUGUUAAAUAUUAAUGCCCUUCGUCCACUGAAGCAUUAUCUCCCCAAGGAUUUAAUGAACUUCGGACGAAGGCCAUGAGCAAGAUAUCACGAAGAUCAUACCUUCGUGAUUAGAGUUAUAAAACAAUGUAGGAUGAAAUAUAAAAAUAUGAAACAUAAGGGAAUGAUAUAUCAAAAACACAUAAGAUUAUUCACACAUUUUAUUAUACAAACCUAAAUAUUAAAACAUAAUAUUUAGGUACAUUUAUACCUUCGCCUUGGCAGAAAGCAAUAAUUCCAGCGUAAUGUGCCAGCGAUUACAAGAUUGCGUGAACAGUGCAGGGGUACUGUUCACCUAUUUAUAGGCACAAGACGCAGCCUGUGUAUAAUUACAUUUAUACCCUUUACAAUCAACUACAAUAAUGACACAGAAUAUCAUGGGUCUUUAGGUCAUUUCAUCUUUAAGUCGGUUCACCCCUUCGUCUUGAGACAUGUCACUGUGCCGAAGCUUUAUAGGCAAUAGCUUCGGCACUGCUUUUGAGAGGAUCUGCCGAAGGUGUUUCUUUCUUUAGGAUCUUCGGCUAUGAAGCAUACCCCCAACAGUAGCCCUUCGCGGUGCUAGAUCUUUUUUCGUAACGAGCUUGAUCCGUGAAAAAAUCUUUUAGGCUUCGGGAUGCCGAAGAUCCGAAAAACACCUUCCCUGAGCUCGUUGGCGAGAAAUGAUUAAAAUAAUCCAUGCGCGAGGUGGCCCCAUCUUGCAGCAGUUACGCGCACCCUGGUGAUUCACCUUCUCGGACUCUGUGGCCCACCGUUCGGUGAGUGCGGGUGGUUGUUUGUCCGGUGCGGAAGACCUUGACGAUUCACCUUUCCACCUGUGGCACUAUAUAAACAGACGAGUAGGUGUGAAGUUACCACAACAUUCAUUGCUAUUGCGCUGUUUUGCUGCCAAAAUAUUGACUAAAGCCGAAGCUUGCUUACUGCAUCCUCAUCUGAAGCUAUUUGUUUUACUCAAGCUUCGUAACAAGAAAGAGCUUCAACAAAGUUAAAAAUUUCAACUUCAUUCAAAAAACAAGAAAUUCAAUCAUCAGAUGGCCAAAGUACGUUCAACAGCUAGAGUUACUCGCGACGGAGAGGAAGCCGAAGGUGCCAAAAUUGCUCCAAUCUCUAAAGUAAUGAAGCGUUCAGGGCUGGUAGUAUCGGAGGAUGCACCUGCCGCUGAAGCUGAGCAGGCUGAUGCUGAGGAAGUUGAGUCAGAAGAUGAUUACAGCGCAGUGCCAACUAAACCCAGCCACCUGGAGUUUGGGAAAUCCACCAUUUUCGAAGGUGACAUGCCGAAGCUGAUGAAUUUGGGCUAUUUCAGUGAAGCGAAGAAGGAGCUGGUUCAUUUCGGCGGGGAGGAGAUUACUCCGAAGCCAGGAAAGGAUGAAGUAGUGGUCUUCAAAAGCUUCUUUAAAGUUGGUUUAAGAUUUCCUUUAAACAAGAUGAUUGCUGAUGUUUUGAAGAAGUUUGGGAUCUAUCUUCAUCAACUAACUCCUAACACUAUCGUUAGGCUUAGCGUUUAUAUCUGGGCUCUCCGAAGCCAAGGGGUGGAACCAUUUGCCGAAGGCUUCUGCCGACUGCACGAGCUUCAUUAUCAGACCAAGGCUAGAGGAGAUGGGCUGCAUGAAAACUUUGGCUGCUACAAUUUUGCCUAUCGCAAGAGUACAAAAUUUCCAGUGAUCAGCUAUCGUAGCAAGUGGCGAGCUAGCUGGAAGUCUGAGUGGUUUUACGUCAAAGUUGACAAAGAAAAGGAGAAGUUGGUCCAGAAUCUGCUAGAAUUAAUCUUCGGAGAGACCAGACCCCAGUGCAACAUGACACCAGGGAGUCCAAGCCAAAUUGCUCUGGCUGAACUUAGAGUUAUUGUGGAGCAUAUCGGCACUAGGGACUUAGUGCAAGAAUUCUUGGCUUUCAGAGUGUUCCCAACUUUGAAAGAGUGGGACAUGCCGAAGCUUAAGGGAGAAAAGAAGAAGGGGGAACUUAUUCAGUUGCCUUAUCAUUAUAAAUUCAAGAAACAUUUCAAAGUGCCUUGCCAAGAGUGGCUGGACACGAUUGAAGUAAUGUGCAAUGAAAUUCUCGGCAAUUACUCUAAAAAAGAAGAUCAACUAAUGACUGCAUCCUUCGGCACCCACGGUGGGCGCCAAUGUUGGGGACUUGUUCUCAAAUGCUAUGAAUUAAGAACAAGGCAACAUAAAAUGUUAAAUAUUAAUGCCUUUCGUCCACUGAAGCAUUAUCUCCCCAAGGAUUUAAUGAACUUCGGACGAAGGCCAUGAGCAAGAUAUCACGAAGAUCAUACCUUCGUGAUUAGAGUUAUAAAACAAUGUAGGAUGAAAUAUAAAAAAUAUGAAACAUAAGGGAAUGAUAUAUCAAAAACACAUAAGAUUAUUCACAUAUUUUAUUAUACAAACCUAAAUAUUAAAACAUAAUAUUUAGGUACAUUUAUACCUUCGCCUUGGCAGAAAGCAAUAAUUCCAGUGUAAUGUGCCAGCGAUUACAAGAUUGCGUGAACAGUACAGGGGUACUGUUCACCUAUUUAUAGGCACAGGGCGCAGCCUGUGUAUAAUUACAUUUAUACCCUUUACAAUGAACUACAAUAAUGACACAGAAUAUCAUGGGUCUUUAGGUCAUUUCAUCUUCAAGUCGGUUCACCCCUUCGUCUUGAGACAUGUCACUGUGCCGAAGCUUUAUAGGCGAUAGCUUCGGCACUGCUUUUGAGAGGAUCUACCGAAGGUGUUUCUUUCUUUAGGAUCUUCGGCUACGAAGCAUACCCUCAACACUUACCCAAGCUCUUUCCUAAUCUCUAGGGCCGUGAUGGUGCCGGUGUGGCAGCUUCGACAGAGGUGGUAGAGCAGUCGAAAGGAUAACAAGUCAAACGUCCUGGUUCAGGUUUUUUAGUGGAGCUAUAGGAGGCUGAUCAAGGUGGGCUAUGGUACUAUCAACCAAGUGUGUUGAUGUGCUAAAAAGAUAUGAAAUUGUUGCUGGAAAGAUUCUCAUCAAAUCAAUGUAAACUAAAAUUUUCAGCAACACACCGCAACACAAUCCCCUUUCACAAAUUUUUUCACUUCUUCUUUUUUUGACUUCUUUCUCUUCUUCUUUUUUUCUUUCUCUCUUUUUUAUAACACUAAUGGAGUGUCGAGAUCAAAUGCAAUGACACAAUAUGAAUACGACGGUGGUAACUAGCAACUUGAGGAACUUUAAACAACACAAGGUAACAAUACCGCCAAAGGGUUAUAGGUUUUUUGUGUGGCUUUGGACUAUAGGACAAAACAAAAUAUAAGAUGGAUGAAGACUGUGAUAAAUAAGUGGAUGACAGUAAGACCUACCAUGACAACGAAAGCUCUGAUACUAGAUGAUAUGUACCGAGUUAUAUUCGGUACUAGGGUGCCCCAAUCUUCACGACAAUAGGUUGAUAAAUAAGAUGGUUGGGUAUAAAAGUAAUGGAAUAACAAGGUAAAUUUGUUGUAGAACAUCGGGUAACUGACUUUAUACCUGAUCAAGGUCGGAGGUGACCAAGCGACGGGGAGAGAGACACCGAAACCGUGGAGACUUUGACUCGAUCUCUGAACGACCAUAGAAUCACAACCGGAGCUAAUCCACACAAUGCGAGGCAGCCGUACUGGAACUCACAAGGCAUGAACUAGUGGAUCCCAGAGGAGUCUCUUCACAAGUCUAGGAGAACAAGGAAGAACAGGGGUAGAGUAAACACUCAGCAGCUUGGCUGCGGUAAUCACUUGGAUUAUCAAAUCAUCAAAGGUUAUCAAAAGUUGUUUUACAUCAUAGACAUAGGGGGGUAUUUAUACUAGCUACAACCAGCCUUAGAUAGGUAUAAACACGAAAAGAAAGUAUUUUAACGUGCUAAUGUGAAGUGGCCUCUUCGGGAGAUCUCCAGAGCUGAAUUCUGCGUGGCUGUUUGACUUCUACGUAGCCUUCAAUAUUUUGAUAAUAACUUCUCCUAGGAAUCUCUAAAUGGCGUGGGGCUAGAUGCGCUUGAAAGCUAACUUCAUAAGCUUUCUCACCAUAUAUAACAUGCUUAGUGAAACUUCGUAGAAUGAUACAGUUUAAUACUAAAACUUGGUCAUCAAGCAGACUGUUGACUGUCACACCCGGGUUUUAGGGGGCACCAAAACCCGGACGCGAGAUAAUCACCAAGUGUGCUGGGACCAAGUCUCACACAUAUGAUGACUCAUGGUACAUAAACGAAUGUCACAUCUUUAGUAUAUAAUAGGAUUUCUAUACAAAAUAAAUAAAUAAUUACAUCAUAUGGAGACAACUAUCCAACAACCCAAAGUUGAAUGUGAGACGACGGCUUAGACCUCUUACGAAUUCAUCACAACAUCCUCCAUGUGCCUCCUCCUGCGGUAACUGUUCUUGACCUGUGGGGGGUGUGAGACAGCAAGGGUGAGCUCACAUACGUUCAUCGCUCAAUAAGUUGUGGGGAAUAAUGUGCAUGAACUCACCAAAGGUGGGAGCUCAUGUAAAGUGUAAGGCUUACCAAAGAAGAUGGCUAAAGCUGAGCAUUGCUUUUAAAUUUGGUCAAAUUUUAUUACAGUUACUAAGUAUAAGUAGAUACCAACCCAAAUAAGUAAUAGAUCAAAAUUGAUAACAACACCCACGAUGCAAUGCAUAUGACAAAUUAAGUUUAGUUCCAUAAAUUAAUCAUGUGAGUUUCGAGCCGCUCAUGACCGUAAGCACGACUGAUACACCAAUUUUACACUCUGCAGAGGUUGUGCAUAUUUACCCACAAGUUGUGUUAUCCAUCUGUCAAGGGGUUAUGAAUCCCAUACACCUCUACCAAGGAAGUGAGGUAGGGUAACAAUACGAGGCCUUUACAAAGUUCCACUAACUUCAGAAAACCCGCUACAGUUUCUAGGAAGCUCCAAUGCAGGGAUCCCUCACUUGACCAUCAUCGCAGCAAAAUCAACCCAAGGACCUCCCUACACUGACCACUCCCCUACUGCCCUUGCCCCUUUCGGGUAAGAUAGUCCUCCACUAGCUUUCCUAAUUAGUCAGCCAAGGGCGUCCCAUACCACCCUUGUGGUAGCACUGUUUUCCCGGGUGGUUCUCCAUGUUCCAAUUAACAAUAUGAUCUUAUCAUGAACAAUAAUUAAACAACAACAUAAUUGGAACAUGAUUAUAAUGAAACAUUAGUUUCCCAAAACCAAAUAGAGCAAUAGCAAAGAUACCCAAUAAUUCAUCUGUCUACAAGGUGAGGAAUAAACAAUGCUAGGGAAACCUAUUAGGUCCCAUCAAAUUAACCCGAUGCCUGUCACAGUGAUUAGCAAUGAACAUUAUUAGGUAAAAAGGAGUGAUCGAGGGCACAACUUGCCUGGGACUCGAGAUUCCAGGUACCAGGAUGAUCUUCAGAUGACUCGCAACCUCGCGCUAGUCGUAGCAAUACAAACAAACAUAGCAUAGGCAAAAUUAACAUCACACCAAACAUAAUCACAAAUUAAAUAAUAAUGAUCUACACGUCGUAACGAGAUCGUAGGUUCGAGAAUUACUAAAAUCGGAGCUACGGUUUUAAAGAUACGAUUUUCUAAAGAUUUAGGAGUCGGGUACAAAAGAAAUUAAGUACAUGAUUGUAAUUUAUGUUUCAUAACAAAAUAAAGUUACCAGGGGAUAAACAAUAUUAUUAUGGAACUAAUGCAACUGGAAUAAAUCAAAAAGGAGUUAAAAUGCGCAAGUUAUGAAUUUUCUAAGUUUAUUCUAUAUUAUAAAUCAUUUUCUAGAUUUGUAUUUGCUUAAAACAAAAACUAUGGCUGCAGUUACUAAAUCUGAAGUGUACAGGGGCUAUCCCAUAAAUGUCCAGGGCACAAAUAGAAUUAUUUAGCACUGGUAGGGGAUGGCAGGUUAGUUUCAAGAUUUUCCGAGGACUCUUUAGCAAAAGACCCACGACGAAGGGGUAAGAUCACACCUGAGCCGCACGAUCUGAAGUCUAUGGCCCAGAUUAGAUCGCCUACAACUGAAUGGGUAUAGAGCUGUAGCCCUUGGAUCCACGAUCAACGCUCUGGAUUUUAAAGACUUGAAUGGGUUCUCACGCGUCAGAUUUAGAUCGGACGGUGCGCAGCUAUCCAUGAAGGGGUAUCAAGCUUUUCUGACCGCGUGAUCACAAAUUGAUGGUCCAGAUUUAAAGGCACAUACGAUUAUGCAUCUUCUAAUAUGAAUCAUUGAUCAAGCAGUCAACGACUCAGAUCCCAAUCCCUGAAGUUGUACCCGAAGUUCUAAUCCUAGCCCUCCAAAAUGGAUCGCAUGACUCAAUUACCAUCUUCUUCCCUCAAACUACACACACAGCGGCGCACGCCGGUGAACCACCCCAUCACGGCGCAUGGGUACACGAUUCCCAAAUCAAUCUGGUGCUACACGAUGUAGGCCCAUGGGCGAAUCGGUAUAGGGAGUUCUUAUCGUGUCUCGACGCAACAGAGGACGUGACCACGACGCACAGGGGUGUGGUGGCAGCACAAGAGCUCCUAUGAGCAAUCACCACACCAACGCAGCCACCGAGUACCAAAUACCCCACGUGUGUGAUCUUUACCUUCAAGCGAACCUCCCCACCCAAUUGAUCGACACCGAGUUGCAGUGGCGGUGAGAGUAUGCUGCGGCAGCGCUCAUGUUUUCUUCCCCUGUCAAUGGUGUUCGGCGCGGUGACCCAAGCUUUAUAGACACGCAGAGUCUGUGCCAAGACCAGCUACCCACCUAGCGCCAGUUGUGUGGGUGUUGCGCCAAACCCCGAAGAUCGUGGACGGCGGGCGAGAAGGAUCUCGCGGUCUUUUUUGGGAUGCGGCAGUCGUGGCUCUUGAUAGAGGGAAGAAAGACCUGGCGGACGGGGCCCACGCGACAGAUAGAUAGAUCAGGUGCGUGCAUAUGGGUGGCCUACAAGCGGGCCCCGCAGGUAAGUGUGAGGUCCAGAACGGAAGCGCGCGUGUGAGUAGAGUGGGUUGGUGGAAUGGUGAGCCGGAUGGGCCGAGGGGAGAGGAAAUGGGCCCAUGCGUGGUUCUCUGUUUUUCUUUUUCUUUUUAUUCUGUUUUGAAUUUCUUUCUCAAUUUCAAAUUUCAAUACUUAACUUCGAGUUUAAAUUUCCUGCCUUGAAUUUUUAGACUUCCAAUUAUCUAAUACCAUUCUAAUUGUGAAUAUAAACUUGUACAAAAUUUUAAUAUUAUUAUUAUUAAUUCUCCCUCUAUUUUACAAUUCUAAUAGCAACAAAUUACUAUUACUAUUUCUUCUCUCAUCUUCUAUUUUAUAUUUUCAUUGAUAAUUUGAGGUCAAUUUUAUGUUUAAAAUAAAAUGCAUCACAACAAUAUCAUCAACAAGAGAUGUACCUUUCUUUGUUUACUUAUUGGUUACUUAACUAAUUUGGUACCAUUAAUUGUUUAGGAAAGAAGGAAAUGUCCUAAUGAAUUCCAAAGGUUUCAGAAACUCUAGAAACACUAUUAUAGAUAUUUUAUUUCUUUAUUUUAUUAUUUUAUUAUAUUUUUUUCUUCUACCAAUUUUAGGCUUUACAAAUCCUACCCCCUUAACAGAAAUCUCGUCCUCGAGAUUAGUAAGAAAAAGGAUGUAUAACCAUAUUGUCUCAGAACAUAUGCACAAACAAGAAUCUCAGCAUGAUGCAUAGCUUAUUAGCAACACAUAGGGUCAAAUAGACCUUAUUAUUAUUAUUCCUAAAAUAGUAAAAUACUAGCUACUAACUAAAGUAAUAUUUAGGUCUUACAAAUAGUACUCUAAAAGUAUGUAGAUAUAUAUAUUUAUAUAUAUAUAUUUAUUCUAAUCGUGUUGUUCAUUGCCUUCUUCAUCAAUUUCUUCACCUCAACCACCAAUUUCUGCAUGGUUGACCUGCCCCCGAUUGACGGAUAAGGGCUGACUCUUGCCUGCUGAGGCUUGACCCUGCUUCAUCGAAGUCGGAGUAGUAUAAGAAGCCCUGUUGGGACAGUAGUUGGCAUAGUGUCCAAACUGUCCACACUUGAAGCAUGACAUGUUCAGUAUAACACCAGUGUAAAGGAAAAGUGCAAUAUAGAUCAACUCAUGGCACAGUGUGUCCAGAAGAAGGAUAGUGUUGGGGACUUGUUCUCAAAUGCUAUGAAUUAAGAACAAGGCAACAUAAAAUGUUAAAUGUUAAUGUCCUUCGUCCACGAAGCAUUAUUCCCUUGAGGAUAAUGAACCUUGGACGAAGGUUGAUAGCAAUACAAUUACGAAGGUUAAGUCUUCGUAAUUGAAUUUUAAUAGAUUGUAUAAGAUAACAUAAAAUAAAGAAUAUCAAAGGUAAAUGAAUUAUAAACGGAACAUAUUGUAUUUACUUAAUAUAUUGAAUUUUUGAAUACAAUUAUACCUCUGCCUUGGCAAAGAUUGGUUCCUGAAUGAUGUGAUUGCCAAAACCGGAAUCCGUGAACAGUAAGGGAAUACUGUUCACUAUUUAUAGGCACAGGACACAGCCUGUGAGAAAUUACAAUUAUGCCCCUCACAAAGGAUUACAACAGCGACCUAGGCACUUAUGGACUAGAGGGUCAUUCUACUUUUAAGUCGGUUUGUAAUACCGAAGCUUCAUGAAGAGGAACCUUCGGUCAUCUCAUACGAAUAGCUUCAGCCGCAAGCUGCUUCUUCCUACAAGACCUUCGGCGACGAAGCAUAGUCCCAACAGUAGCCCCUUUCGCGGUGCUAGAUCGUUUUUCGUAACGAGCUUGAUCCGUGAAAAAAGUCCCUUAAGCUUCGGGAAGCCGAAGGUCCAAAAAACACCUUCCCUGAGCUCGUUGUCGAGAAACGAUUUAGUUUCCCAGCGCGUAGCAGUCCCACCUUGCAGAGUUACUGUUUGGUCUCUGCGGUCCACCACGCAGCGAGUGUAAGCGGGUGUCCGCCUGGUGUAAAAAUCCUGGCGCUUCGCCUUCUUACCUGCAGUACUAUAUAAACAGACGAGUAGGUGUGAAGUUACCACAGCAUUCAUUGCUAUUUGCACUGUUUUGCUGCCAAAAUUUUUAACCAUAGCCGAAGCUUGACUCUCGGAAUCGAACAAAGCUCCAGCUUGAAGCCUGCUUCGUCAGAAGGAAAAAACUUCGGAAGUAAAAGUAUUUAAUUGCCACAAAUUCAGAAUUAAAUGGCCAGAGUGCGUUCUGCCGCUAGGGUUGAGCGUGAGGGGGUGAAGCUAAAGGUUCAGAGAAUGUUCCCAUCUCCGAAGCGAUGCAACGAUCUGGGCUGGUAAAUUCGGAAAAAAUCCCCAGUGCUGAUGUAGAACAAGCAGAACAAACAACUGCCGAAGCAGAAGAAGAAAACAUUGAGGAAACUGAUCCUGAAGAUGAUUAUCGUAUUGCUAUGCCAAGUAAGCCCAGCCACUUGGACUUCGGAAAGUCUACUGUUUCGAAGGCUGAUCUCUCCAAGAUGGUAAAGUCGGGCUUUUUCAGUGAAAGUCAGAAGAAGCUACUACGCUUCGGGGGGGAAGAAACUACCCCAAAGCCGGAGAAGGAUGAAAUUAUCAUUUUCAAGAGCUUUCUAAAGGCUGGAUUAAGAUUCCCCCUGCAUGGAAUUAUCGCAGAGGUAUUGAAGAGGUUUGGUAUCUACUUUCAUCAGUCGACUCCUAACGCUAUCGUUAGGCUUAGCGUUUAUAUCUGGGCCCUCCGAAGCCAAGCGGUGGAGCCGUUUGCGGACAGCUUUUGUCGAGUUCACGAGCUGCACUAUCAGACGAAGGCUAGAAAAGAUGGAUUGCAUGACAAUUUUGGUUGCUAUAAUUUUGCUUAUCGGAAAACCACAAAGUUUCCUGUAAUCAGCUACCGAAGCAAAUGGGCAGCAGGCUGGAAGUCGGAGUGGUUCUAUGUCAAGGUUGAUGACGACAAGGAGAAGCUUGUGCAAAGUCCACUUGAACUAAUCUUCGGAGAAACCCGACCUCGUUGCAACAUGACACCAGAAGGUCCAGCCCAACAAGCGUUGGAUGAAUUCAGAAUUAUUGCAGAGCAUAUCAGUACAAGAGACCUGGUUCAGGAGUUUUUGGCUUUCAAGGUUUUUCCUAGUUUAAAAGAAUGGGAAAUGUUGAAGCUAAAGGGGGAGAAGAAAAAAGGUGAACUUGUGCGGUUACCUUACUAUUUCAAGUUUAAGAAAUACUUUAAAACACCUUGCCAAGAGUGGCUGGAUACAAUUGAAGUAAUGUGCAAUGAAAUACUCGACAAUUAUUCCAAAAAAGAAGAUCAACUGAUGACCGCGGCCUUCGGCACCCGUCCGAAGCGAAGACUAAAUCGAGUGCUGGACGCCUUGGGUUUUGAAUAUCCUAACUACGAAAAUCUGAAUAAAGGUGUCGGAGGCCAGAAAAGGAAAAGGAUAACCGAAGCCUUAAAUGAAGAUGAGAAAGAACCAUCAAAGAAGAAAAUUCCGAAGAAGAGGAAAGCGUCUUCUCCGAAGCAAAAAGUAUCCGACGAAGAAGAAACCCCCGCAUCACACUCUGCCACUGACGUGGAGGAAAUUUUAAAGGUAAUGACUGAAUCCCUGCCUGCGAAGCUAAGUCCAUUGGGGCCUCAACUGACAAAGUUUUUUCAGAAGGAAAAGGAGCCCGAAAAAACGAAGAAAACGACUAAAGCAAAAAGACAAAGAAUCAUCGGUGUAACAGAGGUCAUUGACAAGACACCACCGAGAGCUUCAGCUCAGAAGAUACCAGCGGCUGAGGGAAUGACAAAUAUUGAAAUCACACCUUCGGAGGUCGCGGCUGCCGAAGCUACCUCAAUUGAAGAUUUGAACUUGGAAAGCACAAUUGAACACAUCGACAAAAUGCUGCUAGACAUGGCCGCAGAAGAAGCUACUACUGCCGCCGAAGAGGUCGUAGCCGCAGCGUCGGGGAAAGAAAAGGAAAUUGCUGACGAAGCUUCAGAGGACGAGGCCUUCGUAUUUCAAAAUUUAGUUGGAGAAAAAUUGUCAAAAACCGAAAUAGAAGAGCUUAAAGAGUACGCCAAAUCUUGCGGAUAUAAACCAGGAGCACUCCUCUUCGGAGGUAUUGAUGAUGAAAAAUUGGACUCUAUCCGGAAUCAAACUGGAGCUAAGGUUAUCGGUACUCUGUCAAAGAGUAUCGGUUUUCCGAAGCUAGAAAUGGACAUUAGCCGCUACCGACGACAACAUAUCGUUGGUAGUUUAUUUUAUUCCAAUUUCAAGGUGAACUAUUUUUCCCCUGACUUUUAUUGUUUUGGAUAAUGAAGACAUGUCUAACGAAGGUUGUUUUCGUGUAGAGUAUGCUGUUGAGCAAAGCUUUGAAAAUGCAACAAGAUCUGGAAGACAAGAAACACGAAGUUAUAAUUGAAAAUUUAGAAGGCAAAAUAAAAGAGCAAUCAGCUACUAUUGAAAAGAAGAACUUCGAGCUUCAAGCGACUGAAGGCUUAUUGGCGGAAGCCGAAGCUAAAAUGACAGAACUGAACACGAAGCUUCUGUGCCAAUCUGAACAGUUUGAACGAGAAAAGCAAGAACUUAAUGCAAAACUUGAAGUCGAAGUCCAACAAAAUUCAGUUUUGAAAGAACUAUUGGCGGGCCUUCAAGACAAAUGUUUAGAAUUUAGCAACAAAUGUAUUCAACGAUUGAGAAAAAUUUUCCAUUCGGUCGGAGCUAGCAGUGAGAAGUUCACCCCGUCAGCUGAAGAUUUACCAAAGACCUUCGAACAUAUUGAGGGUGAAAUUGAUGAGCUUGACGAAGUUAUAGCCGGGCACGGUGACUUCUGCGCCUGGGUAGCUUCUCGGGGCACUGCUGCAGCUUUCCUAAAAGCUGGCUGCGAUCAUGGAAAGAUUGUCAAUAGGCCCAAUUUCACUUUAUCGCCAUCAAUUCUAGAUGACAUUCCUGAUCUCGCCCGAAGCAUUUCCAAUAGAUUUGUAAAGAUGAUAUGGACAAAAGGCGGGCGAGAAAAGGCAGGAGACGAAGCUCGGAGUCAUCUUGAACCAGUAAGAAAUCAUACCUUGUGCUUACCUCUUCCUUCAAGCUCGAUUUUGACUUACAACAACUUAAUUCAUGUAGGAGGACGAAGCCGAAGCCGAUGAUUAAAAAGAAUGACGCCGAAGCUGAGAUCCCUUGAAGAUUAAAUAGGAGUAGACUGUAGACAGACUCAAGAAACUUUUAAGAUAACUUUUGUAAAUGUAACUAAACUUGUCUUUAAUGAAUUCUGUUCAUACCUUGUAUUAUGCUCUUAUCCUUCCAUUAAUGUAUGAGAGGUGCUUUGAUGUGGACGAAAUUAUCUUUUUGAGUCGAAGGCGAAAAAACACCUUCCCUUCUUUUCGUACACAGUGAAGCAUAGAAAACAACAUUUCCCUUUCUUCCGAAGCUCUUCUUUUCGUACACGAAGAAGCUCUUCUCUCUUUUUUUUUCUUUUUGCCGAAGCAACCACUUAUGCUAUGAUGAUGAUUAUCCUACAUAUGCCUGGAUGAAUGUUUAUGAAUGCAAAUGCUAUGAUGUAAUGUGAUGUGCAAAUGAAUGUCCAAACACAUAUCCGAAGCCAUAAUCACAGCCAUUAUUUCCUUAGAAACAACCACAUAUCAGUGCUAACUUUUCGCUGUAAGCUCUGCAUUCCCUUAGGAACGACUUUGGAGCUUCUUUGUCUUUUACUUUCGGCGGAAUCAGCGUUGACUUUUCGCUGUAAGCUCUGCAUUCCCUUAGGACGACUUUGGAGCUUCUUCGCCUUUUACUUUCGGCGGAAUCAGCGUUGACUUUUCGCUGUAAGCUCUGCAUUCCCUUAGGAACGACUUUGGAGCUUCUUCGCUUUUUACUUUUCGGCACUCGAUGGUGCGUUCUCAGCUUUUACAUUUACAUUCCUUGGGGGAUUUUGCUCUUAUAGAACUAAAAAAGGAAAUUACAUAUGAUGGCCCCAUUAAAAACCUUUCUCCCCCUUCAGAAAGGAAAAGGGUGCCAUGAAAAAGAAAAAACAUAAAAAAUUACAUCAAGUUACACAUAAUAUCGCCGAAGCUCAUCCGCAUUCCAAGAUCUAGGAAUGUCGUUGCCGUCCAUAUCCUUCAAUCUGUAUGAACCGGGUCUUGACGAAGAUGCUACUAAGAAAGGUCCCUCCCAUUUCAACUGCAACUUGCCCACUGUAUCUGGGUUAGCCACUCGCCGAAGCACCAAAUGUCCUGGCUCAAUAUUCUUUAGCCGAACCUUUCUAUCACGCCAUUUGAUUGUUUCGGCUUGAUACUUAUUGAUGUUCUCCACAGCUUGAAGCCUGAUCCCUUCUACAACAUCUUUUUCCACAGAAUAAACAGCUUCAGAAUCUAACUCUGCCGAAGCUACUACUCUUAUUGAUCCAGUUUUGGCUUCCUCCGGAGUUAUUGCUUCGUCACCAAACAAUAGUUUGAAUGGAGUAAAGCCUGUUGACCUUGAUAUUGUUGUGUUGUGGCUCCAUACCACUUUGAUUAAUUGAUCUGGCCACUUUCCCCUAGGUUGAUUGAAGAUUAACUUCAUUAUUCCUGUCAUUAUAAUGCCAUUGGCUCUUUCAACGAGUCCAUUUGACUCCAGAUGCCUGACUGAUGCAAAAUGGAUCUUCGUACCAAUUUGAUCACAGAAAUCUCUGAAAGCUUCGGAGUCGAACUGUGUUCCAUUAUCUACUGUGAUGGCCUUUGGUACCCCGAAACGACAAACAAUAUUCUGCCAGAAAAACUUUUGGAUGGUGGCCGAAGUUAUUGUGGCUAAAGGCUUUGGCUCAAUCCAUUUAGAAAAAUAUUCCACAGCCACUACAACAUAUCUUAAGUUUCCUUGGGCCGGUGGUAACGGACCUAACAAGUCAAGGCCCCACCUUUGCAAUGGCCAAAUGGGUUGUAUGAGCUGGGUUAAAGACGAAGGUUGUUUUUUGAUCUCUUGCACAUUUCUGACAACCUUCGCACUUUUGAACUAAUUCCGCUGCAUCCGAAGCUGCCUUCGGCCAAUAAAACCCUUGACGGAAAACUUUUCCAAGUAACGGCCUAGAUCCAAUGUGAGAUCCGCACAGGCCUGCAUGUAUUUCUUUCAUCAAUUCUAUGCCUUCGGUUCUAGAUAAACACUUGAGUAGUGGAGCACAAACUCCAUGCUUGUACAACUCCCCUUCUAUCAUGACAUAUGGACGAGCUCUUGCCUCUAUCCUCCUGUUAUAAGUUUCGUCAUCUGAAAGGAAUUUACCCUGAAGGUAAGAGAUGAUUUCAGUUCUCCAAUCUUCGCUAUAAACAGGAGAUAUAUUGAGGACUGCCCUUUCAAGAAGUUCCACUGAAGGUGCUUUUAUUGUUUCGAAGAACACAUCCGAAGGUAAGGGCAGCCCCUGUGCUGCUGACUUAGCUAGCAAAUCAGCAUGCUCAUUUUGUCCUCGAGGGAUAUUUUUGACAGAAAAUCCUUCGAAGGAAGCUUCGACUCUUCGAACCAUGUCUAGAUAUUUUUCAAGCUUCGGAUCUUUAGCCUUGCAACUCUUGUCGAUAUGACCCGAAACAACCUGGGAAUCAGUUUUAAGAAUGGCCCUUCUGAUUCCCAUUGCUUUUAGCUUCCGAAGACCCAAAAGCAGGGCUUCGUACUCAGUAAUAUUGUUUGUACAACUGAAAUCGAGUCUUGCCGCAUAACAAGUUUUAACUUUGGAUGGCGAGACCAACACAGCAGCUGCUCCUGCCCCGAAGGUUCCCCAAGACCCAUCGCAAAACACUGUCCAUACUUCGGCAUCUUUAUUUGUUUCUUCAUCCUGAGCCCCUGGCGUCCAAUCGGCGAUAAAAUCUGCCAACGCUUGGGACUGGAUCGAAGAUCUAUGCACAUAAUCAAUGCAAAAUUCAUUGAGCUCUGCAACCCAUUUUCCAAUCCGCCCAGUAGCUUCUCUAUUUCUCAUAAUAUCCUUCAACGGCUGCGAAGAAGGAACAAUAAUAUUGUAUGCUUGAAAGUAAUGCCGAAGCUUCCUGGAUGCCAUCAAAACAGCAUAUAACACCUUCUCUAAUUCUGUAUAGUUUUUCUUUGAUAUACUGAGAACUUCAGAUACAAAAUACACUGGGACCUGUUUCUUGACUUGGCCAUCAAGCUUCUCCUGGACAAGUGCUGCACUUACCGCUGAGUGCGAAGCUGCCACAUAUAAUAACAAAGGAGCCCCUGGCGUUGGUGGAGUUAAUGUUGUUAAAUCUAUCAAAUAUUGCUUCAGUUCCUCGAAGGCUUUUUGUUGGCUUGGUCCCCAUUGAAAGACUUCGGCUGAUUUCAGGACUUCGAAGAAUGGUAAAUUUCUUUCUGCUGAUCUGGAUAUAAAUCUAUUAAGAGAUGCCAGCCUCCCCGUCAAUCUUUGGGCCCCCUUUUUUGUAGUUGGUGGCUCCAUUCGAAGUAUAGCUUCAAUUUUACUUGGAUUAGCUUCAAUUCCCUUUGUUGAAACCAAGCAUCCAAGAAAUUUCCCCUUCUUUACUCCAAAGACACAUUUUUCUGGAUUCAACUUCAGGCCAGCUUGUCUAAAACUGGCGAAGGUCUCCUGCAAAUCAGCAAUGUGAUUUUCCUGUUUCGUGCUUUUUACAAUGAUAUCAUCAACAUAAGUUAGCACAUUUCUGCCUAUCUGAGACUGGAGAACCCUCGCAGUCAUUCUGCUGAAACUUCCUCCAGCGUUCUUGAGCCCCUCAGGCAUCCGAAGGUAACAAUAUGUUCCACUAGGGGUUAUGAAACUGGUCUUUGGCUCAUCCUCCUUCUUCAUCCAAAUUUGAUGAUAGCCUGAAUAACAAUCGAGAAGACUCAUGAGCUCUGACGAAGCUGCUGCAUCAACUAAGGAGUCUAUCCUUGGCAAUGGGAAUUCGUCCUUCGGACAAGCCUUGUUGAGAUCUGUAAAAUCGAUACACAUUCGCCAUUUGCCAUUGGCCUUUUUUACCAUAACAGUGUUAGCUAGCCAUUCUGGGUACUUUACUUCUCUGAUAACUCCUGCACUGAGGAGUCUUUUGACUUCAUUACGAGCACCUUCGGCCUUAUCAUCAGACAUUUUCCGAAGCCUCUGCUUUCUGGGUCUGAAGGAUGGGUCAACAUUGAGCGAGUGUUCAAUAAUAUCUCUGUUAACUCCGCAAAGAUCAUUGGCUGACCAUGCAAAAACAUCUUUGUUGUUGAACAAAAACCUUAUCAAGGUUUUCUCCUGUUCUUCGGAUAAUUGAGAGCCCAACAGCACCCUCUGCUCUGCUAUGUCCUCACAUAAGAGCAUGGGCUUCGGCUGAUCUGCUGAAGCUGCUUUCUCCCUUCUGAAUUUGUACUGUUCACAAGCUUCAGCUCCAUCUAUGUUAUGGAUUGCUUUUGAGUCAGUCCAGUUUCCUUCGGCCCUUCUGGCAGCUUCCUGACUUCCAUGAAUAGCGAUGGGUCCUUGAUCCGAAGGUAUCUUCAUGCAAAGGUAAGCAGGAUGAAGAAUUGCUUCGAAAGCAUUGAGGGUGCCACGACCAAUAAUUGCAUUGUAAGGGUAUUCCAUGUCAACAAUGUCAAACACAACUUGCUCAGUUCUAGUGUUGUUGAUGAAUCCGAAGGUCACUGGCAUGGUGAUCUUGCCCAGUGCUACAAUUUGUCUUCCUCCGAAGCCACAGAGAGGGUGUGUAGCAUCAUGAAUCUUAUCUUCUGGCUCUUGCAUUUGUCUGAAGGCCUUAGCAAAUAUGAUAUCAGCUGCACUGCCUGUGUCAACCAAGACAUUGUGGACCAGAAACCCUUUGAUAACACAAGAAAUAAUCAUAGCAUCGUUAUGAGGAAAAUCCUUGAGCUGAAGGUCCUCCUGGGAGAAGGUGAUUGGAAUGUGAGACCACCUUGACUUGAUAAAGGGUCCCUGCACUCCAACAUGUUGUACCCUUCUCUGCGCCUCUUUCUUCUGCUUUUUAUUGGCUGGUUCUGAGCACGAACCACCUGUUAUCGGGAGCACCAGCUUCGGGUCUGAAGCAGCUCCAGCUCGAUCGUUGAACGAAGCCAUCAGCUCAAAAAAGUGGAAGUGAGUUCACCGGAGGUGGGCGCCAAUGUUGGGGACUUGUUCUCAAAUGCUAUGAAUUAAGAACAAGGCAACAUAAAAUGUUAAAUGUUAAUGUCCUUCGUCCACGAAGCAUUAUUCCCUUGAGGAUAAUGAACCUUGGACGAAGGUUGAUAGCAAUACAAUUACGAAGGUUAAGUCUUCGUAAUUGAAUUUUAAUAGAUUGUAUAAGAUAACAUAAAAUAAAGAAUAUCAAAGGUAAAUGAAUUAUAAACGGAACAUAUUGUAUUUACUUAAUAUAUUGAAUUGUUGAAUACAAUUAUACCUCUGCCUUGGCAAAGAUUGGUUCCUGAAUGAUGUGAUUGCCAAAACCGGAAUCCGUGAACAGUAAGGGAAUACUGUUCACUAUUUAUAGGCACAAGACACAGCCUGUGAGAAAUUACAAUUAUGCCCCUCACAAAGGAUUACAACAGCGACCUAGGCACUUAUGGACUAGAGGGUCAUUCUACUUUUAAGUCGGUUUGUAAUACCGAAGCUUCAUGAAGAGGAACUUUCAGUCAUCUCAUAUGAACAGCUUCAGUCGCAAGCUGCUUCUUCCUACAAGACCUUCGGCGACGAAGCAUAGUCCCAACAGAUAGGUUGAAGAGUCAAAUUGUGAUUCCAUCAACCUUCCCAAACUAUGUAUACCCAAAGAGAACAAGAACUCUAAGAAAGGUUCAAGAAUAAGAUCAAGCAUGAUCACCAGGCUUCUACAAAGCAACAGUCACACAUUUUCUCAGUUUCCCCACGACACCUGCCAUCUACUACAAAAGACAGGGCACUACAAUAGAAAGUGCCAGAAUUCCUGCACUAGCUGCUACCGAAUGCAAUUCCGUACAAACCUAAGGUUCCAGCGGGUCGAAUAAUAGUUAUAGUGGUUAACGAAAAGAAAGUAGACACUUAACUUCAGUUUCGUGAUUAGACAAUCAGCACAUCCACUAUCACUUCGGUGACAAAGAUUGUGUGUUAUUUAGCUUGAUAAUAAAGAUGUUGGUCUCGCCAUCCGACGAGACAUGAUUUAUUUAUCUUCGCACAGUGGCAUUGUUAAGGUCUUAGAUACACCAUAAAACAAUCCAUCCAAUAGUGGCAGGAAUAAAAAAAUAGAAGUGAUGGAGAAACCUCGUCGAAAUUAUGGCACUACCGUUUGGGCCAUAUUUCGAGCGAGGGAUAGAACGUCUCGUUAAGGGACAAAUUCUCCAUCCCCUAGACUUCACAAACUUACGAGAGUGUUAAAAUUAUUCAUACAGAUAUAUGUGGUCCUUUUUCAGUUAGUACAGUAGAUGGGUUUAACUAUUUGAUAACCUUCACAAAAGAUUACUCUCGCUAUGGUUAUAUUAAUCCCAAUAAGGAAAGAUCAGAAGCUUUAGACAAGUUUAAACAGCUCAAGGCUGAGGUAGAAAAUCAACAUGAUUUGAACAUAAAGAUUGUCGUAUCAGAUCAUGUGGGGAGUACUGUGGGCACCAUACUGAUUAUGGACAGGUCCCAGGAUCCUUUCGCGAGGUUCCUAAGUGAAAACCAUAUUGUUGCUCAGUAUUCAACACCUGGUGAACCGCAACAGAAUGGGGUUGCCGAAGGGCAUAACAAAAUGCUAAUGGAUAUGGUAAGGAGUACGCUUAGUUACUCUAACCUACCAUUGUGUCUAUGGAUGGAGGCUUUAAAAACCCGCUAUGCAUAUACUCAACAUAGUUCCUAGUAAAUCAGUGGCUAAAACUCCAUAUGAGUUGUGGACUGGCAGAAAGCCCACGCUCAACUAAUUCCACAUAUGAGGUUGUCCAACAGAAGCUACAAUAUUUAAUCCUAGACAGGAAAAGCUAGAUGAGAGAACCAUAAGCUGCCAUUUUAUUGGCUACCCUGAGAGAUCGAAGGGUUACAGAUUCUACUGCCCAGGCAGACAAACCAAGUUUAUAGAAACCAGACAUGCCAUUUUCCUAGAAAAUGAUAUGAUCAAGGGGAGUAAGGUACUCAGAGAGGUUGACCUUCAGGAAAAGAGGAUGUAUGUCCCGAUUCUGAUGGUUGAAGAACCAUACUUCUCGAUACCCACUGUGUUUCCACCAACGGUUGUAACGACUAGAGGUGAAACCCCUGUUGCAAAUGUUGCAUCACCCAAUGCAACUACUACAUAGCAAUUCACUUUACCUUCUGCACAGCCUGGCUCUUCUGAGUCGGUUGCACAGGAGAGUUCACAUGACAGUGGUAGUGUUGCGCCAAGUGACGCACCAUUGCAAGAGCCCCAAAACGAACCAAAACUAGAAACAAGUUUAAAAAGGUCUCAAAAGGUCUAGACGAUUUGUGAUUCCUAAUGAUUAUGGAGUUUACACAAGUGUAGACAAAGAAAGCGAUGGGAUUUAUAUGAGUGGGGACAUCGAUGCAGAAGGUGACCCCACUACAUAUGAAACAGCUAUGAGAAGCGUAAAUUAGUGGAUCUACAAGACCAAGCGUGAUUCCAAAGGGAAUAUCUAAAGAUACAAGGCUGGACUUGUGUCCAAAGGGUUCACACAGAGAGAAGGUAUUGACUACCAUAAAACCUUCUCACCUGUCUCAACAAAAGAUACAUUUCGGAUCAUUAUGGCAUUAGUGGCUCAUUUUGAUCUAGAGCCAUAAUAUGGAAGUAAUGACAUCAUCACUAAAUGGAGAGUUAAUAGAAAACGUGUUCAUGGCACAACCAAAGGGUUUUUGUUGUGAGUAGUAAAAGAAAAAACAUGGGUUUAAGGGAGUGCCUAUGAUCUUGAAUCACAGGGGCUACAUAUUGCAAUGCAACCAAAUAAAGUAUCUUUUCGUUCUAAAGCAGGCGAGCAUGGUGUAGUCAAUGAGUACGGUGAUACUUGAUCGGUCAUUGUCACGUAUUGGUCUCUAUGUGUAAACUUGUCGAGGGAUGAAAUCUAGAAAAGUUGAGUAUAAGGAAUGUAGAGAACAAAGGGGAGAUUGUUGGGUGUGCCCUCUACAGCUAGUCAUUGGUGAUCGGAUUGGGCUAAACCCAACUAUCCAUCUCCUUAAACGGGUCCUUGAUUGGGAGAACUCACGCUGACCUCGGUUGGAGCCCCCAGUCACACGACGCUAUAUAUAGGACUAAAGGGUCGCAGGAAAGACUAACGCUAGUACCUCGACCCAAAACCCUAAUCCCCACAGAGGCCCCCAUCGCCUAAGCGUCGGAGUGUCUAGAAGCGCGACAACCCACAGUGGCUCGGAUCCCGAUGCCUGCUGCUCCUCUGCAGACGACGACAACAACGACAACUCUCCAACAACAACAACAACGAAUGUGUGUUUUCCUAUUCCUCUUAGUAGAACAGAUCUACUUAUCAUCGAGGUUUUCCUUCCAGUUACGGAUUGGUAUUCUAGGGACGUAGGAAUAGAUCUUAGGUACCAUAGGAUCUAACACUAUGAAGAUUUUAUGACCACUUUGUAAUUUUAAGUUUUGCAUUUUUGCUUCCUGAUCAGAUGUCAUUCUCUGUACUUUCUGUGUAGGACACGGGGAAGUCCUGGAGACGCUAUCAGUGAGCUCCUUCUGCCACGUUUUGUGGACAUGGUAAUUUGGGGCCAUGAGCCUGAAUGUCUGAUUGAUCCACAGGUAACAAGACAUAUUAGUAUUUAAAAAGAGGGGAAGAGGUGCAAUUUAGCAUAUGUAUUUUUAGUCAAGUGUUCUGUCUUUCUGCUUUUGUAUUUAAUUUUAACUUUGUUUUCCUUCUAUCAACUACUCACAGGAGGUUCCUGGAUUGGGUUUCCAUAUCACCCAACCAGGUUCCUCAAUUGCUACCUCACUGAUCAAUACUGAAGCAAAUCCAAAACACGCGCUCUUUCUGGAAAUCAAGGUUAGUACUGGUGCAACGUGCUACGCUAACAUUCAAAUAUCUUCUUUUUUAAUUUAUUUAGUUUAUCAUGUUGCCCUUGAAUAGGGGAGAGAGUACAGGACAACCAAAAUACCACUGCAGUCUGUUAGACCUUUUGAGUAUGCAGAGGUAAUCCAGCUCUUACUUGUGUUUGCUCAAGUGAACUACAUCAAGAGAAUGUCAUGCAGGUUGUACUGGAGGACCAGGUUGAUGUUGAUCCUGGUGAUGAAGCAUCCAUUCAUGAGCAUUUGCACAAAGUUGUAAGUCCCCAACUAAUAACUUGUAUUUUUGUAAAAAAAAUCGUCUGUUUCCAAGGAUAUGUUCCCAUGACUGGUUAAAUUAAUUCCAGAACAGAACAAUCAGAUCUUUGAACAAUGAAGCUUCAGUUGUUGGAUAUUUGUUGUACUAAAUACUGACGGCAGAGUGGCUUUAUGUGAGCAACCUUAUUGAGAAGAGUAGGGAAGAAGCAUCCAGUAGUGGAUCAAAGCCCAAGCUUCCACUGGUUAGAAUAAAGGUAAAUCAGGAGCUCUUUAUGGCAGUUUUGUCCCACAAUGUUGUAAACAUAAAAGAGAUUGAAUUGUUCUUCAGGUGCAUCACACCGGACUUUCAACGAUAAAUUCAAAGCAAUUUGGUCAGCACUACGUGGGCAAGGUACCUCAUAAACUAAUUAAAAUGGAAUAAUUUAAAUGUGAUGUAAUCCUUUUAGUUACUACUGUUGCAUAGUGUUUCUGGUUACUAUCAAUGCUCUUGUAGGUUGUAAACCCACAAGACAUACUUCUUCUUACAAGAUCAAGGCAAAGGCAUCAAACUAUGCAAGGUAUGCCUAUUAUUGUUUCCUAUCACUACAGUAAACGAGGAAAUUUCCGAUGGCUAAAACCGUCGGACUUAAGGACUAAACCGUCGGAGAUAAGCUAUGUCCGACGGCAUUAACUUAUCUCCGACGGUUUUAAGCCGUCGUGGAUAAUGCGUCGGAAUAGCGUUAUGUCCGACGGCUGCCGUCGGACAUACGCUAUGUCCGACGGCCCUAUCCAACCGUCGGAGAUAAGGCGGCGUAACCGUUUUAACCGCUGCCUGGGCCCACAACUAUUAUGUCCGACGGUUUAAAGCCGUCGGACAUAACAUAUAGCAUAUGUCCGACGGCUUUAAGCCGUCGGACAUAACAUAAACCUUAUGUCCGACGGCCUACACUAGGCCGUCGGACAUAACGUUUUUCAGAAAUUGCACAAAAAUCUGAAAUUUAAAAAAUCUGACAUUUGCAAAUACAAAACAGAAUUCAUACACAUAUACACAUUCACAUUAACAAAUAUACUCACAUAAGUAUACACAUUCACAAAUAUAAUCACAUAAGCAUUCACAUUCACAAAAUUUAACAUAACAACAUAGUUCCAAAUGGUUGCAAUAAGUGUUUACAUAAACAUAGUUGUCCAAACUCCAAAAUGAACAUUAUUCGACGGGUAGGCUUUCACAUGAAAGGUUUCAACAAGUGUUUUACAUCAGUAUCACUCAUAUCCAUCGCCACCUCCUCCGGCUGGACUAUGCGUGCUGAAAAGAUUGUUCACCCACGAAUGUGUUGUGUCGUCCUGACCAGACCCAUCUCCAGGUGCGGCAACUGAAGCGGGUGGUGUCUGAAAUCCCUAUAACAUAAGCACAUGAAAUAGUAACCACUCAGUUGUUCAUUUAAACACAUAAGACAUCUAUGAACAUGUCACACACGCAUAUGUGUACAUACCAUAGGGAAUUGUGACGGAGGCGGAGGCGGUGGUGGAGGCGCCAACAUUGGCAUUGGCAGUGCAAAGUCCGGAGGCGGCAUCCCAUAUGUCGGCAUCGGGACGCCCGCUUGUUGGGCUAGUUGCUACAAAUUAUAUACAAGUCAUUGUUGAGCAAACAAGAUACACAUCAAGUGUUUUGCAAAAUAAGCUACAAAAUGUUAGUUCAACUUACCGAGAGAAGAGCUUGAUUUUGGGCCUGGAGGCUUACAUAAUACUCGUCCCUCUUCUUCUGGUACUCGGCUUGUUGUCUCUGGUAUUCAGAUUGUUGCCUCUGGUACUCCAAUUGAUCCCUCAAGACUGAUUGAUGGUACUCUGCCUGUUGACGCAACACCGCAAGCUCUAUCUCAUGGGCUGCUGAUCGUGAACGGGACGACUGUGAAGACGACGAUGUGGAUUGUCGUCCACGGCGUCUCAGCUCUCUGGAAUCAAUCGUAGAAUCAAAAAUACCCAACCUACAAGAGUGAACCAUGCACUUAGUAUAGUAACUCAUGCCUCAGUUGAAUCGCAAGCAUAUGAUGACAAUUUUGAAAACCAAAUCAAAUAAUCUCACCGUCCAUGGGCUUGUCCUCCUGCACUAGCAUAUGCUGCCUGAGGGUCGAUUGGCUGGCUCCUCCAAUCGUACUCCUCCCCAUGGCGUUGAACCAUCUCCUGCCCAUACGAAGCCUGGAGGCAAACAAUAUCAAAUAUAAGUGCAUAACCCCUAUGCCAUUGCAAACAAUAUCAAACACAUAAUAGAGUAUAAAAAACUCACUAGAAUGUCGGUGGCCGUCUGAGUGCAUAACACAUCAGGAUUCUGAGGAUCAGAACCCCUAUGGCCUUGCAUAUACACCUCCACAUCCGUGGGCGUACGGCCGGAUUUGACUUCCUGUACAUAAAAGUUAUAUUGACACAUUUCUAUGUAAUUCAAAGUUACGACAAACUGAGACUUACCAUUCGCUUAGCCAAGCGCACAUGACCAUCACCGCCGUAGUUGUGGAACGACUCAGUUCCACGGUUUCCCCUGUUCCUUUCGGAAAUGGCACGAAAAUCAGGGGAACCCCACCAUCUGCACAAUGCCCGAUAACCGUCUGAUCGGGUGGCCAUCCACGGCACCGACACCUACAUGAAAUUUUUAAAAUAAAGCAAGCAAAUACAUGGCUUCGUGCGAUAUGAGAGGCAACAACCUGUUUACCUCUAGGUAUUGCUCCUCCGUCAAGUAAAUUGAUGACCACUCGGCCUUUGUAUUUGGCAUCGGUCGAUCAUCAGCAUUUGCUCUGUACCAUGCCUUUAUAGCCUAAAUUCGUGCAUAGUACAUUGCAUCUGCAACGACAUCGUUCGCGUUAUACUCAAACACGUAACGAGCGUUCAUAUCAUAUGAUCCAUCGUCCGGCAACUUGUACCGUUUCUGCAAAAACCAUAGUGUUAUCAUAAAAGCAAACAUAUAUGGAAUAACUAAAAUAGUAUAAACAAGUCAUACCCAGAAUGCAUCCCAAACUAGUGCUUGUGUGUUGCCAAACGUUCUACAGACACCAUAGCGAUAAUGCUCCCAAGUGGUGGCGGGGACAGACUCGCCAGUAGGCAAAGUCACAAGACCAGGCCAGUGCAGACGAACAAGAUUACCAAGAACCAUGUUCACCUGCCUGUAGUGUCCUGUGCCUGUGAACGAGUCGUCGAUCCAAGUCCUGCAAACAGAAAUCAAUGUAGAAAUUAAAACAUAACUUUCAAUAACAUUUAAGCAAAGAUAUGUCACUCACUUUCCACUAGGCUUUAUCACAACCCGAGAUUCCGGUGGAAGCUCUGGAGGUGGUCCAACAAAAUGCAGCUUCCUCGUUCUCUUAACUCGAGAAGUUCCAGACCCAGCUGCAGAAUCUCCACCAGCCCCAGAAUCCCCAGCCCCAGAAUCUCCACCAGCGUCGUCUCCAGCAUCAUCUCCCACAUUAUCUCCACCAUCAUCUUCAUCAUCAUCUCUUGCAUGAUCCUCUACCACUGGUUCCUCAAUUUCAGCAUCCUAUGAAACAAAUAACUUACAUCAUACAAUAUUAAGUAACUCAAAUAAUGUAAUUUAACAACUAACUUACAUCUUGUGGAGGCAAAUGUUCUGCCAGCGCUCUCCGUCUGCUCAUGGUAGAACCUGUGCCCUGAAAAACUGAAUCCUCACCCCUCGAGCUGCUCCUCGAGCUACUCCUCGACCCAAGCAAACUACGAGCUAAAGACUUCAUUUUCUUUGACAUCCUAUUUUAACAAAAACAAGUUAGUACAUAAAUCGACAAUAAAAUAAUAAAAUAUGCAAUAAAAUCAUGAUCCAUACUCGUCAAUCGUAAUCGUAAUCAAAAUCAGGAUCUAGUUGCUUUCGUCGAUUUAAUGGACGCCAAGUAGCUUUCUUCUUUCUCGUCACUCGUUUUCUUUUUGGAGGAACCUCUACAUCAUUUUGAUCGCCUAAUAAAGAUUCUUCCAACAUUUCAGUUUGUACAUUAAACGUGCUUGUAAGUUCUUCGUCUUGGAAAAUCUCAGCAGCCCCCACUUCCUGCUCGAUUUGACUUUCAACAUAACCAGCAUCACCAGGAGCAUAUAGUCGUUCACGAGGAUUAACUUUGUACACUACCCUCCAAUCAACCAAACCGUUUUUCUUAGAUGGAUAUGUCAUAUAAUACACCUGCUCGCAUUGGUGGGCAAGGAUUAUAGUGUCGUGGCCUUUUAAUCUAUCGUUGUGUUUGACUUCCACCAUGCCAUAUUGAUUUUCUCGCGUUGUAUUUGGAGAAAACCAAUCACAAUCGAAGAACACCACUUUGAGUUGUUUAUCUCCAAAAAACUUGUACUCGAUUAUAUCAUUAAUGACUCCAUAAUAAUUAGUCACCUUCCCUUCAUCGUCGACAGCUCUAGUUACAACUCCGGAGUUUGUCGUGGCUGCUAGAGGAUGAUCAUCUUCGAACCUUGUGGAACGGAAUCUAAAACCAUUGACAUCAUACCGACCAUAACGUCUGCCAGUUACUGCUCCUAGGGAUAAUUGUCGAAGGUCCGGGUGUAUAUUGUCAUUUUUAUCUACAUAAUCUCGAAACCAACACAAGAAAUUAAGUCCCCCAUCUUUUCCCUCUCGACGAAUCUGGUCACGUUCACAGCCAGAGAUGCAAUUUUGAGAAUCAAAUUCCCUGUUAGUACAAGGAAACAAACCUUUUAGUAUCACAACAAAAAUUCUAGCGGCAAUGACUAAAAUAAAGUUUACACUUACAGGAGAAACUGACUCAUCUCUUCCAUGUUGUUAUACAUGUAGAGUAAAGCAGUCUUCCAUUCGUCGUUGGUGAAACAGUAUGUUGUGCUGGGUCCUACAGUUUUGCCCCUCCAUUGAAAAAUUUCAAUAUCACUAAUAGGGGGCUCGUCGACAUGAUACCGCAACGUAUGGGCAUUGACAUUGUGUUCCUCUGCAAAGUACAGGCCCGUGAACGAUGCUAUCUCUUUGUAUUUGAAUUCUUCAGCGAUGCACCCUUCAACUCGUCUCUUAUUACCAACCAUUGCACGUAGCUUCUUUAGUGUCCUUUCGAUGUGAUACAUCCAUCUAUAUUGCACAGGACCUCCUACCUUAGCUUCGUAUGGUAGGUGAACAAGUAGAUGUUGCAUCGGAUUGAAGAAACCUGGUGGAAAUAUUUUUUCAAGUUUGCAUACCAAAAUCGGUAUUUCUUGCUCAAGCUUCUCCAUCAUCUCUUUCUUUAUUUCUUUGGCACAAAGAUGUCUAUAAAAGUAGCUUAGCUCCGCUAAUGCUUUCCAUACAUCAUUUUUUACAAAACCACGAAACAUAACAGGAAGGAGUCUUUCCAUUAUUAUGUGGUAGUCAUGACUCUUCAACCCAGAAAACUUGCCCGUCUUCAAAUUCACAGACCUUCUAAAGCCCGCGGCGUAACCAUCUGGGAACUUUAAGUUUUUCAACCAUUUCAUCAAUUGUUUCUUCCUUUUAGGUUUAAUACUGAAAGGAGCACGUGGCUUCUUCUGAUUCUCUCCUAUCUCCAUAGUUGGUCUUCUACAGAUUAAGGCCAAGUCUUUCCUUGCCUUAGGGUUGUCUUUUGUUUUGUUGGUGAUAUUCAUGCAAGUGCUGAUAAUGCUUUCACCCAUAUUUCGUUCCUGGUGCAUGACAUCAAUGUUAUGCAUUAGAAUCAAGGCUUUCAUAUAAGGGAGUUCCCAUAGACCACAUUUGUGAGUCCAAUUAUGCUCGGUUCCAUAACCUUCAAAACGAUUUCCAUGUUCGUUUAGUUUCAAAUCAUUAAGUCUCGCGAGAAUCUCUGGACCACUUAGACGCUUGGGUGGUCCCCUCGUCACAAUCGUGUCCUUUUUAAAAGCGUUCCUAUCGAACCUGAACGGGUGAUCCUCUGGCAAAAAACAUCUAUGACAAUCGAAGUAACAUAUCUUUCCACCAAACUUUAGUCGAAAGCAUAAAGUGUCUUCAACGCAUAUAGGACAUGUCAAAAUCCCAUGACAACUCCAUCCAGCAAAGAUACCAUAAGCCAUAAAAUCAUGAAUAGACCAUAAAAACGCGGCUCUCAAGUUGAACUUCUGUUUCUUGUAACAAUCGUACGCCUCGACUCCUUCCCACAAAAUUUUCAAUUCUUCAAUCAGGGGUCUCAUCAUCACAUCGAUCUUUGUUCCAGGAUGAUCCGGACCAGGUAUUAUAAGACACAAGAAAAUAAAUUCAUAUUUCAUGCAAAGAGCUGGUGGAAGGUUGUAUGGAACAGCAAAGACGGGCCAACAUGAGUACGACGUUGCAGUUACAUUGAAUGGCGAGAAACCAUCUGUUGCCAAACCGAAGCGGACAUUCCGCACUUCAUCAGCAAAGCUGGAAUCAAAAGCAUCUAGUGCCUUCCAUGCAUCUGUAUCAGCUGGGUGCACCAUGACAUUUGGAUUCUCACGUACCCCUUCUUUGUGCCACCUCAUGUGUCUGGCUGUAUUCUUGGAGAUGAACAAACGUUUCAACCGAGGUAUGAGAGGCAUGUAACGAAGCUGCUUACGUGCAAUCUUCGUAGUCACGGUCAAACCAUCGUCGUUUUCAACCUCAACGAAUCUACGCUCACCACAUACAGUACACUUCUUCUCACCUGCGGUCUCCUUCCAGAAAAGCAUACAAUUAUUUUCACAGACAUCGAUUUUUUCGUAGUCCAUACCGAGGCCAGAUAACAGUUUUUUAGACUGAUACAUGUCCUUUGGCAUCUUGUGAUUCUCCGGAAGUACAUCACUGAUCAAGUUCAAAAGUUCCUUGUAACAGUUGUUUGAGAAUGCAAACUUAGACUUAAUAGCCAUAAGUCGAGUCACAAAUACAAGGACGGUCACUUUUGUGUGCUCAUGCAACGGCUCUUCGGCAGCUUUAAGGAGCUCGAAGAACUUCUGAACCUCAGGUGUAGCUGGAUCCUCAAACUCAGUGGGUUGACCGGGGUUCUCCGAAUCGACGGUUAGAAACUCAUGGCGUACAUCGUCAAGCAUCUCUUCCAUCCUAUCGUAGUCCUCCUCUUCAUGUGACUGAACUUCCGAUACAAUACGAGGAGGUGGGUCCUCACCGUGGUGCACCCACACCUCAUAGCCUGGCAUAUAACCAUUCUUGCAAAUAUGUAUCGACAUAGUCCUCCUGUCAAGGAAAUUAAUGUUCCGACACUUGCUACAAGGGCACCUAACAUCGGUUCCAGUCUCUGACCGAGCAAAAGCAUGGUCGAGAAAAGCAUCAGUCUUGGCCACCCACUCACUUGAUAGAGCACCUCUUUUCUUCCAACCUUCAUACAUCCAUCGACGAUUCUCCUCCAUACUAGAUACGAGACGUUAACUUAAUUAGAUAAGUAAUGCACGGACCAUCCGUUUUUACGAAGAAAUCACGCCCCUACAUCUGUAGGAAAGGAUAGGUCCUAAACCCACCCAGGAGUGACCGACGAGGCCGUGUUUAUGACAAAACAUGUGGUCGUGCGAAAUUUCGGCAGCAUAACCCCGCUGUUCUCCAAUCGCACGCCUAAAAAUGGUGCAAUUGGAGAACAGAGAGGUUAUGCUGCCGUAACUAAGCAGGAGCACAUGCUUUUGUCAUAAACACGGACUCUGUCGGUCACACCAAGGCUGUCCAAUAAAGGGACAAUUCCGGCCCAACAUACCUCACAUGCGUCGCUUGUAAGGUGUGUUGGGCCGAAACGGGUGACGCCUAGGUUUCGUUUGUUCACACUACGAUACACUAUGAUUAACUAUAAUCAUCGUGCAUUAUUAAAUAAUUAAACUAAUAAACCACAAUACAAUAUUACAUACGAAAUAACAUUGUUAUAAAUGACAAAUCAUAUAAAAUGACCUUAUUUUCGAGGGCAUAAUAAUUACCCUCGGAAAUUAAAAAUUUAAAUUAUCUAAAGUACCACUAAAUAAACUAAAACAAGCUACUUUAAUUACGUAAUCAAAUUUUGGCCGUCGGACAUAACAAACUAAACAAUCAAAUGCAUUCAUACAUACAUUUCUAAUCAAAUACAUUAAUACAAACAUACAAUUCUAAUCAAAUACAUUAAUACAAGCAUACAAUUUUAAUAAACAAAAUUGCUAAUUAAGUAUACUCACUUAGCGGGUGUGGAGAGCCGGCCGGCGAUGGGCGCACGGGCGGGCGGCGGGCGCACGGGGCCGUUGGCCGGAGCACGGGGCGGCGGCGACCGGCGAACGGGGCGGCGGCGGCGGCCGGAGCACGGGGCGGAGCUCGGGGCGGUGGCGGCCGGAGCACGAGCGUGGCGGCGGCACGAGCGUGGCGGUGGUGGCCGGAGCACGGGCGUGGCGGUGGCCGGAGCACGAGCUCGGGGCGGUGGCGGCCGGACCAAGGGGCAGCGGCGGCCGGAGCACGAGCAGUGGGGGCGGGCGGUACGGCGACCGGGCGGGACGGCGACGAGCGUGGCGGCGACGAGCGUGGCGGCGACAGCGCGGCGUGCUCCUCGGACGGCGGCGGCGGCAGAGAUAGAGAGACGCGCGGUCGGGUGAAACUGAAGGCGCGCGGGUCGGAUCCGCGCGUUAAAAAGCCUUAUGUCCGACGGCUCGGUACGAGGCCGUCGGACAUAAGCUUAUGUCCGACGGCCAGGGGGCGGGCCGUCGGACAUAAGGUAAUGUCCGACGGCCAGUCUGACAGCCGUCGGCUGUAUUCUGUUAUUUUCGACGGCCGCUGUUGGCCGUCGGACAUAACCUUAUGUCCGACGGUUGCCUAUGGGGCCGUCGGACAUAAUACGACCGUCGGAAUUUUAUAGUUUUACUGUAGUGUAUGAAAACAAUACAUGAGAGAGUAAUGCUAGGGUACGCUCAUAUGGGACCAGGGUGGUACUUGUGUUGAGUUUCUGUUUUAGAAUACUUUUUUAGUUUGCCAAUCAAUUUAUUGUUAACGUGGCCAUAUUACUAUCUUAUUGUGAGCAUAUCAACAAUAAACAUUAUAGAUUGGUUAAUGAAAAGUAUAAUACUGGCUAUAUCGCAAGUUUAAAAUUUGAAUACAUUUAACAAAUUCAAGCUGAGUGUAUUUUCUGGCUGUCUCUUUUAUUGUAUUGCCUUAUGUGGUCGGCACUUCUGCUUAAUACGGCGCUGUGAUCAGGAGGAGGAUGCCGAAGUAGAGGAUUGAGCGAAUUUUCUUUUGGGAGUAGUAGCCUCAGGUUGCCGCCGGGGCUGUGAAUUGUGAUCAGGAGGAUUCCGAUGUAGACCAUUCACGGUUCCAGUGUGGAUUCCGCAUCGAAUUUAAUGUAUUUCUGAUCCAGGAUCCUGGUCGACUAGUUGUUGUACCUAUGUUUGGAUUUAGGGGUUAUUUGGUUUGUUGUCUAAUUUAUCAUAGUUUAUCAUGUCUAAGGUUAGACAAGUUUGAGGCAUAUGUUGGUUUGAAGCUACAGUUAUAGAAAUACUCGUCAAUAACUAGUAAAAGUGUAACAGGAUUCUUUUAAACGUGCCAAACUAUAGCGCUGAAUUUGAGCGUCUUAAACAAACUUAACACAAAAAAUUAUGGCAAUUUAAUGCACGGGCGCGACCGCGACGGCAUCGCGCGCCGCGGCGCCGGCCGUUCCCAAGCUCCCCGCCUGUUGUGCCCCAUUGGCCCUUGCUCUCGUGUUUAGCGUGGUAUAGAAGCAUAUCCUUUCAAGUUUCAACGAGGUCCUGGCCACGAGGGGCACUGUACUCGCCAGGGUCAGUAAGCCGUCGACAUCGAGCAAGAUAUCGUGUGAUGGUUUUUGGCGUGUGCUACUUGUUCGACCUAUUGUUGCAACGGAGACCGCCGCUAACUACCAUCUCCAAGAGACUCCUACAAUUGAGUCCUAUAAAUCAAAAUAGGACAUGUUUUAAAUUAUUUAAGACCCACCAAUUCGUUUUACUCCAACCGUGAGUCCUAUAAUCACAUUAUUUAGUUAAUUAUCCGCUUCACCGCAGCAAUGUCAUCGUCGCUCUGUCAUCGUCCAUGUUCGCCAGAGACAAUCUUUCACAUGAUCUCGUUGUCCUGCAGAUGGAGUAGUAGGCCUUCACGUGAUCAUGUUGUCCGGUAGAUAGGGUAGCGGGCCAGCGGUUGUUGGUUACUCUUGAAAGGGAAAUGUGCCCUUGGGCCAUUUCUAAGUAUUUUGGUGAUUGAGUGCCAACACAAGUGCUUUUGUGUUGAUCUAUACAAUGUGGUGGACUAAGUGCAAAUCAUGUCAAAAGGUAUGUUUCUAGACUUAGUACAUUAUUUUAUGGACUAAUGUAUUGUGUCUAAGUGCUGGAAACAGGAAAAAUCGAAUUGGAAAUGAGAUGGCUUUGUUCAGCCAAGUCUGCUCAGUCUGGGAGCACCGGACUGUCCGGUGGUGCACCGGACAGUGUCCGGUGCGCCAGGCUGGCUCGAGCGAACUGGCCGCUCUCGGGAAUUCACCGGCGACGUACGGCUAUAAUUCACCGGACUGUCCGGUGUGCACCGGACUGUCCGGUGAGCCAACGGUCGGCCGCGCGAUCUGCGCGGGACACGUGGCCGAGCCAACGGCUAGAAGGAGGCACCGGACUGUCCGGUGUGCACCGGACAUGUCCGGUGCGCCAACGGCUCUCUGGCUGCCAACGGUCGGCUGCGCCAUUUAAGGAAAGAAAUCGGGCACCGGACAGUGUCCGGUGUGCACCGGACUGUCCGGUGCGCCACGCGACAGAAGGCAAGGAUUGCCUUCCCAGAUUGCUCUCAACGGCUCCUAGCUGCCUUGGGGCUAUAAAAGGGACCUCUAGGCGCAUGGAGAAGAACACCAAGCAUCCUUUGAGCAUUCUUGAUCACUCACACUCCACUCUUGCGCACUUGUUCGACAUUCUAGUGAUUUGAGCCCCGUUCUAGUGUGCUAGUCUUGUAAGCUCAAGUCUGGGUCUUGUGUGUGCGUAUUUGCUAUGAUCUUUGUGUCUUGUGUGAGUUGCUCAUCCCUCCCUUACUCUGUGCUUCUUUGUGAACAUCAAAAGUGUAAGGGCGAGAGGCUCCAAGUUGUGGAGAUUCCUCGCGAACGGGAUAAGUGAAAGGGAAUUAGGCUUACACCUAAGUCCUAAAUAAUUUUGGUGGUUAAAUUGCCCAACACAAAUCUUUGGACUAACUAGUUUGCUCUAGUGUAUAAGUUAUACAGGUGCAAAAGGUUCACAUCUAGCCAAUAAAAAGACCAAGUGUUGGAUUCAACAAAGGAGCAAUAAGGCAACCGAGGGCACCUCUGGCUGGAGGCACCGGACUGUCCGGUGUGCACCGGACAGUGUCCGGUGCGCCCGUAGACUUCGUUUUCUACCCUUCGCCAGAGGACUUCGACUUCAACCCUUCGCCCUCGGGAAUUCGCGGAGGCCGGCGCGCUAUAAUUCACCGGACUGUCCGGUGUGCACCGGACAUGUCCGGUGCGCCAACGAACCGCGGCCUCCGGAACUCGUCAUCCUCGGGUUUUCACGACAGCCGCUCCGCUAUAAUUCACCGGACUGUCCGGUGUGCACCGGACUGUCCGGUGUGCCAGCGGAGCAACGGCUCACUGCGGCGCCAACGGCUCCCUGCGCAGCAUUAAAUGCGCGCGCAGCGCGCGCAGACGUCAGGGCUGCCCAUACCGGUGCACCGGACAUCAAACAGUGCAUGUCCGGUGUGCACCGGACACCUCGGCAGGCCCACAAGUCAGAAGCUUCAACGGUCAGAAUCCAACGGCAAUGGUGACGUGGCAGAGGCACCGGACUGUCCGGUGUGCACCGGACUGUCCGGUGCGCCAUCGAAUAGAGGCUGCCAGCAACGGUCACUUUUGGUGGUUGGGGCUAUAAAUACCCCAACCACCCCACCAUUCAUUGCAUCCAAGUUUUCCACUUCUCAACUACUACAAGAGCUCUAGCAUUCAAUUCUAGACACACUAAAGAGAUCAAAUCCUCUCCAAUUCCACACAAAGCCCUAGUGACUAGUGAGAGUGAUUUGCCGUGUUCAUUUGAGCUCUUGCGCUUGGAUUGCUUCUUUUCUUUCUCACUUGUUCUUGUGAUCAAAACUCCAUUGUAAUCAAGGCAAGAGGCACCAAUUGUGUGGUGGCCCUUGCGGGGAAGUUUUGUUCCCGGCUUUGAUUAGCGAAGAGAAGCUCACUCGGUCCGUGGGACCGUUUGAGAGAGGGAAGGGUUGAAAGAGACCCGGCCUUUGUGGCCUCCUCAACGGGGAGUAGGUUUGCAAGAACCGAACCUCGGUAAAACAAAUCUCCGUGUCUCAUUUGCUUAUUCGCUUGGGAUUUGUUUUGCGCCCUCUCUUGCGGACUCAUUUAUUAUUACUAACGCUAACCCCGGCUUGUAGUUGUGUUUAUAUUUGUAAAUUUCAGUUUCGCCCUAUUCACCCCCCUCUAGGCGACUAUCAAUUGGUAUCAGAGCCCGGUGCUUCAUUAGAGCCUAACCGCUCGAAGUGAUGUCGGGAGAUCACGCCAAGAAGGAGAUGGAGACCGGCGAAAAGCCCACUACAAGCUACGGGAGCACUUCAUCGGAAGAGUCCCGCACCAAAAGGAGGGAGAAGAAGAAGAGCUCCUCCAACAAAGGGAAGGAGAAGAAAUCUUCUUCUCACCACAAAGAGAAGAAGGAAAAAUCUUCUUCCCACAAGCCGCAUCGGAAAGGCGACAAGCACAAGAGGAUGAGGAAGGUGGUCUACUACGAGACCGACACUUCAUCAACAUCGACCUCCGACUCCGAUGCGCCCUCCGUCACUUCUAAGCGCCAAGAGCGCAAGAAGUAUAGUAAGAUCCCUCUACGCUACCCUCGCAUUUCCAAACAUACACCUUUACUUUCCGUCCCACUAGGCAAACCACCAACUUUUGAUGGUGAAGAUUACGCUAGGUGGAGCGAUUUAAUGCGAUUUCAUCUAAUCUCGCUCCACAAAAGCAUAUGGGAUGUUGUUGAGUUUGGUGCGCAGGUACCAUCCGUAGGGGAUGAAAACUAUGAUGAGGAUGAGGCGGCCCAAAUCGAGCACUUCAACUCUCAAGCCACAACCAUACUCCUUGCCUCUCUAAGCAAGGAAGAAUACAACAAAGUGCAAGGGUUGAAAAAUGCAAAGGAGAUUUGGGAUGUGCUCAAAACUGCGCACGAGGGAGAUGAGCUCACCAAGAUCACCAAGCGGGAAACGAUCGAGGGGGAGCUCGGUCGGUUCCGGCUUCACAAAGGGGAGGAGCCACAACACAUGUACAACCGGCUCAAGACUUUGGUGAACCAAGUGCGCAACCUCGGGAGCAAGAAGUGGGACGAUCACGAAGUGGUAAAUGUUAUUUUAAGAUAUCUCAUUUUUCUUAAUCCCACUCAAGUUCAAUUGAUUCGUGGUAAUCCUAGAUAUACUAAAAUGACCCCCGAGGAAGUUAUCGGGCAUUUUGUAAGUUUUGAGUGCAUGAUAGAAGGCUCGAGGAAAAUCAACGAGCUUGGCGACUCAUCCGAAGCCCAACCCGUUGCAUUCAAUGCAACGGAGGAGAAGAAGGAGGAGGCUACACCAAGUCGACAACCAAUCGACGCCUCCAAGCUCGACAAUGAGGAAAUGGCGCUCGUCAUCAAGAGCUUCCGCCAAAUCCUCAAACAAAGGAGGGGGAAAGACUACAAGUCCCGCUCCAAGAAGGUUUGCUACAAGUGUGGUAAGCCCGGUCAUUUUAUUGCUAAAUGUCCUAUAUCUAGUGACAGUGACCGAGGCGACGACAAGAAGGGGAGAAGAAAGGAAAAGAAAAGAUACUACAAGAAGAAGGGCGGCGAUGCCCAUGUUUGUCGGGAAUGGGAUUCCGACGAAAGCUCAAGCGACUCCUCCGACGACGAGGACGCCGCCAACAUCGCCGUCACCAAGGGACUCCUCUUCCCCAACGUCGGCCACAAGUGCCUCAUGGCAAAGGACGGCAAAAAGAAGAAGGUUAAAUCCAACUCCUCCACUAAAUAUGAAUCUUCUAGUGAUGAUAAUGCUAGUGAUGAGGAGGAUAAUUUGCGUUCCCUUUUUGCCAACCUCAACAUAGCUCAAAAAGAAAAAUUAAAUGAAUUAGUUAGUGCUAUUCAUGAAAAGGAUGACCUUUUGGACUCCCAAGAGGAUUGUCUAAUUAAAGAAAACAAGAAACAUGUUAAGGUUAAAAAGGCUUAUGCUCUAGAGGUAGAAAAAUGUGAAAAAUUAUCUAGUGAGCUAAGCACUUGCCGUGAGAUGAUUGACAACCUUAGAAAUGAAAAUACUAGUUUAAAUGCUAAGGUUGAUUCUCAUGUUUGUAAUGUUUCAAUUCCCAAUCCUAGAGAUAAUAAUGAUGAUUUGCUUGCUAGGAUUGAAGAAUUAAACAUUUCCCUUGCUAGCCUUAGAUUAGAGAAUGAAAGUUUGAUUGCUAAGGCUAAAGAUUUUGAUGUUUGCAAAGUUACCAUUGCCAAUCUUAGAGAUAAAAAUGAUAUUCUUCAUGCUAAGAUUGUUGAACUUAAUUCUUGCAAACCAUCUACAUCUAUUGUUGAGCAUGUAUCUAUUUGUACUAGAUGUAGAAAUGUUGAUAUUGAUGCUAUUCAUGAUCAUAUGGCUUUAAUUAAACAACAAAAUGAUCAUAUAGCAAAACUAGAUGCUAAAAUUGCCGAGCAUAACUUAGAAAAUGAAAAAUUUAAAUUUGCUAGAAGUAUGCUCUAUAAUGGGAGACGCCCUGGCAUCAAGGAUGGCAUUGGCUUCCAAAGGGGAGACAAUGUCAAACUUAAUGCCCCUCCUAAAAAUUUGUCUAACUUUGUUAAGGGCAAAGCUCCCAUGCCUCAGGAUAACGAGGGUUACAUUUUGUACCCUGCCGGUUAUCCUGAGAGCAAAAUUAGGAGAAUUCACUCUAGGAAGUCUCACUCUGGCCCCAAUCAUGCUUUCAUGUAUAAGGGUGAGACAUCUAGUUCUAGGCAACCAACCCGUACCAAGUUGCCUAAGAAGAAAAUUCCUAAUGCAUCAAAUGAACAUAGCAUUUCAUUUAAGACUUUUGAUGCAUCAUAUGUUUUGACUAACAAAUCCGGCAAGGUCGUUGCCAAGUUUGUUGGGGGCAAACACAAGGGCUCCAAGGCUUGUGUUUGGGUACCCAAAGUUCUUGUAUCUAAUGCCAAAGGACCCAAAACAGUUUGGGUACCUAAAGUCAAGAACUAAAUUUGGUUUGUAGGUUUAUGCAUCCGGGGGCUCAAGUUGGAUACUCGACAGCGGGUGCACAAACCACAUGACCGGGGAGAAAAGGAUGUUCUCCUCAUAUGAGAAAAACAAAGAUCCCCAACGAGCUAUCACAUUCGGGGAUGGAAAUCAAGGGUUGGUCAAAGGUUUGGGUAAAAUUGCUAUUUCACCUGACCAUUCCAUUUCCAAUGUUUUUCUUGUUGAUUCAUUAGAUUACAACUUGCUUUCUGUUUCCCAAUUAUGUCAAAUGGGCUACAACUGUCUUUUUACUGAUAUAGGUGUCACUGUCUUUAGAAGAAGUGAUGAUUCAAUAGCAUUUAAGGGUGUGUUAGAGGGUCAGCUAUACUUAGUGGAUUUUAAUAGAGCUGAACUCGACACAUGCUUAAUUGCUAAGACUAACAUGGGUUGGCUCUGGCAUCGCCGACUAGCCCAUGUUGGGAUGAAGAAUCUUCACAAGCUUCUAAAGGGAGAGCACAUUUUAGGAUUAACAAAUGUUCAUUUUGAGAAAGACAGGAUUUGUAGCGCAUGCCAGGCGGGGAAGCAAGUUGGAGUCCAUCACCCACACAAGAACAUCAUGACGACCGACAGGCCGCUUGAGCUACUCCACAUGGAUCUAUUCGGCCCGAUUGCUUACAUAAGCAUCGGCGGGAGUAAGUAUUGUCUUGUUAUUGUGGAUGAUUAUUCUCGCUUCACUUGGGUAUUCUUUUUACAGGAAAAAUCUCAAACCCAAGAGACCUUAAAGGGAUUCUUGAGACGAGCUCAAAAUGAGUUCGGCUUAAGGAUCAAGAAAAUAAGAAGCGACAACGGGACGGAGUUCAAGAACUCUCAAAUUGAAGGCUUCCUUGAGGAGGAGGGCAUCAAGCAUGAGUUCUCCUCUCCCUACACGCCACAACAAAAUGGUAUAGUGGAGAGGAAGAAUCGAACUCUAUUGGACAUGGCAAGAACCAUGCUUGAUGAGUACAAGACACCGGACCGGUUUUGGGCCGAAGCGGUCAACACCGCCUGCUACGCCAUCAACCGGUUAUAUCUUCACCGAAUCCUCAAGAAGACAUCAUAUGAACUCCUAACCGGUAAAAAGCCCAACAUUUCAUAUUUUAGAGUUUUUGGUAGCAAAUGCUUCAUUCUUAUUAAAAGAGGUAGAAAAUCUAAAUUUGCUCCUAAAACUGUAGAAGGCUUUUUACUUGGUUAUGACUCAAACACAAGGGCAUAUAGGGUCUUUAACAAGUCCACUGGACUAGUUGAAGUCUCUUGUGACGUUGUGUUUGAUGAAACUAACGGCUCUCAAGUAGAGCAAGUUGAUCUUGAUGAGAUAGGUGAAGAACAGGCUCCAUGCAUCGCGCUAAGGAACAUGUCCAUCGGGGAUGUGUGUCCUAAGGAAUCCGAAGAGCCUCCAAGUACACAAGAUCAACCAUCCUCCUCCAUGCAAGCAUCUCCACCAACUCAAAAUGAGGAUGAGGCUCAAAAUGAUGAAGAGCAAAAUCAAGAAGACGAGCCACCUCAAGAUGAUAGCAAUGAUCAAGGGGGAGAUACAAAUGAUCAAGAAAAGGAGGAUGAGGAAGAACCAAGACCGCCACACCCAAGAGUCCACCAAGCAAUCCAACGAGAUCACCCCGUCGACACCAUCCUCGGCGACAUUCAUAAGGGGGUAACUACUCGAUCUCGGGUUGCUCAUUUUUGUGAACAUUACUCUUUUGUUUCCUCUAUUGAGCCACACAGGGUAGAGGAAGCUCUCCAAGAUUCGGAUUGGGUGGUGGCGAUGCAAGAGGAGCUCAACAAUUUCACGAGGAAUGAGGUCUGGCAUUUAGUUCCACGUCCUAACCAAAAUGUUGUAGGAACCAAAUGGGUCUUCCGCAACAAGCAAGAUGAGCAUGGUGUGGUGACAAGGAACAAAGCUCGACUCGUAGCCAAAGGGUAUUCACAAGUCGAAGGUUUGGAUUUCGGCGAAACCUAUGCACCCGUAGCUAGGCUUGAGUCAAUUCGCAUAUUAUUGGCCUAUGCUACUUACCAUGGCUUUAAGCUCUAUCAAAUGGACGUGAAAAGUGCCUUCCUCAAUGGACCGAUCAAGGAAGAGGUCUAUGUUGAGCAACCUCCCGGCUUUGAAGACAGUGAGUAUCCAAAUCAUGUCUAUAGGCUCUCUAAGGCGCUUUAUGGGCUCAAGCAAGCCCCAAGAGCAUGGUAUGAAUGCCUUAGAGAUUUCCUUAUUGCUAAUGGCUUCAAAGUCGGCAAGGCCGAUCCUACACUCUUUACUAAAACUCUUGAAAAUGACUUGUUUGUAUGCCAAAUUUAUGUUGAUGAUAUUAUAUUUGGGUCUACUGACGAGUCUACAUGUGAAGAGUUUAGUAGGAUCAUGACACAGAAAUUCGAGAUGUCGAUGAUGGGGGAGUUGAAGUAUUUUCUAGGAUUCCAAGUCAAGCAACUCCAAGAGGGCACCUUCAUUAGCCAAACGAAGUACACUCAAGACAUUCUUGCUAAGUUUGGGAUGAAGGAUGCCAAACCCAUCAAGACACCCAUGGGAACUAAUGGGCAUCUCGACCUCGACACGGGAGGUAAGUCCGUGGAUCAAAAGGUAUACCGGUCGAUGAUUGGUUCAUUGCUUUAUUUAUGUGCAUCUCGACCGGACAUUAUGCUUUCCGUUUGCAUGUGUGCAAGAUUCCAAUCCGACCCUAAGGAAUCCCACCUUACGGCCGUAAAACGAAUCUUGAGAUAUUUGGCUUAUACCCCUAAGUUUGGGCUUUGGUACCCUCGGGGAUCCACAUUUGAUUUACUUGGUUAUUCGGAUGCCGAUUGGGCGGGGUGCAAAAUCAAUAGGAAGAGCACAUCGGGGACUUGCCAGUUCUUGGGAAGAUCCUUGGUGUCUUGGGCUUCAAAGAAGCAAAAUUCGGUCGCUCUUUCCACCGCCGAAGCCGAGUACAUUGCCGCAGGACAUUGUUGCGCGCAAUUGCUUUGGAUGAGGCAAACCCUGCGGGACUACGGUUACAAAUUAACCAAAGUCCCUUUGCUAUGUGAUAAUGAGAGUGCAAUUAAAAUGGCCGACAAUCCCGUCGAGCAUAGCCGCACUAAGCACAUAGCCAUUCGGUAUCAUUUUCUUAGGGAUCACCAACAAAAGGGGGAUAUCGAGAUUUCUUACAUUAAUACUAAAGAUCAAUUAGCCGACAUCUUUACCAAGCCACUUGAUGAACAAUCUUUUACCAGACUUAGGCAUGAGCUCAAUAUUCUUGAUUCUAGAAAUUUCUUUUGCUAAGCUUGCACACAUAGCUCAUUUGAAUACUUUUGAUCAUAUCUCCUUUAUAUGCUAUGACUAAUGUGUUUUCAAGUCUAUUUCAAACCAAGUCAUAGGUAUAUUGAAAGGGAAUUGGAGUCUUCGGCGAAGACAAAGGCUUCCACUCCGUAACUCAUGCUUCGCCAUCACUCCGAGCAACUCUCUAUUCCUUGGGGAGAAAUGAGCAUCAAAGAAAAGGACUUCAUCCUUGGAGGAGAGAGUAAAAGCUCAAAAGCAAAAGGACCGGAUUUCGUCUUUGGUAUAAUCUUAACUCAUUUACUUAUGACCAAAGGGGAAGAAAUUACUAAGGAGGGCUCUAAUGAUUCCGUUUUUGGCGAUUCAUGCCAAAAAGGGGGAGAAAUGAGCCCAAAGCAAAAGGACCGCACCACCACCACCAAAUUCAAAAACUUAGUGCUUUCCAAAAGUCUUUAUCAUUUGGUAUCCUAUUGUGUUCAAAAGGGGGAGAAAGUAGUAUUUCAAAAAUGGUAUAUCAAAACCCUCUUGAACACUAAGAGGUGGAUCUCUUUUAGGGGGAGUUUUGUUUAGUCAAAGGAAAAGCAUUUGAAAUAGGUGGAGAAAAUUUCAAAUCUUGAAAAUGCUUUACAAACUCUUAUUCAUUUACCUUUGACUAUUUGCAAAAGAUCUUUGAAAUGGAUUUACAAAAAGGAUUUGCAAAAACAAAACAUGUGGUGUAAACGUGGUCCAAAAUGUUACAUAAGAAAGGAACAUUCCAUGCAUAUCUUGUAAGUAGUUAUAUUGGCUCAAUUCCAAGCAACCUUUACACUUACAUUAUGCAAACUAGUUCAAUUAUGCACUUCUAUAUUUGCUUUGGUUUGUGUUGGCAUCAAUCACCAAAAAGGGGGAGAUUGAAAGGGAAUUAGGCUUACACCUAAGUCCUAAAUAAUUUUGGUGGUUAAAUUGCCCAACACAAAUCUUUGGACUAACUAGUUUGCUCUAGUGUAUAAGUUAUACAGGUGCAAAAGGUUCACAUCUAGCCAAUAAAAAGACCAAGUGUUGGAUUCAACAAAGGAGCAAUAAGGCAACCGAGGGCACCUCUGGCUGGAGGCACCGGACUGUCCGGUGUGCACCGGACAGUGUCCGGUGCGCCCGUAGACUUCGUUUUCUACCCUUCGCCAGAGGACUUCGACUUCAACCCUUCGCCCUCGGGAAUUCGCGGAGGCCGGCGCGCUAUAAUUCACCGGACUGUCCGGUGUGCACCGGACAUGUCCGGUGCGCCAACGAACCGCGGCCUCCGGAACUCGUCAUCCUCGGGUUUUCACGACAGCCGCUCCGCUAUAAUUCACCGGACUGUCCGGUGUGCACCGGACUGUCCGGUGUGCCAGCGGAGCAACGGCUCACUGCGGCGCCAACGGCUCCCUGCGCAGCAUUAAAUGCGCGCGCAGCGCGCGCAGACGUCAGGGCUGCCCAUACCGGUGCACCGGACAUCAAACAGUGCAUGUCCGGUGUGCACCGGACACCUCGGCAGGCCCACAAGUCAGAAGCUUCAACGGUCAGAAUCCAACGGCAAUGGUGACGUGGCAGAGGCACCGGACUGUCCGGUGUGCACCGGACUGUCCGGUGCGCCAUCGAACAGAGGCUGCCAGCAACGGUCACUUUUGGUGGUUGGGGCUAUAAAUACCCCAACCACCCCACCAUUCAUUGCAUCCAAGUUUUCCACUUCUCAACUACUACAAGAGCUCUAGCAUUCAAUUCUAGACACACUAAAGAGAUCAAAUCCUCUCCAAUUCCACACAAAGCCCUAGUGACUAGUGAGAGUGAUUUGCCGUGUUCAUUUGAGCUCUUGCGCUUGGAUUGCUUCUUUUCUUUCUCACUUGUUCUUGUGAUCAAAACUCCAUUGUAAUCAAGGCAAGAGGCACCAAUUGUGUGGUGGCCCUUGCGGGGAAGUUUUGUUCCCGGCUUUGAUUAGCGAAGAGAAGCUCACUCGGUCCGUGGGACCGUUUGAGAGAGGGAAGGGUUGAAAGAGACCCGGCCUUUGUGGCCUCCUCAACGGGGAGUAGGUUUGCAAGAACCGAACCUCGGUAAAACAAAUCUCCGUGUCUCAUUUGCUUAUUCGCUUGGGAUUUGUUUUGCGCCCUCUCUUGCGGACUCAUUUAUUAUUACUAACGCUAACCCCGGCUUGUAGUUGUGUUUAUAUUUGUAAAUUUCAGUUUCGCCCUAUUCACCCCCCCUCUAGGCGACUAUCAAUAAGAAAAGAAAAGCAAAACACUGUGGUAUUCAAGUUGAUCAUUGGAUCACUUGAGAGGAGUUGAGUGCAACUCUCGUCCGUUGGGACGCCACAACGUGGAGUAGGCAAGUUUUGUACUUGGCCGAACCACGGGAUAAACCACUGUGUCAUCUCUGUGAUUGAUCUCUUGUGGUUAUUGUGUUUUGUUGAGACUCCUCUCUAGCCACUUGGCAAUUAUUGUGCUAACCUUAACCAAGUUUUGUGGCUUAAGUUUUAUAUUUCACAGGAUCACCUAUUCACCCCCUCUCUAGGUGCUCUCAAUUGGUAUCAGAGCCGUUCUCUUCAAGAAAGGGACUAACCGCCCGAAGAGAUGGAUCCUAAGGGGAAGGGAAUCGUGAUCAACAACAAGGAGAAGGAGUCCUUCGUCAACGAGCCGAAGGAUGACAAGCCUACCGACUCGGGCUCAGGCCACAGACGCAAAGAUGGGAAGAAGAAGAAGACAAGACGCAUCAAGGAGAUCGUCUACUACGACGACAGCGAUGAGUCCACUUCUUCCCAAAAGGACAACGACGACAACGACUGCGAGAGAAGGAAACCGGUUAAUUCAAACUUUUCUUUUGACUACUCUCGUAUUCCGCAAAGUACAAAUGCUCAUUUAUUAUCCAUUCCACUUGGUAAACCUCCUCAUUUUGAUGGAGAAGACUACGGAUUUUGGAGUCACAAAAUGCGUAGUCACUUGUUCUCUCUCCAUCCUAGCAUAUGAGAGAUAGUAGAAAGUGGAAUGCAUUUUGAUAGUAGUGAUAGUCCCAUGUUUAUCAAUGAGCAAAUUCAUAAAAACGCACAAGCUACUACUGUGUUGAAAGGGAAAUGUGCCCUUGGGCCAUUUCUAAGUAUUUUGGUGAUUGAGUGCAAACACAAAGUGCUUAAAUGUGAAUUUAUGCCCAUGGAUGAACAAAGUGCAAAUCACGAGUAAAGGUAUGUUUCUAAGCCUUAGUACAUUGGUUUUGUGUACUAAUAUACUUGUCUAAGUGUUAGAAACAGAAAGAAGAAGAAAAGAAAAGAGGUGUGAAAGGCUUGGCUGUGUACAGCCAAGACUCAGCUCUGUCUGGCACACCGGACUGUCCGGUGGUGCACCGGACAGUGUCCGGUGCGCCAGGCUGACUCGGCGUGAAGUGGCCGCUCUCGGGAAUUCGCCGACGGCGUACGGCUAAAAUUCACCGGACUGUCCGGUGUGCACCGGACUGUCCGGUGAGCCAACGGUCGGCCGGGCCAACGGUCGGCCGGGCCAACGGUCGGCCGCGGAAUCUGCGCGCGACACGUGGUCGGGCCAACGGUCGGAAGGGGGCACCGGACUGUCCGGUGUGCACCGGACAUGUCCGGUGCGCCAAAGGCUCCCAGAUCUGCAAUGGUCGGCCGCGCCAUUUAAGGAAGGAAAUCGGGCACCGGACAGUGUCCGGUGUGCACCGGACUGUCCGGUGCACCCGACGACAGAAGGCAAGAUUGGCCUUCCAGAUUUGCUCUCAACGGCUCCUAGCUGCCUUGGGGCUAUAAAAGGGACCCCUAGGCGCAUGGAGGAGACACCCAAGCAACCUUAGAGCAUUCUUGAUCAUCCACACUCAGUCUUUGCGCAUUCAUUUGUCAUUCUCAGUGAUUCGAGCUCCGUUCUAGUGAGAACUUUGAGAUAGUCUUUUGAGCUCGAUUCUUGGCCGUGUGUGUGCGCAUUUUGCUGUGGAAUUGUGUGUGUUGCUUCCCUUCCUUACUCCGUAUUUCUUUGUGAAUCUCAAGUGUAAGGGCGAGAGGCUCCAAGUUGUGGAGAUUCCUCGCAAACGGGAUAUUGAAAGGCAAAGCAAAACACCGUGGUAUUCAAGUUGGUCUUUGGACCGCUUGAGAGGGGUUGAUUGCAACCCUCGUCCGUUGGGACGCCACAACGUGGAGUAGGCAAGCGUUGGUCUUGGCCGAACCACGGGAUAAACCACUGUGUCAUCUCUGUGUUUGAUCUCUUGUGGUAUUGUGUUUUGUUGAGACUCCUCUCUAGCCACUUGGCAAUUAUUGUGCUAACACUUAACAAGUUUUUGUGGCUAUAAGUUUAAGUUUCACAGGAUCACCUAUUCACCCCCCCUCUAGGUGCUCUCAAUUGGUAUCAGAGCCGUUCUCUUCAAGAAGAGGGACUAACCGCCCGAAGAGAUGGAUCCUAAGGGCAAGGGGAUAGUGAUCAACGAUAAGGAGAAGGAGUCCUUCGUCAACAAGCCCAAAGAUGACAAGCCUACCAACUCCGGCUCGGGUCAUAGACGAAAGGAAGGGAAGAAGAAGAAGACAAGGCGCAUCAAGGAGAUCGUCUACUACGACGACAGCGAUGAGUCUACUUCUUCCCAAAAGGACGACGACCACAACGACUACGAGAGAAGGAAACCGGUUAAUUCGAACUUUUCCUUUGACUACUCUCGUAUUCCGCAAAGUUCAAAUUCACAUUUGCUCUCCAUUCCACUCGGCAAGCCCCCACACUUUGAUGGGGAGGACUAUGGAUUUUGGAGCCACAAAAUGCGUAGUCAUCUAUUCUCUCUCCAUCCUAGUAUAUGGGAGAUUGUAGAUAGUGGAAUGCACUUUGAUAGUUCGGAUAGUCCUAUAUUCAUUAAUGAGCAAAUCCAUAAGAAUGCACAAGCUACUACUGUUCUUCUAGCUUCAUUGUGCAGGGAUGAAUAUAACAAAAUGAGCGGCUUGGAUAACGCCAAGCAGAUCUGGGACACCCUCAAGAUUUCUCAUGAGGGAAAUGACGUUACCUUGCUCACCAAAAUGGAGUUGGUGGAGGGCGAGCUUGGACGGUUCGCGAUGAUAAGGGGCGAGGAGCCAACUCAAACAUACAACCGGCUCAAGACCCUUAUUAACAAAAUAAGGAGCUACGGAAGCACGCGAUGGACGGACCACGACGUCGUUCGACUAAUGCUAAGGUCCUUUACCGUUCUUGAUCCUCAUUUGGUGAAUAAUAUUCGUGAGAAUCCCAGGUACACCAAAAUGUCGCCCGAAGAAGUCCUAGGAAAAUUCGUCAGCGGGCGAAUGAUGAUCAAGGAGGCGAGGUACGUGGACGACGCCUUGAAUGGACCGAUCAACGAGCCGCAACCUCUUGCUCUCAAAGCCACAAGAAGCAAGGAGGCGCUACCUAGCAAGGUGGCACAAAUUGAAGCGGCCGGACUUAAUGAUGAAGAGAUGGCCCUCAUCAUCAAAAGAUUCAAGACGGCGCUUAAGGGUCGCAAGGGACAGCCAAGCAAGACCAAAGCCAAGGGGAAGCGCUCAUGCUUCAAAUGCGGUAAGCUUGGUCAUUUUAUUGCUAAUUGUCCCGACAAUGAUAGUGAUCAGGACCAAGGGAACAAGAGAGAGUAAAAGAAGCAUUACAAGAAGGCCAAGGGCGAGGCACAUAUCGGAAAGGAGUGGGAUUCGGAUUGCUCCUCCUCCGACUCCGACAAUGAAGGACUCGCCGCCACUGCCUUCAACAAGUCAUCCCUCUUCCCCAACGAGCGUCACACUUGCCUCAUGGCAAGGGAGAAGAAAGUAAGCACUCAUGAUACUAGUACUUAUGCUUCUUCAAGUGAGGAUGAGUCUAGUGAUGAUGAUGAGAUAGAUUACUCAUGCUUAUUCAAGGGAUUAGAUAGAUCUAAAAUUAAUAAGAUUAAUGAGUUGAUUGAUGCUUUGAAUGACAAGAAUAGAUUACUAGAAAAACAAGAAGAUCUUUUAUAUGAGGAGCAUGAUAAAUUUGUUAGUGCACAAAAAUCUCUUGCUCUAGAAAUUAAAAGAAAUGAAAUGCUCUCUGGUGAAUUAUCUACUUGUCAUGAAACCAUUUCUACUUUACAAGGUGUUAACAAUGAUUUAAAUACUAAAUUAGAAGUAGCAAAUAAAUCUAAUUCUUGUGUAGAACAUGUUAUAAUUUGUACUAGGUGUAAAGAUUUUGACAUUGAUGCUUGUAGUGAACACCUAGUUUCAAUUUCCAAACUUAAUGAUGAAUUGGCUAGUCUUAAUGCUCAACUUAAGACUAGCAAGAAUGAUUUCGAUAAGCUAAAAUUUGCAAGGGAUGCCUACACGAUUGGUAGACACCCCUCAAUUAAGGAUGGACUUGGCUUCAAGAGGGAAGCCAAGAACUUAACAAGCCAUAAGGCUCCCAUCUCCGCCAAGGAGAAAGGGAAGGCCCCUAUGGCAAGUAGUGCUAAAAAGAACCAUGCUUUCAUGUACCAUGAUAAGAGACAAACUAGAAAUGCUUAUAGGAGUUACAAUGCUUAUGAUGAUUUUGAUUCUCAUGACAUGUUUGCUUCUAGUUCUUUCUGUGUGCAUGAUAGAAAUGUUGGUAGGAAAAAUGUUGUUCACAAUAUGCCUAGGAGAAAUGUUGUUAAUGUUCCUAGGAAAGUUAAUGAACCUUCUACAAUAUAUCAUGCUUUGAGUGCCUCCUUUGCAAUUUGUAGAAAGGAUAGAAAGGUGAUUGCUAGGAAAUUAGGGGCAAAAUGCAAGGGAGAUAAAACUUGCAUUUGGGUCCCUAAGACAAUUGUGACUAACCUUGUAGGACCCAACAAGAGUUGGGUACCUAAGUCCCAAGCCUAAAUUUGCCUUGCAGGUUUAUGCAUCCGGGGGUUCAAGCUAGAUUAUCGACAGCGGAUGCACAAACCAUAUGACGGGGGAGAAGAAGAUGUUCACCUCCUACGUCAAGAAUAAGGAUUCCCAAGAUUCAAUUAUAUUCGGUGAUGGGAAUCAAGGCAAGGUAAAAGGGUUAGGUAAAAUUGCAAUUUCUAAUGAGCACUCUAUCUCUAAUGUGUUUUUAGUAGAGUCUCUUGGAUAUAAUUUGCUAUCGGUUAGUCAAUUAUGCAAUAUGGGAUAUAACUGUCUAUUUACAAAUGUAGAUGUGUCUGUCUUUAGAAGAAGUGAUGGUUCACUAGCUUUUAAGGGUGUAUUAGACGUCAAACUUUAUUUAGUUGAUUUUGCAAAAGAAGAGGCCGGUCUAGAUGCAUGCUUAAUAGCUAAGAGUAGCAUGGGCUGGCUGUGGCAUCGCCGCUUAGCACAUGUGGGGAUGAAGAACCUUCACAAGCUUCUAAAGGGAGAACACGUGAUAGGUUUGACUAACGUGCAAUUCGAAAAAGAUAGACCUUGUGCAGCUUGUCAGGCAGGUAAACAGGUGGGAGGAGCGCAUCACAGCAAGAAUGUGAUGACCACAUCAAGACCCCUGGAGCUGCUACAUAUGGACCUCUUCGGACCCGUCGCCUAUCUAAGCAUAGGAGGAAGUAAGUAUGGUUUAGUUAUUGUUGAUGACUUUUCCCGCUUCACUUGGGUGUUCUUUUUGCAGGAUAAGUCUGAAACCCAAGGGACCCUCAAGCGCUUCCUCAGGAGAGCUCAAAAUGAGUUUGAGCUCAAAGUGAAGAAGAUAAGGAGCGACAACGGGUCCGAGUUCAAGAACCUUCAAGUGGAGGAGUUCCUUGAGGAGGAAGGGAUCAAGCACGAGUUCUCCGCUCCCUACACACCACAGCAAAAUGGUGUGGUAGAGAGGAAGAACAUGACGCUAAUCGAUAUGGCGAGGACGAUGCUAGGAGAAUUCAAGACCCCCGAGCGUUUUUGGUCGGAAGCCGUGAACACGGCUUGCCACGCCAUCAACAGGGUCUACCUUCAUCGCCUCCUCAAGAAGACUUCGUAUGAGCUACUAACCGGUAACAAACCCAAUGUAUCUUACUUUCGUGUAUUUGGGAGCAAGUGCUACAUUCUAGUGAAGAAGGGUAGAAAUUCUAAGUUUGCUCCCAAAGCUGUAGAAGGGUUUUUGUUAGGUUAUGACUCAAAUACAAAGGCGUAUAGAGUCUUCAACAAAUCAUCGGGUUUGGUUGAAGUUUCUAGCGACGUUGUAUUUGAUGAAACUAAUGGCUCUCCUAGAGAGCUAGUGGUUGAUCUUGAUGAUGUAGACGAAGAAGAUGUUCCGACGGCUGCUAUACGAACCAUGGCGAUUGGUAAUGUGCGACCACAGGAACAAGAUGAGCAAGAUCAACCUUCUUCCUCAACUAUGGUGCAUCCCCCAACUCAAGACGAUGAACAGGUUCAUCAACAGGAGGCGUGUGAUCAAGGGGGAGCACAAGAUGAUCAUGUGAUGGAGGAAGAAGCGGAACCGACACCUCCAACCCAAGUUCGAGCGAUGAUUCAAAGGGAUCAUCCCGUAGACCAAAUUCUGGGUCACAUUAGCAAGGGAGUAACUACUCGGUCUCGAUUAGUUAAUUUUUGUGAACAUUACUCCUUUGUCUCUUCUAUUGAGCCUUUCAGGGUAGAAGAGGCCUUGCUAGAUCCGGACUGGGUGUUGGCCAUGCAAGAGGAGCUCAACAACUUCAAGAGGAAUGAAGUUUGGACGCUGGUUCCUCGUUUGCUCAACAACUUCAAAAUGUUGUGGGAACCAAGUGGGUGUUCCGCAACAAACAGGACGAGCACGAGGUGGUGACGAGAAACAAGGCUCGACUUGUGGCAAAAGGUUAUGCCCAAGUCGCAGGUUUGGACUUUGAGGAGACGUUUGCUCCUGUGGCUAGGCUAGAAUCAAUUCGUAUCUUGCUAGCAUAUGCCGCUCACCAUUCUUUCAGGUUGUACCAAAUGGAUGUGAAGAGCGCUUUCCUCAACGGGCCAAUAAAGGAGGAGGUGUACGUGGAGCAACCCCCUGGCUUCGAGGAUGAACGGUACCCCGACCACGUGUGUAAGCUCUCUAAGGCGCUCUAUGGACUUAAGCAAGCCCUAAGAGCAUGGUAUGAAUGCCUUAGAGAUUUCUUAAUCGCUAAUGCUUUCAAGGUUGGGAAAGCCGAUCCAACUCUUUUCACUAAGACAUGUAAUGGUGAUUUGUUUGUGUGCCAAAUUUAUGUCGAUGACAUAAUAUUUGGUUCUACUAAUAAAAAGUCUUGUGAAGAGUUUAGCAGGGUGAUGACGCAGAAAUUCGAGAUGUCAAUGAUGGGCGAGUUGAACUACUUCCUUGGGUUCCAAGUGAAGCAACUCAAGGACGGCACCUUCAUCUCUCAAACGAAGUACACGCAAGACCUGCUGAAGCGGUUUGGGAUGAAGGACGCCAAGCCCGCAAAGACUCCGAUGGGGACCGACGGACACACCGACCUCAACAAAGGAGGUAAGUCUGUUGAUCAAAAAGCAUACCGGUCAAUGAUAGGGUCUUUACUUUAUUUAUGUGCUAGUAGACCGGAUAUUAUGCUUAGCGUAUGCAUGUGUGCUAGAUUUCAAUCCGAUCCUAAGGAGUGUCACUUAGUGGCAGUGAAGCGAAUCCUUAGAUAUUUAGUUGCUACGCCUUGCUUCGGGCUCUGGUAUCCAAAGGGGUCUACCUUUGACUUAAUUGGAUAUUCAGAUUCCGACUAUGCUGGAUGUAAGGUCGAUAGGAAGAGUACAUCGGGGACGUGCCAAUUCUUAGGAAGGUCCCUGGUGUCGUGGAACUCUAAGAAACAAACUUCCGUUGCCCUAUCCACCGCUGAGGUCGAGUAUGUUGCCGCAGGACAGUGUUGCGCGCAACUACUUUGGAUGAGGCAAACCCUCAGGGACUUUGGCUACAAUUUGAGCAAAGUCCCACUCCUAUGUGAUAAUGAGAGUGCUAUCCGCAUGGCGGAAAAUCCUGCUGAGCACAGCCGCACAAAGCACAUAGACAUCCGGCAUCACUUUCUGAGAGACCACCAGCAAAAGGGAGAUAUCGAAGUGUUUCAUGUUAGCACUGAGAACCAGCUAGCCGAUAUCUUUACCAAGCCUCUAGAUGAGAAGACCUUUUGCAGGCUGCGAAGUGAGCUAAAUGUCUUAGAUUCGCGGAACUUGGAUUGAAUUGUUGCUUAUUGUGGUGCUCAAGUUGUACAAACACUCCCUGGACCUCACAAGUCCGUUGCAAAGUGAUGCACAUGUUUAGGGGGAGAUGUGUUACAACUUGACCCUUUGAGACUAACCAUAUGCUUGAGUUUGCUUGAUUUAGUCUCGAAGGAGAAUUGAAAGGGAAAAGGUGAACUUGGACCAUGAAAGACUUCCACUGCACUCCGAUGAGAGGGUAACUUAUUCCAAGUUCAUCUCAUGAACUCUUAUUGCCAUUUGCUCUUAAUUGAAGAUUUUGGUGAGGCAAUGGGGUUAAAGGGCCAAGAUUGAUCCCGUUUUGGUGCUUGAUGCCAAAGGGGGAGAAAAUAAAGGCCAAAGCAAUAAAUGGAUCAGCUACCACUUGAGAAAUUUUGAAAAAUAGUAAAAUAGAGCUUUUUGUUUUGUCAAAACUCUUGCAUUGUCUCUUUUGUCAAAAGUUGGCCUCUUGUGGGGAGAAGUGUUGAUUAUGGGAAAUAGGGGGAGUUUUUGAUCAAUCUCUUUUGGAAUGACUCUCUUUAUGCUUCAACAUGUGUGUUUGACUUAGAGAUAGAGAUUUGAGUCUGAUUUGCAAAAACAAACCAAGUGGUGGCAAAGGAUGAUCCAUAUAUGCCAAAAAUGAAUCAAAAUAAAUUUGAGUUUUAUUUGAAGUGAUAUUGCACUUGUUCCAGUUGCUUUAUGUUGUGUUGGCAUAAAUCACCAAAAAGGGGGAGAUUGAAAGGGAAAUGUGCCCUUGGGCCAUUUCUAAGUAUUUUGGUGAUUGAGUGCAAACACAAAGUGCUUAAAUGUGAAUUUAUGCCCAUGGAUGAACAAAGUGCAAAUCACGAGUAAAGGUAUGUUUCUAAGCCUUAGUACAUUGGUUUUGUGUACUAAUAUACUUGUCUAAGUGUUAGAAACAGAAAGAAGAAGAAAAGAAAAGAGGUGUGAAAGGCUUGGCUGUGUACAGCCAAGACUCAGCUCUGUAUGGCACACUGGACUGUCCGGUGGUGCACCGGACAGUGUCCGGUGCGCCAGGCUGACUCGGCGUGAAGUGGCCGCUCUCGGGAAUUCGCCGACGACGUACGGCUAAAAUUCACCGGACUGUCCGGUGAGCCAACGGUCGGCCGGGCCAACGGUCGGCCGCAGAAUCUGCGCGCGACACGUGGCCGGGCCAACGGUCGGAAGGGGGCACCGGACUGUCCGGUGUGCACCGGACAUGUCCGGUGCGCCAAAGGCUCGCAGAUCUGCAACGGUCGGCCGUGCCAUUUAAGGAAGGAAAUCGGGCACCGGACAGUGUCCGGUGUGCACCGGACUGUCCGGUGCACCCGACGACAGAAGGCAAGAUUGGCCUUCCAGAUUUGCUCUCAACGGCUCCUAGCUGCCUUGGGGCUAUAAAAGGGACCCCUAGGCGCAUGGAGGAGACACCCAAGCAACCUUAGAGCAUUCUUGAUCAUCCACACUCAGUCUUUGCGCAUUCAUUUGUCAUUCUCAAUGAUUCGAGCUCCGUUCUAGUGAGAACUUUGAGAUAGUCUUUUGAGCUCGAUUCUUGGCCGUGUGUGUGCGCAUUUUGCUGUGGAAUUGUGUGUGUUGCUUCCCUUCCUUACUCCAUAUUUCUUUGUGAAUCUCAAGUGUAAGGGCGAGAGGCUCCAAGUUGUGGAGAUUCCUCGCAAACGGGAUAUUGAAAGGCAAAGCAAAACACCAUGGUAUUCAAGUUGGUCUUUGGACCGCUUGUGAGGGGUUGAUUGCAACCCUCGUCCGUUGGGACGCCACAACGUGGAGUAGGCAAGCGUUGGUCUUGGCCGAACCACGGGAUAAACCACUGUGUCAUCUCUGUGUUUGAUCUCUUGUGGUAUUGUGUUUUGUUGAGACUCCUCUCUAGCCACUUGGCAAUUAUUGUGCUAACACUUAACAAUUUUUUGUGGCUAUAAGUUUAAGUUUCACAGGAUCACCUAUUCACCCCCCCUCUAGGUGCUCUCAUGUGUUGCUAGCCUCAUUGUGCAGGGAUGAGUACCACAAAGUGAGCGGCUUGGACAAUGCCAAGCAGAUCUGGGACACCCUCAAGAUCUCACAUGAGGGCAACGAUGUCACCAUGCUCACCAAGAUGGAGUUGGUGGAAGGCGAACUUGGGAGAUUCGCUAUGAUAAGGGGGGAGGAGCCAACCCAAACAUACAACCGGCUAAAGACCCUUGUCAACAAGAUAAGGAGCUACGGAAGCACGCGAUGGACGGACCACGACGUCGUCCGCCUAAUGUUAAGGUCGUUCACUGUCCUUGAUCCUCAUCUUGUGAACAAUAUUCGUGAGAAUCCUAGGUACAUCAAGAUGACGCCCGAGGAGAUACUUGGAAAGUUCGUGAGCGGGCGAAUGAUGAUCAAGGAAGCAAGAUACGUGGAUGACGCAUUGAAUGGUCCAAUCAAUGAGCCUCAACCUCUUGCUCUCAAGGCAACAAGAAGCAAGGAGACGCUACCUAGCAAGGUGGCACAAAUUGAGGCGGCUGGACUUAACGAUGAAGAGAUGGCACUCAUCAUCAAGAGAUUCAAGACGGCGCUAAAAGGUCGCAAGGGGCAGCCAAGCAAGACCAAGACAAAGGGGAAGCGCUCAUGCUUCAAAUGUGGUAAGCUUGGUCAUUUUAUUGCUAACUGUCCCGACAAUGAUAGUGAUCAGGAUCAAGGGAACAAGAGGGAAAAGAAGAAGUACUAUAAGAAGGCAAAGGGCGAGGCUCAUCUAGGCAAGGAGUGGGAUUCGGAUUGCUCCUCUUUCGACUCCGACAAUGAAGGACUCGCCGCCACCGCCUUCAACAAGUCAUCCCUCUUCCCCAACGAGCGUCACACAUGCCUUAUGGCAAGGGAGAAGAAGGUAUGUACUCGAAACACUACUUAUGCUUCUUCAAGUGAGGACGAAUCUAGUGAUGAGAAUGAAAUAGAUUAUUCAUGUUUAUUUAAAGGCUUAGAUAGAUCUAAGGUAGAUAAAAUUAAUGAAUUGAUUGAUGCCUUGAAUGAUAAGAAUAGGCUUUUAGAAAAGCAAGAGGAUUUGUUGUAUGAAGAACAUGACAAAUUUGUAGAAGCACAAAAAUCUCAUGCUCUAGAAGUUAAAAGAAAUGAAAUGCUUUCUUGUGAAUUAUCUUCUUGUCAUGAGACAAUUUCUAACUUAAAAAGCAUUAAUGAUGAUUUGAAUGCUAAGUUAGAAAUAGCUAGUAAAUCAACAUCUUGUGUAGAAAAUGAUGUUAUUUGCAAUAGGUGUAAAGAUCUUGAUAUUGAUGCUUGUAGUGAACACAUAGCCUCUAUUGCAAAAUUAAAUGAUGAAGUUGCUAGUCUUAAUGCCCAACUUAAGACUAGCAAAAGUGAAUUUGACAAAUUAAAAUUUGCAAGGGAUGCCUACACAAUUGGUAGACACCCCUCAAUUAAGGAUGGUCUUGGCUUCAAGAAGGAAGUCAAGAACUUAACAAGCCAUAAGGCUUCCAUCUCCACAAAGGAGAAAGGGAAGGCCCCUAUGGCAAGUAAUGCUAAAAAGAACCAUGCCUUCAUGUACCAUGAUAGAAAAUUUUCUGGAAAUGUUCAUGAUGAUAGGAGUUGUAAUGCUUAUAAUGCUUUUGACUCUCAUGCCAUGUUUGCUUCUAAUUCUUCCUAUAUGCAUGGUAGAAAUGUGUUUAGAAGAAAUACUGUUCAUCAUAUGCCUAGGAGAAAUGUUGUCAAUAUUCCUAGAAAAGUUAAUGAACCUUCUACAAUUUAUCAUGCUUGUGAUGCUUCAUUUGCAAUUUGUAGAAAGGAUAGAAAGGUGAUUGCUAGGAAAUUAGGGGCAAAAUGCAAGGGAGAUAAAACUUGCAUUUGGGUCCCUAAGACAAUUGUGACUAACCUUGUAGGACCCAACAAGAGUUGGGUACCUAAGUCCCAAGCCUAAAUUUUCCUUGCAGGUUUAUGCAUCCGGGGGUUCAAGCUGGAUUAUUGACAGCGGAUGCACAAACCAUAUGACGGGGGAGAAGAAGAUGUUUACCUCCUACGUCAAGAACAAGGAUUCCCAAGAUUCAAUAAUAUUCGGUGAUGGGAACCAAGGCAAGGUAAAAGGGUUAGGUAAAAUUGCAAUCUCAAAUGAGCACUCUAUUUCUAAUGUGUUUUUAGUUGAGUCUCUGGGAUAUAAUUUACUAUAUGUUAGUCAAUUAUGCAAUAUGGGAUAUAACUGUUUAUUCACAAACAUAGAUGUGUCUGUCUUUAGAAGGUGUGAUGGUUCACUAGCUUUUAAGGGUGUACUAGACGGCAAACUUUAUUUAGUUGAUUUUGCAAAAGAGGAGGCCGAUCUAGAUGCAUGCUUAAUUGCUAAGACUUGCAUGGGCUAGCUGUGGCAUCACCGCUUAGCACAUGUGGGGAUGAAGAAUCUUCACAAGCUUUUAAAGGGAGAACAUGUGAUAGGUUUAACUAACGUGCAAUUCGAAAAAGAUAGACCUUGUGCAGCAUGUCAAGCAGGUAAACAGGUGGGAGGAGCACAUCACAGCAAGAAUGUGAUGACCACAUCAAGGCCCCUGGAGCUGCUACAUAUGGACCUCUUCGGACCCGUCGCCUAUCUAAGCAUAGGGGGAAGUAAGUAUGGUUUAGUUAUUGUGGAUGACUUUUCCCGCUACACUUGGGUAUUCUUUUUGCAGGAUAAGUCUGAAACCCAAGGGACCCUCAAGCGCUUCCUAAGGAGAGCUCAAAACGAGUUUGAGCUCAAGGUGAAAAAAACAAGGAGCGACAAUGGGUCCGAGUUCAAGAACCUUCAAGUGGAGGAGUACCUUGAAGAGGAAGGGAUCAAGCACGAGUUCUCCGCUCCCUACACACCACAGCAAAAUGGUGUGGUAGAGAGGAAGAACAGGACGCUAAUCGAUAUGGCGAGGACGAUGCUUGGAGAGUUCAAGACCCCCGAGCGUUUUUGGUCGGAAGCCGUGAACACGGCUUGCCACGCCAUCAACAGGGUCUACCUUCACCGCCUCCUCAAGAAGACGUCGUAUGAGCUUCUAACCGGUAACAAACCCAAUGUAUCUUACUUUCGUGUAUUUGGGAGCAAAUGCUACAUUCUAGUGAAGAAGGGUAGAAAUUCUAAGUUUGCUCCCAAAGCUGUAGAAGGGUUUUUGUUAGGUUAUGACUCAAAUACAAAGGCGUAUAGGGUCUUCAACAAAUCAUCGGGUUUGGUUGAAGUCUCUAGCGACGUUGUAUUUGAUGAGACUAAUGGCUCUCCAAGAGAGCAAGUUGUUGAUCUUGAUGAUGUAGAUGAAGAAGAUGUUCCGACGGCCGCUAUACGAACCAUGGCGAUUGGUGAUGUGCGACCACAGGAACAAGAUGAGCAAGAUCAACCUUCUUCCUCGACUGUGGUGCAUCCCCCAACUCAAGACGAUGAACAGGUUCAUCAACAGGAGGCGUGUGAUCAAGGGGGAGCACAAGAUGAUCAUGUGAUGGAGGAAGAAGCGCAACCGGCACCUCCAACCCAAGUUCGAGCGAUGAUUCAAAGGGAUCAUCCCGUCGAUCAAAUUCUGGGUGAUAUUAGCAAGGGAGUAACUACUCGAUCUCGAUUAGUUAAUUUUUGUGAGCAUUACUCCUUUGUCUCUUCUAUUGAGCCUUUCAGGGUAGAGGAGGCCUUGCUAGAUCCGGACUGGGUGUUGGCCAUGCAAGAGGAGCUCAACAACUUCAAGAGAAAUGAAGUUUGGACGCUGGUGCCUCGUCCUAAGCAAAAUGUUGUGGGAACCAAGUGGGUGUUCCGCAACAAACAAGACGAGCACGGAGUGGUGACGAGGAACAAGGCUCGACUUGUGGCAAAUGGGUAUGCCCAAGUCGCAGGUUUGGACUUUGAGGAGACUUUUGCUCCUGUGGCUAGACUAGAGUCCAUUCGUAUUUUGCUAGCAUAUGCCGCUCACCAUUCUUUCAGGUUGUUCCAAAUGGAUGUGAAGAGCGCUUUCCUCAACGGGCCAAUCAAGGAGGAGGUGUACGUAGAGCAACCCCCUGGCUUCGAGGAUGAACGGUACCCUGACCACGUGUGUAAGCUCUCUAAGGCGCUCUAUAGACUUAAGCAAGCCCCAAGAGCAUGGUAUGAAUGCCUUAGAGACUUUCUAAUUGCUAAUGCUUUCAAGGUUGGGAAAGCCGAUCCAACUCUGUUCACUAAGACUUGUGACGGUGAUCUUUUUGUAAGCCAAAUUUAUGUCGAUGACAUAAUAUUUGGUUCUACUAAUAAAAAGUCUUGUGAAGAGUUUAGCAGGGUAAUGACGCAGAAAUUCGAGAUGUCGAUGAUGGGCGAGUUGAACUACUUCCUUGGGUUCCAAGUGAAGCAACUCAAGGAUGGCACCUUCAUCUCUCAAACGAAGUACACGCAAGACUUGCUGAAGCGGUUUGGGAUGAAGGAUGCCAAGCCCGCAAAGACUCCGAUCGGGACCGACGGACACACCGACCUCAACAAAGGAGGUAAGUCCGUUGAUCAAAAUGCAUACCGGUCAAUGAUAGGGUCUUUACUUUAUUUAUGUGCUAGUAGACCGGAUAUUAUGCUUAGCGUUUGCAUGUGUGCUAGAUUUCAAUCCGAUCCUAAGGAGUGUCACUUAGUGGCAGUGAAGCGAAUCCUUAGAUAUUUAGUUGCUACGCCUUGCUUCGGGCUCUGGUAUCCAAAGGGGUUGUUGGUGACUUGUUCUCAAAUGCUAAGAGUUAAGAACAAGGCAACAUGAAAAGUGUUAAAUGUUAAAGUCCUUCAUCCUUCGAAGGACUUUAUGUCCCUUCGGGAAAUAAUGAGUUUCGGACGAAGGUCAUAAGAGACAUACCUUCGUAAAUAUAGUAGGUAAAAACGAAAGACUCAUAUAAAGCAUGAGAUAUAAUAUAAGCAUCAUCAUGGAAUCAUUUCUAUUUUAUUAACAUGGGAAAAUAGAAAUGAUUUCAAAUUACAGAUGUACCUUCGGUCCUGAGAGAAGGUAAAAAGUACAGGCGUGACGCAAAAGCAAAUGCAAAGUCAGCGUGAACAGUACGGGAGUACUGUUCAUCUAUUUAUAGACGCGGGAUGCAGCCCACGUAAAAUUACAUCCAUGUCCAUUACAUUUGUUAACGGUUUAUGGAAAUCUAUUGAGGACCCCGAAGUCUUUUCAUCUUAAGGUCGGUUCCCCCUUGUGCCAUCGCGCCGAAGCUUCCCUGCGUACAGCUUCGGCUGCCCCCGACCUUCGUCUGGCUCAACCUUCGUCCUGGUCGUGCUCCAUAUCCAUAAUUCUGAAUCCGAAAAUACCUGUUCAUAUAAUUCACUUGGAAAACAUUGUCAAAUCAUGUUUUUGAGGACCUUCGGAGGACGAAGGCCCCCAACAGUAGCCCCUCGCAAUAUUAAUUUGUAAAUAAUAAAUUCAGAUUGCGAUAUGGACGAAGGCCUUGAGCCGAAGGUCCGAAAAAACACCUUCCCUUUGCUAGAAUAGCAACAUUCACUGACAAGCGGGGCCUUUUAACUUUCAACGCCCUAGGCGUAUAAAUAAGAACACAUCGUGAAUUCAUUUGGUACACACGCUUGCCUUUUGCUUCGGCCCACUAAAAAUUUUUAGCUCUUGCUCAUUGAGAUUUGCUGGUCUUUUUGAUUUCGAAGCUUCGGCCUCGGGAACAAAUUUUUAGUGUUUCCGAAGAUGUCUGAAGACAAGAAGAUCCCUGCCGAGACGAAGCUGAGUCUCGAGGAGGAGAAGAAUCUGGGGUUCCUGAUAGCGAUGGCAGAGACUAAUACAGAGAAAAUCACGAAGGAGAUUCUCGAAGGUUUGUCCGAAGAUACUGAUGACAGCGACAGCUAUGAUGUGGAAAGUGAUGGGGAAGAGGCCGAAGAUCGACCGUGGCGACCAAGUCACUCAGUUUUUGGGAAAACAACCAUCAAGCAGAGUCACAUUGAUAAUAUGAGGGGGCGAUACUUCCGAGACAUAUCUAUUGUGAGAGCUGAUGCCGGGGAAAAGACUUCUCCCACCCCUGAAGAAGAUGAAGUUGUAAUUUUCCGAAGCCUCCUCAAGGCUGGGCUUCGAUUCCCCCUGAGCAACUUUGUUGUUGAGGUACUGAAAACAUUCCAAAUCUACCUUCAUCAACUCACUCCCGAAGCUAUUAUAAGAAUGGGGAUUUUUGUCUGGGCUGUGAGAAGCCAAGGUUUGGAGCCAAACGCUAAAAGCUUCUGCAACAUACACGAGUUAUUGUACGAGACGAAGCCCUGGGGAAAGGAGCAAUACCACAACAACUUUGGGUGCUACAGCUUCGGCGCCCGCUCCGGGUCAAGCUACCCUGUGCCAACCUUUCGGAAGAGGUGGCCCGGAGCCUGGAUGUCUGAAUGGUUUUAUGUGAAAAAUGAUCUAACAGCGCAAAAUAAUGUCCAAAGUAUCAUUAUGUACCCAAUUUGGCAACGCUUCGGACUUCGAAGGCCGAAGGUUGAAAUGGAUGAGGCAGCCGAAGAAUGCCAAAGAGCCUUCGGCGCAGUCUGCUCUUUCAUUGGGACAAGGGACUUGGUCCAGGAGCACAUUGCCUUCAGGAUAUGGCCACUUGCAGAAAAGUGGGAAAUGCCGAAAGAAACCAUCAAAGAGUCCGACGAAGGCGGACUAGUCAGAUUAAAAUACACAUUCAAAUAUGCAGAUAAAUUUAUUGAACCUGAUGAUGACUGGCUGAAAAGCAUUGAAACAUUAAGUGAUGAAUUACUUGGGGCAUUCUCGAAGGCUGAAAAUACUGCACUAUCAGCAGCCUUCGGAGGCCGCAAAAAGAAGAGACUGAACCGAGUGUUUGAUGCAAUCGGGUUCUUCUACCCUGAUUAUUGUUAUCCCAUCCGAAGGCAGAAAAGGAAAAGCAUAACCUCUGAAAAAGAAGAAGCUGGAACCGCUCCUAGCGAGCCAGAACCAAAAGGAAAAAGGCUGAAGGUCUUCACACACCGACCACGCCAUAUUGAGCCAGCUUCGGUGCCGGAGUUUACCGGGAAAACUUCUUCAGCCACCGAAGCUGAAAAACCAAACGAGCCGGCCUUGCUGCCAGAGAUCGCAGAAACGGCCGAAGUGCCACCAAAGAUAGAAUCAGAACAAUCAAACAUUUUGUUGUCAGAAACAAAAGAGAAAACCGAAGCGCCGCUCACAGAAAAAAUUGAGAAAGUAAGAGAAGCAACUGAGGGCUUCAAAACAUCAGAAGUUUUGAGUCCUACAGCAAUCAUUGGGACGGCAAAAAAUGAAAAAGUGCCAGCUGCAACUCCGAAGAGAAAGAGAAUGGCUAAUGUGCUAGACGUAUUGGAAACGAUCAAAUCUUCGAGCACACCUCCGAAGAAAGCUGCUAUUACUCCUGAAACAAAAGCUGAAAUCUCUGGUUCUACAGCUCCAGAGGAAGAGAUUGAAGCCGAAGCUGGACCCUCAGAGUCCGCAAAAACUUUGAGAAGUGAGGCAGAGAAAAUAACAAAGCUAACUAUUGAAGAAUCUAGUGUUGCUGCCCCCGAAGCAUCCCCCAAAAUUCGUGAUUAUAUUUUUCGUCAUGCUUCGGGGAAAAAAUUAUCAGAAAAAGAAGAACAAGAGGCCCAGCAUUAUGCCCAAAAACUGAAAUAUCCGAAGGGGGCGUUAAUAUUUAAUGGCAGUGGAGAAGGAGACUUCUUGUACUGUCUUCCCGACAACAAGGAAAUUUCUGUCUGUCGGGAGAUAGGCAGAAGCUUUGGAUUCCCAACUUUAGAAGACGGACUUUCGGUGCUAUCAAAAAACGAUCUGGCUGACAGCCUAGCUUAUAACAGUUUAAAGGUAUGAUAAAUGAAAUCCUUGUAUUUUUCCGUUCAUUUAAACCCUCUGACACACACACAUAUUCCUUUUUGCAGGGCUUGAUACUUAGCAAUGCUCUCAGAGCCCAGAAAGAUACUGAAGACGAAGGGUGUACUAUAGCCCUGAGCAACCUUCGUUCCGAAGUAAUUGAACUGAGGAACGAAGGUCUCGAAAAAGACAAAAUAUUAUACUCAUUGAUAGAUAAAAUAAAGGAGGACGAAGCUGCCUUCAAAAGUCAGGCUGAAGCUCAGAAACGCGAAAUUGAAGACCUUCGGAAACAACUGGCCAGAGCUAAAGAAGAACGUAUACUUGAAGAAACAAAGCGUGAACUCAGCGAUCAAUGGGCAGAACACCUAGAAGUGACUGUUGAAGAGCUUCGUUCAUCCAAAAAGAGAUGCUACAAUAAAUCUAUAGACUGUGUUAAAAAAUUAAAGGCUAGCUUCGCCAAGGUCGGCGCAUUCUCAAGUGAAGAAAAUUUUCUGAGGGGCAAUCCCGAAAGUGUCAUUGAAUGGAUUGACCACGAAGCUGAAGUCUUCGAAGAAAUUUUAAAUAGCCGAGGAGAUAUAUGUGCCUUCUCUGGCGCCAGAGGGAUUGCCACUAUUUUAGAGAAGAAGGGCUGUGAACAUGUGAAAAUUUUAGCACAGUCCGAAGCCACCUUGUCGACUGAAGAUAUAAAAGAUCCUUCAGCCGAAGCUAGCGCGGUUGGAGGAAAAUUUUUUACCGACAUCUGGGACAACGGUGGCCGAGAAAUGGCAAGAGAAAUUAUUCAGAGAAGUGAAAAGGGCAUCCAUGAUGCUAGAGAAGUGGCUAAGGCUGCUGAAAAGAGCACAGAGCCCGAAGGUCAAUUAGGUACUAAAUAAUAGCUUCUACCGUGUUGUAAUCUUUAGGCUUUUAAGAUCUGUUUGCGAUUUGUAAUAGUAAUGUAGUCGUGUCCUGCUUCAGAUCCGACUAAAGCGCCUUCGGGCCCUCAGCCGAAGGGGGACGACGAAAUUAAAAAGAUGGCCGAAGAUAUUAUGGACGAAGUCGUCAAUCGGCUUCUGAAUGAAGCUGCAGGAGUCGUUUUGAGAGAGGAUUAAACAUUUUUGUAAAAAACUUCGGAAAUGUAAUAUAAUGUAACAUUUUUGUAACCCCGAAUGUAAUAUAUCUAUUUUUGCUACUCAAUUCUUUACGAUGCAUGAAACUUUACACACGUACCGUUUUUGAGUUUGGCGAAAAAAACACCUUCCCUUCUUUUCAUGCUUCGUGAAGAAUAUCCAAACUUCGUGAAAAAAUUCUCCGAAGCUAUACUUCCGAAGAUGAAGAUUGAUUCUCUUUACGACCAUGAUUUUCACUCUUUCAAAUCAUACUUUCGAAAAUCAAUAUUGUGUCCCCUUCUUGGGACCACGAUUUUCACUCUUUCAAAUCAUACUUCCGAAGAUCAAUAUUGUGUCCCCUUCUUGGGACCACGAUUUUCACUCUUUCAAAUCAUACUUCCGAAGAUCAAUAUCGUGUCCCCUUCUUGGGCCAUAUGCAACAUGAUGUAUGAUGCUUAUGCUAUGCAAAAUGAUGUAAUGAUGUUAUGCUACGUAGAUGACAUUUGUUCCGAAAGAUACACACAUAUCCCCACACAAUAUUUUUGUAUCAGCACUGAUUCUUCGCUGUAAGCUCUGCAUUCCCUUAGGAACGUCUUUGGAGCUUCUUCGCCUCUUACUUAGGCGGUAUAAGCUCUGCAUUCCCUUAGGAACGUCUUUGGAGCUUCUUCGCCUUUUACUUAGGCGGUAUAAGCUCUGCAUUCCCUUAGGAACGUCUUUGGAGCUUCUUCGCCUUUUACUUAGGCGGUAUCAGCGUUGACUUUUCGCUGUAGGCUCUGCAUUCCUUUAGGAACGACUUCUGAGCAGAAAACUUACACUGCGCUCCCUUUGGAACGGCUUUUUGUGACUUCACAAACUUACUCUGCGUUCCUUAGAACGACUUUUCGUUACUCCGAAGGAUUUUUAAUUCGAAGGUCCUCCUUGGUAACGGAAAAAAUUUUUAAUCUUCAGCAACUUAAGCUUGUGGAGCAAAUAGAUCUUCCUCGUGGAAAACAACGACAUUAUUACAUGAAAACUAUCAAUGUUUUUUGCUUGACAGAAAACAAAACUGAAUAAGAAAGACUGCUAUCAAAGAUAGGAUAUGUGUCAAUAAAUGUGUUUCGACUCUGGCACAGUGCUGUUGACUGUGCGAGCUUCGGACUGCUCUCUGAAGUCCCUCUGCUGUGGAGCGUAUUGACUCCCUUCUGGCUGCUGACCUUGUUGCAACGGAGGUGGAGGCGGAGGCUGUUGCCAGGAAGCUGAAGGCUGACUUGCCGAAGCAGCAGAGACUACAGGAUGAUUGCCCACAUAUUCUGGGAUGUAGGGCGAAUGAUACGAAGCUGUAUGCAUGACCUGCUUCGGCUGGGCUUGUUGUGCUGCUGCUUCAGCUAUUUCCUUUUGCUUCUGUAUAGUAACAUGGCACAUCCUGGUAGUAUGGCCUUUGUUCUCACCACAGAAUAAGCAAAAGAUUCUUCUUGGUUGAUCGCCAAAUCUUCCUCCGAAGCCCCUGGCGCCUCUGCCUCUUGGAGCUGGUGGUCGGAAGGAGCUUUGCUGUUGCCCCGAAGCCUGUGAGGAGUACUGUGGCCUUUGCUGCUGGCUCCCUUUAUCAUCAUUUUGAUUGGAAUUAUGAAUUGAUCUGACAUGCCUCGGAUAGAAUCUUCCUCCGAAGCCCCUGGUCAUCUCAGAAAAUCUGAAGGCCUCCUCCCUUCUUUGGCGAAAAUCAUUGUCAGCUCGAAUAUAUUCAUCCAUCUUCUGGAGCAGCUUCUCCAGCGUUUGAGGAGGCUUCCUGGCGAAGUACUGAGCUGACGGACCUGGCCGAAGCCCCUUGAUCAUGGCCUCAAUGACAAUUUCAUUGGGCACCGUUGGUGCCUGUGCCCUCAAACGCAAAAACCUUCGGACAUAUGCCUGAAGGUAUUCUUCGGGGUCCUGAGUGCACUGGAACAGAGCCUGAGCAGUGACCGGCUUCGUUUGAAAUCCUUGAAAGCUGGUUAACAACAAGUCCUUCAGCUUCUGCCAUGAAGUGAUCGUUCCUGGUCGAAGGGAGGAAUACCAGGUUUGAGCAACACUUCUGACAGCCAUAACAAAAGAUUUGGCCAUGACUGAAGCAUUGCCACCGUACGAAGACACUGUUGCUUCGUAGCUCAUCAAAAACUGCUUCGGAUCAGAAUGGCCAUCAAAUACGGGGAGCUGAGGCGGCUUGUAGGACGGAGGCCAAGGCGUAGCCUGCAACUCAGCGGACAAGGGAGAAGCAUCAUCAAAAACAAAAUUCCCAUGAUGGAAAUUGUCAUACCAGUCAUCUUCGUUGUGAAAGCCCUCCUGAUGAAGGUCUUGAUGCUGAGGCCUUCGGAAUUGCUCAUCCUGAGCAAGAUGACGAACUUCUUCAGAGGCUUCAUCUAUCUGCCUCUGCAGUUCAGCUAGCCUGGCCAUCUUCUCCUUCCUGCGUUGAACCUGUUGCUGAAGGAUUUCCAGAUUCUGAAUUUCCUGAUCUAGAUCAUCCUCCGGAUGUGUUGGACUGGUAGCCUUCCUCUUCUGGCUUCGUGCCUCUCUGAGAGAAAGGACAUCUUGAUUGGGGUCCAGCGGCUGCAGCGUGCCAGCCCCUGGUGCUGGAGCCUUCUUCGGCGGCAUGACGAAGCUGAUGCUUGCCGAAGGUGCCGAAAAACUCAAGAAGUGGAAGUGAGUUCACCGGAGGUGGGCGCCAAUGUUGGUGACUUGUUCUCAAAUGCUAAGAGUUAAGAACAAGGCAACAUGAAAAGUGUUAAAUGUUAAAGUCCUUCAUCCUUCGAAGGACUUUAUGUCCCUUCGGGAAAUAAUGAGUUUCGGACGAAGGUCAUAAGAGACAUACCUUCGUAAAUAUAGUAGGUAAAAACGAAAGACUCAUAUAAAGCAUGAGAUAUAAUAUAAGCAUCAUCAUGGAAUCAUUUCUAUUUUAUUAACAUGGGAAAAUAGAAAUGAUUUCAAAUUACAGAUGUACCUUCGGUCCUGAGAGAAGGUAAAAAGUACAGGCGUGACGCAAAAGCAAAUGCAAAGUCAGCGUGAACAGUACGGGAGUACUGUUCAUCUAUUUAUAGACGCGGGAUGCAGCCCACGUAAAAUUACAUCCAUGUCCAUUACAUUUGUUAACGGUUUAUGGAAAUCUAUUGAGGACCCCGAAGUCUUUUCAUCUUAAGGUCGGUUCCCCCUUGUGCCAUCGCGCCGAAGCUUCCCUGCGUACAGCUUCGGCUGCCCCCGACCUUCGUCUGGCUCAACCUUCGUCCUGGUCGUGCUCCAUAUCCAUAAUUCUGAAUCCGAAAAUACCUGUUCAUAUAAUUCACUUGGAAAACAUUGUCAAAUCAUGUUUUUGAGGACCUUCGGAGGACGAAGGCCCCCAACAGGGGUCUACCUUUGACUUGAUUGGAUAUUCAGAUUCCGACUAUGCUGGAUGUAAGGUCGAUAGGAAGAGUACAUCGGGGACGUGCCAAUUCUUAGGAAGGUCCCUAGUGUCAUGGAACUCUAAGAAACAAACCUCCGUUGCCCUAUCCACCGCUGAGGCCAAGUAUGUUGCCGUAGGAAAGUGUUGCGCAGAACUACUUUGGAUGAGGCAAACCCUCAGGGACUUUGGCUACAAUCUGAGCAAAGUCCCACUCCUAUGUGAUAAUGAGAGUGCUAUCCGCAUGGCGGAAAAUCCUGUUGAACACAGCCGCACAAAGCACAUUGACAUCCGGCAUCACUUUUUGAGAGACCACCAGCAAAAGGGAGAUAUCGAAGUGUUCCAUGUUAGCUCCGAGAACCAGCUAGCCGAUAUCUUUACCAAGCCUUUAGAUGAGCAGACCUUUUGCAGGUUGCGUAGUGAGCUAAAUGUCUUAGAUUCGCGGAACCUGGAUUGAUUUAUAGCAUACAUGUGCUUAUGCCUUUGAUCAUGUUCCCUAUGCAUUUUGUUGCUUAGUUAUGGUGCUCAAGUUGUACAAACACUCCCUGGACCUCACAAGUCCGUUGCAAAAGUGAUGCACAUGUUUAGGGGGAGAUGUGUUACAACUUGACCCUUUGAGACUAACCAUGUGCUUGAGUUUGAUGAUUUAGUCUCGAAGAAGGGUUACAAAUUGAAAGGGAAAAGGUGGACUUGGACCAUGAAAGACUUCCACUGCACUCCGAUGAGAGGGUAACUUAUUCCAAGUUCAUCUCAUGUACUCUUAUUGCCUUUAUAUUCUUAUUGAAGAUUUUGGUGAGGCAAUGGGGUUCUAGGGCCAAGAUUGAUCCCGUUUUGGUGCUUGAUGCCAAAGGGGGAGAAAAUAAAGGCCAAAGCAAUAAAUGGAUCAGCUACCACUUGAGAGAUUUUGAAAAUAGUAGAAUAGAGCUUUUGGUUUGUCAAAACUCUUUUUGUCUCUCUUGUCAAAAGUUGGCUUCUUAUGGGGAGAAGUCUUGAUUAUGGGAAAAAGGGGAGUUUUUUUUGAAAUCUUGGAUCAAUUUCUCUUGGAAUGACUCUCUUUAUGUCUUAACAUGUGUGUUUGACUUAGAGAUAGAAAUUUGAGGUUGAUUUGCAUAAACAAACCAAGUGGUGGCAAAGAGUGAUCCAUAUAUGUCAAAUGUAAAUCAAAACAGUUUGAGUUCUUAUUUGAAUUGAUUUUGCACUUGUUCUACUUGCUUUAUGUUAUGUUGGCAUAAAUCACCAAAAAGGGGGAGAUUGAAAGGGAAAUGUGCCCUUGGGCCAUUUCUAAGUAUUUUGGUGAUUGAGUGCCAACACAAGUGCUUUUGUGUUGAUCUAUGCAAUGUGGUGGACUAAGUGCAAAUCAUGUCAAAAGGUAUGUUUCUAGACUUAGUACAUUAUUUUAUGGACUAAUGUAUUGUGUCUAAGUGCUGGAAACAGGAAAAAUCGAAUUGGAAAUGAGAUGGCUUUGUUCAGCCAAGUCUGCUCAGUCUGGGAGCACCGGACUGUCCGGUGGUGCACCAGACAGUGUCCGGUGCGCCAUGCUGGCUCGAGCGAACUGGCCGCUCUCGGGAAUUCACUGGCGACGUACGGCUAUAAUUCACCGGACUGUCCGGUGUGCACCGGACUGUCCGGUGUGCACCGGACUGUCCGGUGAGCCAACGGUCGGCCGGGCCAACGGUCGGCCGCGCGAUCUGCGCGGGACACGUGGCCGAGCCAACGGCUAGAAGGAGGCACCGGACUGUCCGGUGUGCACCGGACAUGUCCGGUGCGCCAACGGCUCUCUGGCUGCUAACGGUCGGCUGCGCCAUUUAAGGAAAGAAAUCGGGCACCGGACAGUGUCCGGUGUGCACCGGACUGUCCGGUGCGCCACACGACAGAAGGCAAGGAUUGCCUUCCCAGAUUGCUCUCAACGGCUCCUAGCUGCCUUGGGGCUAUAAAAGGGACCCCUAGGCGCAUGGAGAAGAACACCAAGCAUCCUUUGAGCAUUCUUGAUCACUCACACUCCACUCUUGCGCACUUGUUCGAUAUUCUAGUGAUUUGAGCCCCGUUCUAGUGUGCUAGUCUUGUAAGCUCAAGUCUGGGUCUUGUGUGUGCGUAUUUGCUGUGAUCUUUGUGUCUUGUGUGAGUUGCUCAUCCCUCCCUUACUCUGUGAUUCUUUGUGAACAUCAAAAGUGUAAGGGCGAGAGGCUCCAAGUUGUGGAGAUUCCUCGCGAACGGGAUAAGAAAAGAAAAGCAAAACACUGUGGUAUUCAAGUUGAUCAUUGGAUCACUUGAGAGGAGUUGAGUGCAACUCUCGUCCGUUGGGACGCCACAACGUGGAGUAGGCAAGUUUUGUACUUGGCCGAACCACGGGAUAAACCACUGUGUCAUCUCUGUGAUUGAUCUCUUGUGGUUAUUGUGUUUUGUUGAGACUCCUCUCUAGCCACUUGGCAAUUAUUGUGCUAACCUUAACCAAGUUUUGUGGCUUAAGUUUUAAGUUUCACAGGAUCACCUAUUCACCCCCCCCCUCUAGGUGCUCUCAACUCUCCACCAACAAGAGAGAUAGAAAUCUAUUAGAAGCCAGAGCUCCAGCUUGCUAGUUCGAUUUGAUGGCAGCAACUAACACGACAAUGACGCUCAGCAUGAUAUGAAGAUUGCCAUCGAUAGGAAGGCUCAUCACCUGCUGUUCGCGGAGGCGAGAAAGGAUGUGGUCGACUUCUUCUCCCUACUCGUCCUGCUCGUCGGCGCGACCGUCAAACUGCUGGGGAAUAAGGGCAUGGCCGGCAGCACCGACAACCUCUAUGAUAGUGUGGAGGGCCUCGAAUACGCCCACAUCCAGACCAUUGUCGUGCAUCGAGGAAGAUGGACUUGAGACCCACUUAAUGCCUUUCCAUAAUAGUAGCAUUUUCUAUGUGAUUGGAGAUCUCAUGAAGUAGAAUGGUGAAACAAGCUAGAGAAUGACCGAUGGAGAGACUCCUUAAAUAAAAUCUAGGUAAUUUCAUAUGCACAUUUCUCCUUUGAUGUACGAUAGGCUAACUAAAAUCUUAAUAUGAUUUGAGUGACUUAUCUAAGCAGGGAUGUUAUCUUAUAGAACAUCUUAGAAGGAACACACCUAUAUGAGUUUGACUGCUAGUCACAAUCUAUGAUAUGUGGGCAAUAUUUAUAUACUCAUGAAAGGUCUCGAAGUUUGACUUAUAUGCUUCAAACCAAGGGGAUUCUUGUAAUAGUCUAGUACUAGAUAAGAACUUUGGUGAAACUCACUUCAUACAAAACUGUCAAUUCAAUAUAUAGUCUAUUGUUCAGAUGUGAUUGUGUAAUCCCUGUUCUAGAUGGAUGGUCAACUUAACAACCUCCACCAAAACCCUUAUAUAUCAAAGAGUAGUGGAUUUGAAUUUGCCUAAUAUGUAGUUUAUGGGCUUGGCUCAUUUAAAGUAUUUAAUAAUUCUGAAUGACAAGAUUAAACUAACUAUGUAUGAUCCUUUAGCUCCGUACAGAUGGUCGAUGGGAUAGUUACAUGGUUUAUGUAGAUGGACCUAUCUAUAUUCCUUCAGUGGUUGAGAGAAAGGUAAAGGUGUGUCACACUCACGCGUGCGCCGCCUCCGCCGAGACAAGGUGUGGCGUUGCAAGGUGAGGCAUGGUAUGGUGCAGCACGAUCACAGUCAUGGUCGUGGCACGAUGUAGCAUUGUUGUGGAUAGAUAGAUAAACUAUUGUUGUAGUUAGAGCGCGUGAGUUUUUGAAUGCAACACUAGAAUUUUCACAAUUUAACUUAAUUAAGAAGUUAUAUCUUGAUGACACAGAGUUACCUGACCAUUGAUCUCACAUGCCAUUUUAGCUCUCUCGUUCUCUAGUCUCACCCUAACUAUUUAGGUCUCCUGACUCACCAAUAUAAACACCAUCCUAUCAUUUGCUCUCCAAUACUUCUCUGUCACAACUCAACUAUUAGAUGAGUACUCCAUUACAACACUUACGUACACGAGUUCAUGAGAUCAGGCCUCCAAAAUGAAUAUCGGCUAAGUGUUUAUCUACUUAGAUGAAAGACGAUAAUCGUGUUCUUGGGAAAUAUCAGCGACAUAACUCCUUACUUCCUCUGCUUCUUCCUAGUGUUUUUGUUGUUGUGAUUGAGUCGACACAGCAACAACGCUGCACUAUUACAACCAGUACGAUUAUAUCAACUAACAAUGUCUUCCUUAUAUGUUACUAUUUAUUUUGCUCAUAUUCAUUAUGCUUAAAUCACAUGUGCACCUUUCUAUUGACAUCAAAAAUAGUAUCAACUUUCUAGAUUAAAAUGCAACUAAAAGUACCUAAAUUUCUAUCAGUGGGGAUUGAGUGAUUCUUUAAACCGAUUAUUACAUAAGUUAACCACACUAAAAUUAACAUUGGUGAAUCGUGCCAUGAUUUUUUUCUAGUGCAAAAUAGCCAAACCAAGCAACACAUAUGUGGCUAUCGUUACACAUUUGUAAAGGUAUUGCAUCACACCAUUGUCACCCAUGUAUUUGGACAAUAACGAGAGGAAAAACCACUUAUUUAUUGUAUUUUAUCAAGUUUGUCUUGCUUACGUAUAAAUUAUAACCCAACAAAGUAAUCACUAAAUGUCAAAACCAACUAGAUACCAUGUCAUCUCUACCUUAUCUUACUAAUGUUCUUUUUGCAAAAUCCAAAAGUAAUCUUGCACAAGCACAAGGACUGAUAUGUGUAUAAAUAUCUCUUAGAUUAGUAGUUAAUACAUCACUCAUAUUAUUAAGACCAACUAGCAACAUAGAAAGCACAAUAGUGUACCAACAAUGGCAACCAAAAUAUUUUGCUUCCUUAUGCUCCUUGGUCUUUCUGCAAGUGCUGCUACCGCGACCAUUUUCCCGCAAUGCUCACAAGCUCCUAUAGCUUCCCUUCUUCCCCCAUACCUCUCACCAGCGGUGUCUUCAGUAUGUGAAAACCCAAUUCUUCAACCCUACAGGAUCCAACAGGCAAUCGCAGCAGGCAUCUUACCUUUAUCACCCUUGUUCCUCCAACAACCGUCAGCCCUAUUACAGCAGUUACCUUUGGUGCAUUUGUUGGCACAAAACAUCAGGGCACAACAACUACAACAACUUGUGCUAGCAAACCUUGCUGCCUACUCUCAGCAACAGCAGUUUCUUCCAUUCAACCAACUGGCUGCAUUGAACUCUGCUGCUUAUUUGCAACAACAACUACCAUUCAGCCAACUAGCUGUUGUCUACCCCCAGCAAUUUCUUCCAUUCAACCAACUAGCAACAUUGAACUCUGCUGCUUAUUUACAACAGCAACAGCUACCACCAUUCAACCAGCUAGCUAAUGUGAGCCCUGCUGCCUUCUUGACACAACAAUAGUUGUUGUCGUUCUACCUGCACGCUGCGCCUAACGCUGGCACCCUCUUACAACUGCAACAAUUGCUGCCAUUCAACCAACUUGCUUUGACAAACCCAGCAGCGUUCUACCAACAACCCAUCAUUGGUGGUGCCCUCUUUU
This 124310-nucleotide long non-coding RNA is filed under the name Zea mays. RNAcentral describes it as "long non-coding RNA (ZMAY_LNC002213)". Lineage: Eukaryota; Viridiplantae; Streptophyta; Magnoliopsida; Poales; Poaceae. The record is from RNAcentral.